ACAAAAGAAAGCAGCAAGCAGUCAAAACAAAGGGUAGUACAACUGAUAUAAUAUAGUUCAUAUUAUCUUGUUGCAGAUCACAUAAUAAAUAAAGCGACAAGAGUCGGUGUUGAGGCAAUAUAGACGAGAUGGAUACAUAUUAAUAAAAAAGGUCUAGAAACAGACAAACGAAGGAUAGUCCUGAGACACCCUCCAUCAAUGCACAUGCAUUAUUUUCAGGUCAUAUACUCCAGUUCAGCUCAAAUGCAAACUCCUUCCACUUGUUAAUCACCAUGGCGUCAUCUCCGGUCACUGCUCAGCUUCUUGCACGCCUUUCCCUGGCAUAUCAAAUUUAGCAUGUCUUCAGUAAUACUAGUUCGGAAGAAAAAAAAGCUGAUCCAUACCCAACUUUGAUUCACGGCCCAAAUAUAUAACCACUACUUUAUGCUUCCUUGUGAAAUGGAACGAGGAAAAAGUCCAAACUUGUUUACAAGAUGUAGGGCUCUAUAAGUAAAUACUCCCUCUGUCCCAUAAUAUAGGGACUGCAAAAACGUCUUAUAUUGUGGGAUGAAGGAAGUAUGUUAUUACAACCAAUAUGUGUAGAUACUGGUUUUAAUAAUAUCUUGUAUUAUGGGACGGAGGGAGUAGCUUAUAGUAGUAGAAUGCAGCAACACAAGCUGUAACGUGUCACAGGGAAAGUUAAUUGUUCCGGUGAGAAUUUCACAGCAACAGUAGAAAACUGUAGUUCCCAAAAUGCUAGCAUUUAACUUCAGUAUUGGCUGUAUAUCUUCUUCCACCACAUGUUACACUCUGUGUUAUCGGUGCUGUGCCCCUAUACUAUAAUGUGUUCAACACCUCACCAAGUUCUUCCCAAAUCCAUAGUGGCAAACAUCACCGAUCCUAAACCUGUCUUUGAGCUGAAUGAUAUCAUUGGCCUACCAUAUCUUAUUUCGGUUGAAUUUAGAGUAUCCUCCCUAAUAAACCCUGCAAUGUCUAUGUGUGUGAUAUGNNNNNNNNNNNNNNNNNNNNNNNNNNNNNNNNNNNNNNNNNNNNNNNNNNNNNNNNNNNNNNNNNNNNNNNNNNNNNNNNNNNNNNNNNNNNNNNNNNNNNNNNNNNNNNNNNNNNNNNNNNNNNNNNNNNNNNNNNNNNNNNNNNNNNNNNNNNNNNNNNNNNNNNNNNNNNNNNNNNNNNNNNNNNNNNNNNNNNNNNNNNNNNNNNNNNNNNNNNNNNNNNNNNNNNNNNNNNNNNNNNNNNNNNNNNNNNNNNNNNNNNNNNNNGAACUUUUUUAGCAUGCACUGAAAGUGGCAGACAGUAAGGCAGUGGUGGAAACAGUUACCUGGACCAACUUUGAGAUAUUUGGAGAUCGUACUUGAAUCGUAGCCCCUGGCUAAACCAAUAGCCCUCUUGGGGCUAAACUCAGCCACUCUCUGGACAGUGUUGUUCUUCAUGUCAACAGCAAGCACCCAUGAUGUGUGCUGCCUGUCGCGGUAGUCAAUCUUAGCUAGUAAGUAAAGAAUGCAAUCAUCUUGCAGGCUCAGCUUGGGCAGGCCAAUAUGGAGAGUCGACAAGGUAGGCUGUGACACCUUCACGGACCUUCAGCUUAGGCAGCGGCGGUUCAGGUAUAGCAGAGGAAUCGAACUGGCAAUCGACACUCCAAUGCGCUUUGGAGAAGAUGCCAGUCUUGAUGCUCCAUAUUGUGGCCUUCCAACCAAUAGCACGGUGCUCCAGCUCGACCAUCUUGAUGAAGCCAUUAAGGACUGAAACGUCCCGAACAGCGGGCGAUCGAGUUGCAUUGCUAGGCAGUCUUAAGAAAUGAGGCUUGGGGCGUUUGUCCAGCACGUUGCAGAAGAUGAUCAUAUGCGAGAGAUCAACCCAGGCCACUGUUCCUUCAUCACCUCCGAUUGUGAUUGCCUUGUAUGUGAUGAACUCGUCGGCGUCGGGGACUGAAUCGACAUUCACUGGCAGCUUGCUCCAGGAGUUGGUAUCAUGGUCAUAGAGGCAGAGGUGAGAAGGAUUGCCAUAUCUGAACCCAUUAGCUCUGGGUGGUCGUUGCCGGGCUGCUUGAUGUGCUUGAGCUCGGGAACACUGGCGUCGUAGACGAAGUAGUGUCGAUUGCGGCGAUACAACGCAUCGGAUGGGCAAUCACCGACUACGACGCAUAGGAGGACGAGCCCACCGUCAGUCUCUGUGGCGACUAUGCUAGGCCGGGUGGCGAACACGUUGUGGUCGUAGGCGGUGACGUGGAAGCAUAGGUAGGAGACCUGCGGUGGUUGGGCGGUGCAGAAGGUGACCUCGAUGUUACCCCGGAGACGGAGACCCUCCAAGCCGCAGUCGGCGGUGGUGGCGUUGCGGCGGUCGGCAAAGAAGGCGUAUGGCUCGAUCAAGACGAAGCUUGGCUGGUCGCCACCGCCGUCGGGGUAGCCAUAAGCAGGGGAUUCAAGGACGGGGAAUCCUGUGUGAUUGGGCGCCUGCGGAAAAUCAAUACCUUUCCCUCUCCUGCGGAUGGACUGCUGUCAGGCUUCUUGACGGCUUCCUCCCCGCCGAGGUAAGAAGCAGCAAGAGCAGCCAGGCCGCUGUCCAUGGAUUGCAGAUCGAGUGCCAUCAAGCUCUUCCUCUCCGGUGUGUGGAUCGAUCCCAGAUCGGUUGGCCCUCCUCUCCGCCUUGGGUGUGUGGAUGGAUUUAUGUGGGGAAGGUGAGGUUGGAGUCGAUCAGAGUCGGAGAUCGAGAUGAGAUUGCAGCCGGAGCGAAAGGGGAGCAACCAGCCGCCGCUAUACCAGGAGAACGAGGGUUGGGUGGGGAGUGCCUCGUAAGCUAGGGUUAUGUUUCCCUUCAACAUCUGUUUGGGGUGGAACUUUGCGCCUCCCACAGCCGAGAGAAAAUCGGCUAUUUGCCCCUUUCAAUACCGGGCUUCGCAAAAUUGCCACUCUCAAGAUUGGCUUCGCAAAAAUGCCAUCAAGCUCGUGUGCACGUUGAUUACUAUGCCAUUUUCCUUUUUUAUUAUUGUUUUCCUUUUCUUUUCCAUUUUUUGGCACCUGAAAAGACCAUAGUACCCCUCACGCUAUCUUCACGUACUACUUGGGAUUCAGAUCGGCACUUGAAGCGAAACGAGCUCGUGCUGUCCUGCCGAGAAAAGCGACGCGAGGGUGAGCUGUGUCGGAGCGUGCAGACAUGGACGAGCGCCGGCGGAGAGCGGCAGUGAUGAGGGCGAGUUUCAGCGGAGCGUGCAGACAUGGACGAGCGCCGGCGGAGAGCGGCAGUGACGGAGGGCAACUUGCAGCAGCGCGUGCAACCAUGGGCGAGCGCCUGCAGCGACCAGCGGCUCGGACAGGCAUGAGAAAGCUAGGGCGGCGAGUUCAUGUAGCUCGCGCAGGCAUCAACGAGGUACAACAGCGAGCAACCAUGAUGACAAGAACGAGAUAAGCCUGAGAGCAAAAUCCGAUGCCAACACAGCCAGACCACAAACGCAUUGGAUAAGGUUGAAACAACCAGGGGUACUUCGGUCCUUUCAAGUGCCAGAAAAUGGAAAAGAAAAAGAAAAACAAUGAAAAGGGAAAAAUGGCAUGGUAAUCAAAGUGCACAUGAGCUAGGUGACAUUUUUGCAAAGCCAAUCUUGAGAGUGGCAAUUUUGCGAAGCCCGGUAUUGAAAGUGGCAAAUAGCCGAUUUUCUCCACAACUCACGGUGGCGAUGCAAGUCUCUAUCAAUAUAUUGUUAGAGUUUUUUUUGUUUUUGUCUUUUUAAGGCAUGAACUUUUUCCGAGAGCAACUAGUUGACGAGCGCCCAUUUGGGAGCCUCGGAACGAUCAACGCCACUUGACGCGCUCUCACUCAUUCGCCACAUGUCGCGCUCUGGACGCUCCAUCCGGAUUUUGUUUUUUAUUUUUAUUUUUCCGCACUCGUUUUCGGUUUUUAAAACGGUUUUUUGUGUCUUUUCGACGUUUCGGUUUUCCACUUGUCUUCCUUAGCUUUUGGAUAAAAAAAUUGCGCGAAAGAACGUGUUUUCUUUUUUUCCCUUUCGCGAGAGUCACGGUUUUGCUUUCGCGAGUGUCACGGUCAUGCCUCUCGGAAAUGAAAAAAACAUGUUUUCUGUUUUAUUUCCUUCCGCGAGAGUCACAGCUUUGCUUUCGCGAGAGGCACGGUUGUGCUUUCGCGAGAGUCACGGUCGUGCCUCUUGGAAACGGGGAAAAUGCGUUUUUUUGUUUUUUUUUCUUUCGCGAGAGUCACGCUUUUGCUUCCGCGAGAGGCAUGGUUGUGUUUUCAUGAGAGUCAUGGUGGUGCCUCUCGGAAACGGAAAAAACACAUUUUCUGUUUUUUCUCUUUCAUGAGAGUCACGAUUUUGCUUCCGCGAGAGGCAUGGUCGUGCUUUCGCGAGAAGCAUGGUCGUGCCUCUCCUCGGAAAUGAAAAAAACGUGUUUUUUCUUUGUUUUUUCCUUCCGCUGGAGUCACGGUUUUGCUUUCAUGAGGGACACGGUUGUGAUUUUGUGAGAGGCACGGGCGUGCCUCUUUUGGAAAGGGAAAAAACCCGUGCUCCCGGCUCGGUUUUUUGUAUGGUUUUUUCUUUCGGUUUUUUCAUGAAAAAAAGUUCGUCAAAACCUAUCAACAUGAGAUCUAGUUUUGAAGAUCUCGAUGCAAGGAAUCCAAUGGUGAAAGCGGUUCGAGAUUUGGACGCGUGGUUUAAGAGAUAAACUGUUUUGAAUUAAAGGAUCUACGAAAAAGGGAAAACUCUCAGGUUGCGACAAGUGGCGCACAUGCAGCACGCCACUUGUUGUAACCUAGGAAAGUUGGAGUGAUCUUUGCAAUGAGACUCCUCAACUAGUGAUUUCAACUUUUCCCCCUAGUGUGAUGUAGGGUCCCUUCUUUUCCUUUGGCGUUGUCCAUGUAAAAACGUCGACACCGGCCGGAUCUCACGACGAUGGCUUUCUUGAUGUAUUUGGGUAUAAACUAAACAAGGUGCCGGUGUGGGCUCAAAUUCAAGGAUGCAUGGGUGGUUUGACAAGGAAGGGAGAACUCGCCGAGAAAGUUGUUGCUAAAGUUGGGGAUCCGCCCUUCACCAUAAUGGUUGACAAUGGAGUAAUAAACCCGGGUAGUACCCCUCUUGCAGGAGUUUUUUGGCUAUGGAAAUUAUUACUACCUUUGGUGAUUCAAAAAUGGAGAAAAAAGAUUCUCGCUCGUUUCCCCAGAGGUGACCCCGAGUUAUUGAACCCACGGGAGGAAGACCCCCUUGAAGCUAAACAAGCUUUUGUUAAAGAAAAACCCUAGCUUUAGGCCGGAUGAAAAUCAAACAAACUGAAGGGGAACACAUAUGACAAAAAAUAGGCGCGGGUGUGAGAUCUUAAUGCUCACAACCCUAUAUUUGUGUUGGGACCAAAUAUGAUCUUAAUUUGUGUGUUGAAAGUCACCCAUUGAGAUGUUCUUGUUACAAACUAAAGUGGGGGGGUGUCCAAAUUACGUCUUGACUGGCACGCAUCCUGCUUCAAGAGUCAGUUGUUCAACCAAAGGCCCUACCCAUCUUGUGGGGUUGCCUCGAGAAUUAAGAUUGCAAUAACUAGACAAGAGCUUUGGGUGUUUAAUGAUUACACCUCUUGAAUCCCCAGGGAUAGGAUCAAUAUUACCAUACUAAACCUUUCUAUAACUGGUGUUUAGAAUAACACUUUACGGUCUCUCUGCGCUUAGCCUCUUCGUGGCUCACUCUUUAUGAUCCUAGUGUUGAGAAACGUAGUAGAAAACAAAAAAAAUCGCCCUGCGAUCAACGAGGUAUGCCAUGAAGAUGCAAUAACAGUUUGGAUCGGAUCGUUACCAACUCUGAGUUGCAGCGGAAGAAGACAAGUUGGUGUAGAUCGUACUUGAAGUCCCUCGAACCGUCGAUGAAUGAUCCCUCAAACAGACGAUCAGAAGCACGACCUCUUCACAGUUUGCAAGCGUACGGUCUUAGCGAUCCGGCAACGCUUUGCUGUUCUGAGCUAAUCAUCACCGAAGACUUAGAGGGAGGAUUAGAGGGAGGACUAAAGGAUCUAGGUCUUUCUCUAAUUACUCAACUAGGACCAACUAGAACUAGACCUAGUUGAACUAGAGGAGGCUUCAAAACUUGUGUGUUGAAUUGUGGCCAAAACGUCUAGUAUAUAUAGGUUGGAGGAGGGGCAGGCGGCGCCACAUAAGGGUGGAGUUUCCCCCUCCUCCCUUGGUCGGCCUAGAGGAGGGGGAACCCCCUCCAAUUUGGCUUCCCCCUUGCUUCUACAAGGGGUAAAGUGGGCUCCACCUAUAUUGGUCCCAAGUGUCCCAAUAUGCUUUCCACCACUUGGCCUUUUAAGGCCCCACUAGAGAAGCACGUGUUAUACAAACCGUUUUUAACCCCUUUCUGUGACAGAGUUUAAAACCUUUGCCUUGCCUGUGUGUGCAAUAGUGUGGCACCCCGGCUCAGAGGAACCGGAACACCCUGUAUUCCAGCCCAGAUAUCAAGUCUUCUGGAAUACGACACUGCUUGGCAUAGAAAGGUCUUAUUACAAAUAAUAGGGUUACAAAGGCUCUGGUAUACAAAAGAUUACAUCGGUGCGGCGACACUACGUCUGCUAAGGUAGCUCUAUGCUAGCUGCGGAACAAGUUGUAGCAAUGGAAUAACUUUUAGCAGCGAAACAACGACGACGGAGAUGGACUUCACUCCAUAGGGACUCUGGCUGGGAUACGUCCUAGCUCGCAAACUCGGGAUCCUUGACAAGCAAUCAAUCAUGGCAUCACCUUCAAUCUGGCAUGACACGCCAGGUGAGUACUUUGAAUGUACUCGCAAGCUCACAACAACCAAAGCAAUCAAGGCAAACAAUAGCAUGGCAUUUACAGGUUAAUUAUCAAUGAUGAACAUGAUACUACUAGAACAAUUGAAAGAGUGAGCAUGGCAUUUACAUGUUACUCAUGAUAUGAACAUGAUGAUGCUAAUGCUAGCAUGAAGGGGAGUAAACAUUUAAGGUCUCAUGGACCAACUUACUCAUCUCGGAGGUUAUCCCAUAACCACCAUAUGUAUCAAGCUUACCGUCGUGAACAUCACAUGAUCACCCCAAGAUCAACCAAGCUCGGUAUCAACAAUACCAUCAUGAUCAUCACAUGACCACGAGGAGCUUGAUCUUUACCUGUGAUCAUCGCAUGACCACAUAAAGAUCAACCAACUUAUUUCCUCACGGAACCGGGGUUAUUUAUUAUCUAGGUUAUUAUUUCUAUUACCCCGUAGUGUGACCUGCAAUGAACUAUGCCCAUAACCGAGGGUGUGACUAUCGAUAGAUUAUACACUUUGUAGAGGUUAGUACACUGUAGCCACACUAUGGAACCCAUGGCCUCGUGCUCCCAUUCAGGUGGACCAAUGACGUUCCAACAAAACCGAUCUAUUGCAUGAUGCUUUGCCGACCACUCCGAAAAACUCCCCUUUGGGCUAUGUCGUGGGUGGCCCCGAUGUCAACUCGUGACAUCCGCCACCUUCAUGUCCGCCACCAUCGUGUCAAAACUAAAACAAAAUCAUCCCAAAUGGGGACUUGUGCACAUGUGUCCAAACUGGACACACAAGGUUAUUGCCGCCUGCCAGGACAGGGUAGCACGCGCACAUAAACUUCCCUAGUUGGAGGCACCGGUGAGAGGCAUGACAAUAGAACGAAUUAGGGCCUCCCCAUCCAGGCAAGCGUGGUUGCACCAGUGAGCUCGAUUUGGUGGCACCAUGACUCGGCCAACAGAUUUGUUCAAGUUCAAUCAAUGUCAGGUUUAACUUGAAUGGGAUGAGUUGAGCCAUAGAAAAAUAACAUGAAGAAAUAAUAAUGCAUAAAAGCAUGAUAUAUUACAAUAGGUAAUCAACAAGAUUGAUUCUAUGUUAUAUGUAAAGCAGGUAAUAUUGGUGAACUCUACACCUGGACCACAUGACCCGCGAGAAGAAACUGUCAUACAUGAUCCCUUUUCCGUUUUAACGUGAUCAUCUCACAGAGUUGGCAAGCGAAGAUCACAAAAAGCACAGACUAGUACAAGGAUGAUACGUCCAUUUUGCAUCAUGUUUACCUACUGUUAUUUACUAUAUUUUGUGCAUAAUAAUGUUUUUUGGAGUAAUUCUAAUGCCUUUUCUCUCAUAGUAUGCUAGGUUUACACAAAGAGGAAGAAUACCAACAACUGGAAUUCUGGACCUGAAAAGCUACGUUAGAGUUACCUAUUCUGCACAUCUCCAAAUGAGCUGAAACUUUACGGAGAAUUAUUUUGGAAUAAAAGAAAAAUACUGAAGCAAAUAACUACCGGCGGAGGCCCACCAGGUGGGCAUAACCCACCUAGGCGCGCCCUGGUGGGUUAUGCCCUCCUCGGCCCACCUCCGGUGCCCCUCUUCUGGUAUAUAAGUCAUUUUGACCUAGAAAAAAAUAAGAAGAGGACUUUCGGGACAAAGCGCCACCGUCUUGAGGUGGAACUUGGGCAGGAGCACGUUUUCCCUCUGGCGAAGCGAUUCCGCCGGGGGAACUUCCCUCCCGAAGGGGGAAAUCAUCGUCAACAUCAUCACCAACAACUCUCCCAUCUUGGGGAGGGUAAUAUCCAUCAACCUCUUCAACACCACCAUCUCCUCUCAAACCCUAGUUCAUAUCUUGUGUUUUGUCUUUGCACAGGAUCCUUAGAUUGGUGCUUGUGGGUGACUAGUAGUGUUGGUUACAUCUUGUAGUUGAUUAAUAUACGGUUUAUUUGGUGGAAGAUUAUACGUUCAGACCCAUUAUGAUAUUUAAUACCCCUCUGAUCAUGAGCAUGAUUAUCAUUUGUGAGUAGUUACUUUUGUUCUUGAGGUCACCGGAGAAAUCUUGUUGCAAGUAAUCAUGCAAACUUGAUAUGUGUUUGAUAUUUUGAUAAUAUGUAUGUUGUGAUUCCCUUAGUGGUGCCAUGUAAACGUUGACUACAUGACACUUCACCAUAUUCGGGCCUAAGGGGAUGCAUUGUGGAGUAAUUAUUAGAUGAUGGGUUGCUAGAGUGAUAGAAGCUUAAACCCUAGUGUAUGCGCUACUUCAUAAGGGGACGAUUUGGAUCCAAAAGUUUAAUGCUAUGGUUAGAUUUUAUCUUAAUACUUUUCUCGUAGUUGCGGAUUCUUGCAAGGGGGUUAAUCAUAAGUAGGAGGUUUGUUCAAGUAAGAACAUCACCUAAGCACCGGUCCACCCACAUAUCAAAUUAUCAAAGUAGCAAACACAAAUCGAACCAACAUGAUGAAAGUGACUAGAUGAAAUUCCCGUGUACCCUCAAGAACGCUUUGCCUAUUAUAAGAAAUUGUUUUGGCCUAUCCUUUGCCACAAAAGGAUUGGGCUACCUUGCUAUACUUUAUUUACUGUUAUCAUUACUUGCUCGUUACACAUUAUCUUGCUAUGAAACUAUAUGUUAUGUACAAUUUCAGUGCUUGCAGAAGUUACCUUGCUGAAAACCACUUGUCAUUUCCUUCUGCACCUCGUUGGGUUUGACACUCUUACUUAUCGAAAGGACUACGAUUGAUCCCCUAUACUUGUGGGUCAUCAAUGCUCUUUUAUAGCACCGUUGCCGGGGAGUGAAGCGCUCUUGGUAAGUUGAAAUUGGUAAGGGAAAAUUAUUAUUACGUGCUGAAAUUUAUUGUCACUUGCUACUAUGGAGAACAAUCCUUUGAGGGGUGGCUGUUAGCGGGUUAUCAGAUCCAAAAUCGGACCUGAUAGCUUAACGGUGACCCAUUACGGUGGAUGCCACGUGUCGAUCACCCUUGACGAAAGCAAUUCCAUGACGCGCGAUUUAUCAUCAUGGAAGUGGACACUUCCGUGAUGAUAAUUUUGGUAGUGGCAUGGAACACUUCUACGACAGCACAAGUAUGACUAUCUUGAUUCUGUCAUAAAAUCACCAUGGAUGUACAUGCAUGACAAAAAACGUGACCUACUGUGACAAACACGUAUCAUCACGGAAGUGUAUUUUUUGUAGUGGUGAGUCUAGUGUAUUACCUAUGCAGAGUGUUAUUUAAAUCUAUCGAUAGUCACGUCCUCGAUUACGGACAUAACUCGUGAGUAAGUCACACCAUUAAUCAACAUUAAUAAGUAAUCUUGCACACUAAGUUAUGUUUGGCACUGGUAAAGUGAUGAUGUCGGUGAAACUGAUUGUUGUGGAAACCAAAGUGUUGGUUUUGUUUGUGAUCCGGGAAUGAUCACCAUUUGGUUACGAGGUAACCCAUUGGUAAGAGAGUCUGAGGGACUCGGUGAACAAGUUUGUUUGCACUACAUUUGUAGUAUGUUACUAUCCUACAUUCAACUUGAUUAAAUGUCAUGAUAUUGCUUGCCAUUAUGUUUAUGCUUGUUGUGAGCUUGCAAGUACAUUCAAUGUACUGACCUGGCGUGUUAUGCCAGAUUUUAGGAAAAUCUAACCGGAUCGGAGUGCUGCCGUGUUUAGAUCGGGUCCACAUCGGUGUCCCUAUGCUAUGGAGUCCUGCUUCAUCGUCAUUCCGCUGCCGCGUAGUUGUCGUGAUCGUGGCCCCUUUAUGUUCACUAAAUAAUGUACAUAUUGUUCAGCCGCACCGUGUGUGCCGCUUGGCCUCGCUACUUGAUGUAAUAUUGCACUAUGUUUCCGCUAGCAUCAAUAAAGCGGUUGUUUUCUGUAUGAAGAUGUUGUGUGUUGCCAAAAGACUUGAUCUCUGAGCUGGCAAUGCAAGGUAAACUGGUUGCUCUGAGUUGGGGUGCCACAAAGGCAUACAUAUAUUUUUUAAAUUGAACCAUUCCCGACCUUUCCUAUUCUUUUAAGCAUAUUUUGUGCAGCUCAACUAAAAUAAAAUGCCAUCACCGCCUUGACAAUUCAGUGACACUGUAUAAAAAGAAAUGACUUAACAUUACAUCAUGAUGCCAGGUAUGUAAUCGACAGGCAUUAGAGACAAACAUACAGACCUCCUUUGAUAACAUAAUGAACAUUGAUUUUAACAAAGGUGUGACUAGCCUUACCGGGAUAAUUUGAGUGAAAUCUACACCCUCUGUUCCUUAAUGUAAGACAUUUUUGCAGUUCAAUUUAAAGUAGCCAAAUGUCUAGUAUUUAGAAAAAGAGGUGGUAGUUUUCUUGAGCAUAUAUUUGGGAAAGCUUGCCACACUUUAUAUAUGUCCAUACACUAAUGCAACACCAUUCGAAUAGUACAAAUAUACACUAAUCCAGUGGCUAGUGCAAUAUUAGAGUAGUUUUUUUUAUUAUGGGGAACAGUACAAUGGUUUUACUGAACAGAUUUCUAUAAGCUAGCACCGGAAGAUUUCUAUAAGCAUUAACAAUACAAAAUGUAAAGGUAAUAAGUUUCAGCAUUGGUAUACUAGCUGUGCAACAACAUUAAACUAAAUACAAAAGUGUGAAGGUAACUAGCAUUACUAAGUAAUGACAGUAUAAAAAAUGCAAACCAUGUACCUUCAAGGUAAAUAUCAUUUCGAACUCGAGGGGACUUGAAAAAUUGCUAUCCCAACCUUGAUAAUCGAUCAAACAUAAAAACUUGAUCGAACGGAUCAAGAGAACAGCCAGAGGAGGAGGUGCCCACUCUUGACCUUGCCUCUUCUCUUCGUAAUUUUUGUGCAGUUUAACCAAAAUAAGAUGACAUCAGCGCCUUGGCAUUUUGGUGACACUGUACACAAAAACUUGACUUAUCUCAUGAAAGUGAGGUAUGUAAUCUAUAAUCAUUAACAGUGCAAAAAUCUAAAGGUCGUAACAAGUUUCAUCGUUGGUAUACUGGUUGUGCAACAACAUUAGAAUGCCUUAGCUGAAAAAUCUUUAAUACAUCCACAAUCAACAGCUAACCCUGAAAUAAUCUGGUGACAUUAAAUGGCAUUGCUUAAAUUUAUCGGCGGCAUUAGACUGAAUGCGGCAUUAGUUAAAUGUGGCAUCACUUUAGUAGUAGCACUGGCAUUAUACUAACAGCAAAAAAGUGGCAAUAAGGGCAUGGGAGGCCUAUUCGGAUAGUGGGCGUACCAGUAUGAUGUACCUCCACGGAUGCAUAGAGUGCUGCCCAAAUCAACAAAUAUCCCGGAAGCAUAUGUGGAUUACGUCCAAUUUUUGUUCUCUUUAGCACCUUUUUCCUAUGUGAGGACAACAAACCGAACGACCUGGUCAUUCUCUAUUUUGUUGUCAUGCCUUUCUACCCUUUUUCAACCAAGAGACACGGGACUCGUUCCUUAGCUACUAAUUUCCCCUUUUCAACCUAGAUGCGGGUUUGAUGCCUAGUCUCUUUGACAUUACUUUCUCCCUUCCUUUCCUUAUUCAACCCAGACAUGGAUUAGUCUGCAUGAAGUAGGGUUUCCUUUAAUAGUGAAAAUUAAGGUUUUCAUCUGCGUGACCAGCAGAGCAGAGGAUAGCAAAUUGGGAAGAAGGUGGAGUGCAGAACGAUCCAGAUGCAGCGACGUGGCAGAUGGGGCAAUAGAACAAGGGUAUGGUUUGAAAAGAGGUAGCAUACCUGAGGGUCGGCAGGAAGUGGCUUCACUCGUGGUCGUCAUCCUUCGCACAUACUAUGGCAACGAGCUUAGGGACAGAGGCCAUCCCGCACGGGCGCUAGGUUUGAGAGGACGACCUUGUUGUCAGUGCGUGACCUCGCUCGCCGACGACGAGUGCGUCAACGCCGCACGUCCUUUUCUUCCCCAGCGGAUCUGUAACCACCGGUGAGGAGGGAGAGAGUGGUCGUCUUUUUUAGAUAUGGAGAGAGGGUGAUAGUGUGAGAAGCAAGUGGGCAGCCCUUAGCAAGCAAGCGCUGAAGCUCCAGCCUAUAUAUCUUUUUUGAUACUAGUACUAGAGGUGGAGUAGUGGUAGAGUAGUUUAUAUUUUCUCUGCAUACAGUACCAGUUAGUCGUGCUUCAAAACUGAACAACACGCCAUUAUAAAAAUAAAGUCGAGAAAUAAUGUGGCACCUCGGGACAACGCGACCAGAUUGCAUUUUGCACGAGAAAUGACACAUCAUGUUUCAUUAACAUGUGGUCCCAUUCCAACAUGUCAAUGAGACGACGGCGAGUCCUUUUGUACAAUUUCUGAACGGACGGCUAUGUAGGUCGGGGCGCCUCUUCAUGUACCAUGGCAACCGUCCACCACCUCUUCGCCUUUCCCUCUCGAUUUGGAACUGUUGUCGCACGCUCUUCCUACCUCCUCCAUUUGCCUUCACCCUUCCUUCUACCAUCGUUUGAUCGUCUUCUCCAUGGAGGGAACAAGCCGGAAAUGGCCCCGUUAUUCUUGCCCCGAUCUAAAAGAUGACAUGGUGGAGGAACUCAUUGAUCGGUGUGAUGUCAUCACCUCGGCUAGCAUGGCAGGUUCAUUCAAGACCAUUCUCGACUAAACUAAUAACAUCAUUACAAAGAACCCAAGGGUCCAAGAGCGGUUUGAUCUCCCCUAUCUUCUUCGCCGUGACCCUGAUCACUGGCACGGACAAUGGAAGCCUCGCCUUGUGCAAGUUGAUGCACUACAAAAAAAAUACACUUCCGUGAUGAUACAUGUUCAUCACAGUAGGUCACAUUUUCUAUCAUGCAUGUACAUCCAUGGCGAUUUUAUGGCAGAAUCAAGAUAGUCAUACCUGUGUUGUCGUAGAAGUGUUCCAUGACAUUACCAAAAUUAUCAUCACGGAAGUGUCCACUUCCAUGACGAUAAAUCGCGCGUCAUGGAAGUGCUUUCGUCAAGGGUAACCGACACGUGGCAUCCACCAUAAUGGGUCGCCGUUAAGCUAUCGGUUCCGGUUUUGGAUCCAAUAACCCGCUAAUAGCCACGACCAAUGGGGAUUUUCCAUGUGUAAAUUUCUCAUUGGCCAGAGGAACCACAUGUAGGCUCAUCGCUGGGACAGAUGUCAUCCCUACAAUGGACGGAACACGCCUAUGAUAUGUCGCCACAUGGCACGGCCCAACAAUGGCCCAUUUAAGGUAAAAAAGAUCGGCCCAACUAAAGGCCCACCAUAUUUUUUCAGACACUAGUGGGCUGGCCCGUUAACAGCCUACCAUGUUUUGGGUAAAAUUGAGGCCCAUAUCAGAUCAGGCCCAUUCACAGCCAUCCAUGUUUUGGGCCAAAUUAUGGCCCAUAUCGGAUCAGGCCUAUUAGCAGGUCCUUGUUCUUUUGGGCCCAUUCUAAGCCAGGUUUUAUUUCACCCUGUUAGAUGCCCGUUUACCAGUUUGGCCCGAUAAUAGUUUCAGCCUGUUAGCGACCCGUGGUGCAACUCGGAUGUUGUUGGCCCAGUUUAACUUUAGGCCAUUUAAUGGCCCAUGCAAAAAUUGGGCUAUAUCUUGUCCAAAUUAACUUUAGGCCUCUUAUAGGCCCGUAGUCUUCGUGGAUAAAUUUCAACCCGUGUAACUGUUGGGCCUAAUUACAACCCGUGUUGAUUUCGGCCUGCUUACAACCCAUUCGAUAAUGGCCCGUGACACUGUUGGGCCUACGGUCCCGCGUUGAUAGCGGCCGGCUUAAAGCCCAUAGUUUUAUUGGGCCAAACAGGGCCCGAGAUAUAUUUUGGCCUGUUAACAACUCGUCCUAUUUGGGCCAAACAUGGGCCUGAGGCAGUUUUGGCUUGUAUUGGCCCAUGAAUUUUUCGGCCCAACACUAGCCCAAUCUAGUUUUUAGCCUGUUAAAAGCCCAAUGGGAUUCUCUGGCCCAGCUGGCCAGAAUUUUACUCGGCCUGUUAAAGGCGGAAAACUACUAUCGAUUAGACCUGCUAAUGGCCCAAGAUGAUUAUAGGCCCACGUUUUGGCCCAUAUGAGUAACAAGCUAGCCUGAAGACCGGCAACAUUGAGAUCCAUUGAACCUUCUAUCCUAAAUUACAGCAUACCGACCAAGAAUAAAGCCACACUAUACAAUAAAGAAAUUAUGGCAUAAUAAAGCAAAACAUGGCCGCGGAUUACAUACCCUGGGCAUCAAAGGUUGCCACCAGUGCAUACAAACGAGCCACAAAAGAAUAUACAAAACUGAGAGCACUUCAGAAGGCAUUAGGCCUGGAUGGGACGGCCACCGCAAGCAGCCGAACAAGCUGAUGAGACCUCAGUUGUGUCAAUGAUAGAUGCUGCAUCCCUAGCUUUAUAGCACCAAAGCUCGCAAGGUAGUCCUCUGAGAUCUUCAUUGCAUCUUUGACAUCAAGUCGGAGCUUAGCUGAAGCAAGCCUUUCUGCUUUAAGUUGAGACUGAAGAAGUCAAACUAAUUGAGGCAGCGACUACACAAAGGUUGUCUCACAGCUGCUGGAGAGUAGCUUCAACUCACUGUCUUCAUCAAGACAGGACCUUGGGGUCAUCUCGCUCUCUUCAAGAUGGUUUGGCUCACCAUCUUCCGUAAAGUUCUGCCUGACAUAAGAGAUACGACUCUAAAAGAGAAUCAAAGAGGCAAGUAGCAGGUUUCACAAUUAUAUAAGCAAAUAAAUGGAUCUGUUCUGCAUAAGGAACAUGUUUUUACUACUACAAUUUAAAACUAGUAGUUGUUGCAAACAUCCAAUCAGAUGUAAACAACAAAGUAAGCAGUAGUGGAGGAAAUGAUGCCUAGCCAAAUUUAUACUAGAACAAAGUUUGAAGAAUUGAGAAGGAUGAACCUACAUUACAUGCUAAUACGGGUUGGACAAAGCCCUUCUCCAUGUCAAUGGAAGGAUAAUUCAAUAAAUUCACCAAAGAAACUUCUUUAUAAGCGUUGCCAUUAUUCUACAUUUUGCAAAGAGUAAAUAUAGAUCACAUAAUAUUGGAAGAAAUAGAGGAUAAUGAAGCUGAGGUGCAGACUGAUGAUACAUAAUCAAAUAGCAAUUAAUUAAGUACUACGUUACAAGGCAAAAGGUACUGACAAGAGGAAUGCAGACAUCAAUGUGUGUAGUGGCAUUGGCUUUAUUCAACAUUUUGGUAAGAGUAAAUGUAGAUCUAAUAAUUUGGAGGAAGUGGAGGGCAGGGCAGAUAAGAUGAUGAGUAAUGCUAGACAAUCAACUAUCGCACGAUGCAAGUACAAUAAUACCACCACCGUCCGUUAUUACUUGUCGCUCAAAUGGAUGUAUGUCGCACUAUUAAGUUCUAAAUACAUCCAAUUGAUCAACAAUUAGUUCGAUACAGAGGGAGUACAUGACAACAGGUACUUACAUGAGCAAUCCAAAACUUCAUAACCAUCGUGUUAAUUCUACAUUUAUCUAAGAGUAAAUCUAUAUCUUAUAAUUUUGAGCAAAGGGAGGAUCACUAGUAGAAAAAGGACCUAAUGUGAGACACAUUAGUCCCGGUUCGAUUUUGGCCCGGUACUAAUGGUACCAUUAGUGCCGGUUCGAACGGCUAUGCAUUAAUGUCGGUUCGCUAUGAACCUUUAGUACCGGUUCAUGUCACGAACCGGUACUAAAGGGGUGUUGGCAGGCUGGCGUCAGGCCGGGGCCCCACGAUCACCUUUAGUACCGGUUCGUGGCACAAACCGGUACUAAAGGGCUAACCUUUAGUACCGGUUCGUGCCACGAACUGGGACUAAAGGGGUUUGACCUAUAGUCCCGGUUGGAGACNNNNNNNNNNNNNNNNNNNNNNNNNNNNNNNNNNNNNNNNNNNNNNNNNNNNNNNNNNNNNNNNNNNNNNNNNNNNNNNNNNNNNNNNNNNNNNNNNNNNNNNNNNNNNNNNNNNNNNNNNNNNNNNNNNNNNNNNNNNNNNNNNNNNNNNNNNNNNNNNNNNNNNNNNNNNNNNNNNNNNNNNNNNNNNNNNNNNNNNNNNNNNNNNNNNNNNNNNNNUAAAAAAAUAAAAAAAAUAAAAUUCUUCGAGAAGUAGUUAUAUUACUACAUCUACUAGUUAGGAAAAUUAAAAAAAUUUAAAUGUGGACAUGUUUUGCAAAAAGUGUAGGGAAAAUGUAAAACGGCUAUAACUUUUGCAUAUGAUGUCGGAAAAAACGUAUAAUAUAUCAAAAAAAUCGGCACGAAAAUCCGCAUCCGAUUUUGACUCCUCAUACUAAUUAUUCGUGAAUUGCUUGUAUGAACAAUAUUGUGAUUGUCAAGCCUCAAAAGAUUUCACUUUCUAAACCCAAUGUGAAGCUACCACUAGGCAUGAUAAGAUUUCAACUUCAUGAUAUUCCAUUCAUUCAACAAUUUGCUCAUAGGAUAUAAGUGAAGCACAAGAGUAAAUCUAUAGAAAAGAGCUUCGUUGACGGGAUGUGAAUGCCGCUUUCCUAGCCUCCUAUUUGAGGACUCUAUUUUAUUUAAAAACUUUUAGGUCUAAGUAUUUUAUUAAAACAGCAAGCAAAACAAAACAAAAUUACAUUCCAAGAAUAGCACACAUCAUGUGAGGAAGCAAAAACUUAGGCUCAACCGAUACUAAAAGGUAGUUGUUGAAGAGAAAAGGUGGGAUGCCUACCGAGGCAUCCCCAAGCUUAGAUGCUUGAGACUUCUUGAAAUAUUAUCUUGGGGUUCCUUGGGAAUCCCCAAGCUUGAGCUUUUUUGUCUCCUUAAUUCUUCUCAUAUCACGGUUUUCCUAAAUCUCAAAAGCUUCAUCCACACAAAACUUAACAAGAACUUGUGAGAUAAGUUAGUAUAAAGCAAUGCAAAACCUUAUCAUUCUCUACUGUAGCAAAGCACUAAAAUUAUUAGUCAACAUUGCAUACUAAAUGCCUCUGCAUAUUCAAUAGUCCGAUCCUCAAAUAUAAUCAUUAAACAAGCAAACAUAUGCAAACAAUGCAACCAUAACAGCAAUCUGCCAAAACAGUACAGUCUGUAAAGAAUGCAAGAUUCAUCAUACUUCCCUAACCCCAAAAAUUAUGAGAAAAAUACCACACUGUAGGAAAUUUAUUAGAUCUUAUUUUUCAAAAAUGUUUCAACAAUUUAUCAUUUCUGAAUUUUCUAGGGAAUUUUUGCAACAUCGAUAAACUUUCUGUUCUGAAACAGCAACUUGUAUACUUGAAAAAUAAGCAUGGCAAAGGCUAGCAUUGCCACUUUUAUUGAAAUAAAAGAUGCAAAACAUUAUUAUAAAUAAAAGCAAACAAAUCCUAGCAAAAUAAAUUGACGCUCCAAGAAAAACACAUAUCAUGUGACGAAUGAAAACAUAGCUCCAAGUGAGGUUAGCGAUAAUCUUGGAGACGAAAGAGGGGAUGCCAUCCGGGGCAUCCCCAAGAUUAGUUGCUUCGAUCUUCCUUGAAUAUUACAUUGGGGGUGCCUUGGGCAUCCCCAAUCUUAGGGUAUUUUCACUCCUUAUUCUGCUCAUAUCGACAUCUCACCCAAAACUUGAAAACUUCAAUCACACAAAACUUGACGGAACCUUGUGAGAUAGGUUAGUAUGAUAAAGAGCAAACCAUUUCACUUUUGGUACUGUCAAAGACAAGAUUCAUAAUUGUUUCCACACAAUGCCUACUGUAGCAUAUCACUUCCACAAUUUAUAUUGAGCAAUAUAAGCCAUAGAAACAAGGAAACAAGCAAACUAUGCAUUGAAAACAGAAUCUGUCAAAAACAGAACAGUGUGUAGUAAUCUGUACUCAAACCAUACUUCUGCUACUUCAAAAAUUAUUAAAAAAUGGACCACGUGAGAAAUUUGUAUAUUAAUCUUCUGCAAAAACAAUAAACUCAAAAGCACUCUUCUGUUAAAAAUUAGAGCUAUUUUCGUGAGCGCAAGAGUUUCUGUUUUUUCAGCAAGAUCAAAUCAACUAUAACCCAACAUGAUCCCAAUGGCUUUACUUGGCACUUUAUUGAAACAAAGACGAUAAAACAUGAUUGCUACAGUAUCCUAAUCAUGUGAACAUACAAAAACAGUAGGUAAAAGUGUUGGGUUGUCUCCCAACAAGCGCUUUUCUUUAAUGCCUUUUAUCUAGGCAUGAUGAGUUCAAUGAUGCUCGCAUAAAAGAUAAAGAUUGAAGCAUAACAAGAGCUUCAUGAAUCAUAAGUUCCUCUCUCAUAAUAUUUUUCAGUAGAAUCAUGAAUAGAGUCAUCCAUAUAACCAUCACAUAAAGCAUUCUUUUCAUGAUCCAAAAGCAUAGAUAAUUUAUUACUCUUUAUGGCAUACAUGUCAUCAUAAUAAUCAUCAUAAGUAGCAACUUUGUUCUCAUCAUAGUCAAUUGAAACCUCUUCCAAAAUAGUGGAUGUAUCACUAAAUAAAGUCAUGACCUCUACAAAUACACUUUCAUCAAUAUUGCAAUAAGAUUCAACACCCUCCAAAAUAGUGGUAUCACUACUACCUAGAGUUGACACUCUUCCAAACCCACUUUCAUAAUUGUAAUCAUCAUAAAUAGGAGGCAUGCUAUCAUCAUAAUAAAUUUUCUUAUUGAAAGUAGAAGGAAUCAAAGGAUCAUAUUCAUUAGGCAAAGCAUACCCAAGCUUGGGACAAGCAUUGUUUUCAGAAAAUAAAUCUUCAAACAUUUCAUACUCAUCAAACAUAGCAUUCCCAAGCUUGUGGUUUUGCAUAUCAUCAUAAACAUUCUUAUCAAUAGCAUGAAUGGCACCAAUGGUAUAGCAAACAUUAUUAUCAUAUUCUUCCAAGCAAGUGACAAAAAUAUAUUCAAGGUCAUAAGAGACAUCAUUGUCUUCCCAAUCAUAAUCAUCACAACAAGAAGUAGGCAUCAGAAAAUCAUACUCAAUAUCAUCAUCCUCCAUCAACAUAUUUGAUCACUUUCAUGAGGCACAAUGGUGAUAGGAGCAAUAUUACUUGGGAGAGUUACCUUUUCACUUCUACUUUUUCUUCUUUUAUUUUUCUUCUUCACCACCUCACAUGUGGGUUUAAUCAAUUUUUUCAAGCUUCUUAUUAAAAAGAUUGAUUGGAUAGGAAGCUCCUCCUCGUUACCUGAUUCAUCAUAAGAAACACUAGGAGGGUAUUGGGCAUAUUUUCCCUUUCAUUAGUACUCUCUUCAUAUUCUAUUUCUUUUCUUUUCUUUAGAUAGUUGGCAAUGUAAGGAUUCUCAAUGCAAUUUACUGCACAAAUAUAUAAAUUUCCUCUAGAUCAAAAUCAAGAACUCUUUCAAGGGCAAAUUCUGGAAUAUCCUUAGUUAUACGUUUCAUUUCUUCAUACCCCAAAAGAAGGCUAAGCUCUUUAUGAUGCUCAAGGGUAAUCAAGUUAUCAUAGUUUUUGGACAUGAUUUGAUCAUAAAACAAAUGGCAUUGGAGUUUUAAAUGACCACGUUAAUUGCAAAAUUCACAAGGAUGGCGAAAAAUAUUAAAUAUUUCAGCACAAACAUCUAGCCUAUCUUGCAACCAUUUUGUUUCUAAAUAUUUAUGCUUCUUACAAAAUCUAUCUUCCCUUUUUGGUGUGUGUGUGCACUCCCAAUAUACUCCGCAAAAAUUGACAUCCUUGUAGGAGACAUCACUAACAUGGCUAGUGCGAUCAUCAUUAUGAAGGAAAUAUGCCCUAGAGGCAAUAAUAAAGUUAUUAUUUAUUUCCUUAUAUCAUGAUAAAUGUUUAUUAUUCAUGCUAGAAUUGUAUUAACCGGAAACAUAAUACAUGUGUGAAUACAUAGACAAACAUAGUGUCACUAGUAUGCCUCUACUUGACUAGCUCAUUAAUCAAAGAUGGUUAUGUUUCCUAACCAUAGACAUGUGUUGUCAUUUGAUUAACGGGAUCACAUCAUUAGGAGAAUGAUGUGAUUGACAUGACCCAUUCCAUUAGCCUAGCACUUGAUCGUUUAGUAUAUUGCUAUUGCUUUCUUCAUGACUUAUACAUGUUCCUGUAACUAUGAGAUUAUGCAACUCCCGUUUACCGGAGGAACACUUUGGGUGCUACCAAACGUCACAACGUAACUGGGUGAUUAUAAAGGAGUACUACAGGUGUCUCCGAAGGUACAUGUUGGGUUGGCAUAUUUCGAGAUUAGGUUUUAUCACUCCGAUUGUCGGAGAGGUAUCUCUGGGCCCUCUCGGUAAUGCACAUCACUAUAAGCCUUGCAAGCAAUGUAGCUAAUGAGUUAGUUACGGAAUGAUGUAUUAUGUAACGAGUAAAGAGACUUGCCAGUAACGAGAUUGAACUAGGUAUUGGAUACCGACGAUCAAAUCUCGGGCAAGUAACAUACCGAUGACAAAGGGAACAACGUAUGUUGUUAUGCGGUUUGACCGAUAAAGAUCUUCGUAGAAUAUGUGGGAGCCAAUAUGGGCAUCUAGGUCCCGCUAUUGGUUAUUGACGGGAAACAAGUUCUAGGUCAUGUCUACAUAGUUCUCGAACCCAUAGGGUCCGCACGCUUAACGUUUCGUUGACGAUAUAGUAUUAUAUGAGUUAUGUAUGUGGGUAACCAAAUGUUGUUCGGAGUCACGGAUGAGAUCAUGGACAUGACGAGGAACUCCAGAAUGGUCCGGAGAUAAAGUUUGAUAUAUGGGAUAAUAGUGUUUGAUCUCCGGAAGAGUUCCGGAAUUCACCGGAAGGGGUUCCGGAUGUUUCCCGAAAUGUUUGGGUACGAGAACACGUUAUUUGGGUCAAAGGGGAAAGACCACAAGGUUUUUGGAAAGCGCAAAAGGAAGUUUUGCGGAGUCCAGGUGCCAGACGCCAGGGUCCCUGGCGUCUGGGUCCAGACACCGGGAACCCUGGCGUCUGGCCCUGAAGUCCGAGAAGGACUCUUGCCUUUCGGGUGAAACCGACUUUGUGGAGGCUUUUACUCCAAGUUUCGACCCCAAGGCUCAACAUAUAAAUAGAGGGGCAGGGCUAGCACCAAAGACACAUCAAGAAACACCAAGCCGUGUGCCGGCAACCCCGUCCCCUCUAGUUUAUCCUCCGUCAUAGUUUCCGCAGUGCUUAGGCGAAGCCCUGCGGAGAUUGUUCUUCACCAACGCCGUCACCACGCCGUCAUGCUGCCGGAACUCAUCUACCACUUCGCCCGUCUUGCUGGAUCGAGAAGGCGAGGACGUCAUCAAGCUGAACAUGUGCAGGACUCGGAGGUGCCGUGCGUUCGGUACUUGGAUCGGUCGGAUCGUGAAGACGUACGACUACAUCAACCGCGUUGAUAAACGCUUACGCUUAGCGAUCUUCAAGGGUAUGACGAUGCACUCCUCCUCUCGUUGCUAUGCAUCACCAUGAUCUUGUGUGUGCGUAGGAAAAUUUUGAAAUUACUAUGUUCCCCAACAGUGGCAUCCGAGCCUAGGUUUUAUGCGUAGAUAUCAUAUGCACGAGUAGAACACAAGUGAGUUGUGAGCGAUACAAGUCAUAUUGCUUACCAGCAUGUCAUACUUUGGCUCAGCGGUAUUGUGAGAUGAAGCGGCCCGGACCGACAUUACGCGUACGCUUACGCGAGACUGGUUUCACCGUUACGAGCACUCAUGCUUAAAGGUGACUAGCGGGUGUCUGUCUCUCUCACUUUAGCUGAACCGAGUGUGGCUACGCCUGGUCCUUGCAAAGGUUAAAACAACAUUAACUUGACGAACUAUCUUGUGGUUUUGAUGCGUAGGUAAGAACGGUUCUUGCUAAGCCCGUAGCAGCCACGUAAAAUUUGCAACAACAAAGUAGAGGACGUCUAACUUGUUUUUGCAGGGCAUGUUGUGAUGUGAUAUGGUCAAGACGUGAUGCUAUAUUUUAUUGUAUGAGAUGAUCAUGUUUUGUAACCAUAGUUAUCGGCAACUGGCAGGAGCCAUAUGGUUGUCGCUUUAUUGUAUGAAAUGCAAACGCCUUGUAAUUGCUUUACUUUAUCACUAAGCGGUAGCGAUAGUCGUAGAAGCAAUAGAUGGCGUAACGACAACGAUGCUACGAUGGAGAUCAAGGUGUCGCGCCGGUGACGAUGGUGAUCACGACGGUGCUUCAAAGAUGGAGAUCACAAGCACAAGAUGAUGAUGGCCAUAUCAUAUCACUUAUAUUGAUUGCAUGUGAUGUUUAUCCUUUAUGCAUCUUAUCUUGCUUUGAUUGACGGUAGCAUUUUAAGAUGAUCUCUCACUAAAUUAUCAAGAAGUGUUCUCCCUGAGUAUGCACCAUUGCAAAAGUUCUUCGUGCUGAGACACCACGUGAUGAUCGGGUGUGAUAGGUUCUACGUUCAAAUACAACGGGUGCAAAACAGUUGCACACGCGGAAUACUCAGGUUAAACUUGAUGAGCCUAGCAUAUAACAGAUAUGGCCUCGGAACACGGAGACCGAAAGGUCGAGCGUGAAUCAUAUAGUAGAUAUGAUCAACAUAUUGAUGUUCACCGUUGAAACUACUCCAUCUCACGUGAUGAUCAGACAUGGUGUAGUUGAUAUGGAUCACGUAAUCACUUAGAGGAUUAGAGGGAUGUCUAUCUAAGUGGGAGUUCUUAAGUUAUAUGAUUAAUUGAACUUUAAUUUAUCAUGAACUUAGUCCUGGUAGUAUUUUGCAAAUUAUGUUGUAGAUCAAUAGCUCGCGUUGUUGCUUUCAUAUGUUUAUAUGUUCCUAGAGAAAAUUGUGUUGAAAGAUGUUAGUAGCAAUGAUGCAGACUUGGUCCGUGAUCUGAGGUUUAUCCUCAUUGCUGCACAGAAGAAUUAUGUCCUUUAUGCACCGCUAGGUGACAGACCUAUUGCAGGAGCAGAUGCAGACGUUACGAACGUUUGGCUAUCUUAAUAUGAUGACUACUUGAUAGUUUAGUGCACCAUGCUUAACGGCUUAGAAUCGGGACUUCAAAGACGUUUUGAACGUCAUGGACCAUAUGAGAUGUUCCAGGAGUUGAAGUUAAUAUUUCAAGCAAAUACCCGAGUUGAGAGAUAUGAAGUCUCCAACAAGUUCUAUGGCUAAAAGAUGGAGGAGAAUCGCUCAACUAGUGAGCAUGUGCUUAGAUUGUCUGGGUACUACAAUCGCUUGAAUCAAGUGGGAGUUAAUCUUCCAGAUAAGAUAGUGAUUGACAGAAUUCUCUAGUCACCAUCACUAAAGUUACUAGAACUUCGUGAUGAACUAUAGUAUGCAAGGGAUGACCAAAACGAUUCCCGAGCUCUUCGUGAUGUUGAAAUCGACGAAGGUAGAAAUCAAGAAAGAGCAUCAAGUGUUGAUGAUUGAGAAGAUCACUAGUUUCAAGAAAAGGGCAAAGGGAAAGAAAAGGGAACUUCAAGUAGAAUGACAAACAAGUUUUCACUCCCAUGAAGAAGCCCAAAGCUGGACCAAAGCCUGAAACUGAGUGCUUACACUGCAAAGGAAAUGGUCACUGGAAGCGGAAAUGCCCUGAAUAUUUGAUCAGAAGGAUGUCAAAGUGAACAAUGGUAUAUUUGAUAUACAGGUUAUUGAUGUGUACCUUACUAGUGUUUAUAGUAGCCCCUGAGUAUUUGAUACUUGUUCGGUUGCUAAAAAUUAGUAACUCGAAACAGGAGUUACAGAGUAAACAGAGACUAGUUGAGGGUGAAGUGACGAUGAGUGUUGGAAGUAGUUCCAAGAUUGAUCUGAUCAUCAUCGCACACUCCCUAUACUUUCGGGAUUAGUGUUGAACCUAAAUAAAUGUUAUUUGGUGUUUGCGUUGAGCAUGAAUGUGAUUUGAGCAUAUUUAUUGCAAUACGGUUAUUCAUGUAAGUUAGAGAAUAAUUGUUAUUCUGUUUACAUGAAUAAAACCUUCUAUGGUCAUACACCCAAUGAAAAUGGUUUGUUGGAUCUCGAUCGUAUGAUACACAUAUUCAUAAUAUUGAAGCCAAAAGAUGUAAAGUUAAUAAUGAUAGUGCAACUUAUUUGUGGCACUGCCGUUUAGGUCAUAUUGGUGUAAAGCGCAUGAAGAAACUCCAUGUUGAUGGGCUUUUGGAAUCACUUGAUGCUUGCGAACCAUGCCUCAUGGGCGAGAUGACUAAGACUCCGUUCUCCGGAACAAUGGAGCGAGCAAUAGAUUUGUUGGAAAUAAUACAUAUUGAUGUAUGAGAUCCAAUGAGUGUUGAUGCUCGUGGCAAGUAUCGUUAUUUUCUGACCUUCACAGAUGAUUUGAGCAGAUAUGGGUAUAUCUACUUGAUGAAACAUAAGUCUGAAAUAGUUGAAAAGUUCAAAGAAUUUCAGAGUGAAGUGGAAAAAUCAUCUUAACAAGAAAAAUAAAGUUUCUACGAUCUGAUCGUGGAGACGAAUAUUUGAGUUAUGAGUUUGGUCUUCAUUUGAAACAACGUGAAAUAGUUUCGCAACUCACGCCAUCUGGAACACCACAAUGUAAUGGUGUGUCUGAAUGUCGUAAUCGUACUUUAUUAGAUAUGGUGCGAUCUAUGAUGUCUCUUAUCGGUUUACCACUAUCGUUUUGGGGUUAUACAUUAGAGACAACUGCAUUCACAUUUAAUAGGGCACCAUCUAAAUCCGUUGAGACGACACCGUAUGAACUAUGGUUUAGCAGUAAACCUAAGCUAUCGUUUCUUAAAGCUUGGAGUUGCGAUGCUUAUAUGAAAAAGGUUUUCAACCUGAUAAGCUCGAACCCAAAUCGGAGAAGUGUGUCUUCAUAGAAUACCCAAAGGUAACUAUUGGGUACACCUUCUAUCACAGAUCCGAAGGCAAGUUAUUCAUUGCUAAGAUGGAUCCUUUCUAGAGAAGAAGUUUCUCUCGAAAGAAGUGAGUGGGAGGAAAGUAGAACUUGAUGAGGUAAUUGUACCUUCUCCCUUAUUGGAAAGUAGUUCAUCACAGAAAUCAGUUCCAGUGAUUCCUACACCAAUUAGUGAGGAAGUUAACGAUGAUGAUCAUGAAACUUCAGAUCAAGUUGCUACCAAACCUCGUAGGUCUUCCAGAGUAAGAUCCGCACCAGAGUGGUACGGUAAUCAUGUUUUGGAAGUCAUGUUACUAGACCAUGAUGAACCUACGAACUAUGAGGAAGCGAUGAUGAGCCCAGAUUCCGCGAAAUGGCUUGAGGCCAUAAAAUCUGAGAUAGGAUCCAUGUAUGAGAACAAAGUAUGGACUUUGGUUGACUUGCUCGAUGAUCAGCAAGCCAUGUUAAAUAAAUGGAUCUUCAAGAGGAAGACGGACACUGAUAGUAGUGUUACUAUCUACUAAGCUCGACUUGUUGCGAAACGUUUUCGACAAGUUCUAGGUGUUGAAUACAUGAGAUUUUCUCACUCAUAUCGAUGCUUAAGUCUGUCUGAAUCAUGUUAGCAAUUGCCAUAUUUUAUGAAAUCUGGCAAAUGGAUGUCAAAACUGCAUUCCUUAAUGGAUUUAUUAAAGAAGAGUUGUAUAUGAUGCAACCAGAAAGUUUUUGUCAAUCCUAAAGAUGCUAACAAAGUGUGCAAGCUCCAGCAAUCCAUCAAUGGACUGGUGCAAGCAUCUCGGAGUUGGAAUAUAUGCUUUGAUGAGUUGAUCAAAGCAUAUGGUUUUAUAUAGACUUUUGGAAAGGCAUGUAUUUACAAGAAAGUGAGUGGGAGCUCUGUAGCAUUUCUGAUAUUAUAUGUGCAAGACAUAUUGUUGAUUGGAAAUGAUAUAGAAUUUCUGGAUAGCAUUAAAGGAUACUUGAAUAAAAAGUUUUUCAAUGAAAGACCUUAGUGAAGCUGCUUACAUAUUGAGCAUCAAGAUCUAUUGAGAUAGAUCAAGAUGCUUGAUAAGUUUUUCAAUAAGUACAUACCUUGUCAAGAUUUUCAAAUAGUUCAAAAUGGAACAGUCAAAGAAAGAGUUCUUGCCUGUGUUGCAAAGGUGUGAAAUUGAGUAAGACUCAAGACCCGACCACGGCAGAAAAUAGAAAGAGAAUGAAAGUCAUUCCCUAUGCAUCAGUCAUAGGUUCUAUAAAAGUAUGCCAUGCUAUGGACCAAAUCUAUUGUAUACUCUGCCCUGGUUUGGCAAGGGAGUACAAUAGUGAUCUAGGAGUAGAUCACUGGACAUUGGUCAAAAUUAUCCUUAGUAGAAUAAGGAUAUGUUUCUCGAUUAUGGAGGUGAUAAAAGAGUUCGUCGUAAAGAGUUACAUCGAUGCAAGGUUUUACAUAGAUCCAGAUGACUCUAAGUCUCAAUCUGGAUACAUAUUGAAAGUGGGAGCAAUUAGCUAGAGUAGCUCCGUGCAAAGCAUUGUAGACAUAGAAUAUUUGCAAAAUACAUACGACUCUGUAAUAUGACAGACCCGUUGACUAAACUUCUCUCACGAGCAAAACAUGAUCAUACCUUAGUACACUUUCGGUGUUAAUCACAUAGCAAUGUGAACUAGAUUAUUGACUCUAGUAAACCCUUUGGGUGUUGAUCACAUGACGAUGUGAACUAUGGGUAUUAAUCACAUACAGGUGUGAAUAUUGGUGUGAAAUCACAUGAUGAUGUGAACUAGAUUAUUGACUCUAGUGCAAGUGGGAGACUGAAGGAAAUAUGCCCUAGAGGCAAUAAUAAAGUUAUUAUUUAUUUCCUUAUAUCAUGAUAAAUGUUUAUUAUUCAUGCUAGAAUUGUAUUAACCGGAAACAUAAUACAUGUGUGAAUACAUAGACAAACAUAGUGUCACUAGUAUGCCUCUACUUGACUAGCUCAUUAAUCAAAGAUGGUUAUGUUUCCUAACCAUAGACACGUGUUGUCAUUUGAUUAACGGGAUCACAUCAUUAGGAGAAUGAUGUGAUUGACAUGACCCAUUCCGUUAGCCUAGCACUUGAUCGUUUAGUAUAUUGCUAUUGCUUUCUUCAUGACUUAUACAUGUUCCUGUAACUAUGAGAUUAUGCAACUCCCGUUUACCGGAGGAACACUUUGGGUGCUACCAAACGUCACAAUGUAACUGGAUGAUUAUAAAGGAGUACUACAGGUGUCUCCGAAGGUACAUGUUGGGUUGGCGUAUUUCGAGAUUAGGUUUUGUCACUCCGAUUGUCGGAGAGGUAUCUCUGGGCCCUCUCGGUAAUGCACAUCACUAUAAGCCUUGCAAGCAAUGUAGCUAAUGAGUUAGUUAUGGAAUGAUGUAUUAUGUAACGAGUAAAGAGACUUGCCAGUAAUGAGAUUGAACUAGGUAUUGGAUACCGACGAUCAAAUCUCGGGCAAGUAACAUACCGAUGACAAAGGGAACAACGUAUGUUGUUAUGCGGUUUGACCGAUAAAGAUCUUCAUAGAAUAUGUGGGAGCCAAUAUGGGCAUCUAGGUCCCGCUAUUGGUUAUUGACCAGAAACAAGUUCUAGGUCAUGUCUACAUAGUUCUCGAACCCAUAGGGUCCGCACGCUUAACGUUUCGUUGACGAUAUAGUAUUAUAUGAGUUAUGUAUGUUGGUAACCGAAUGUUGUUCGGAGUCACGGAUGAGAUCAUGGACAUGACGAGGAACUCCGGAAUGGUCCGGAGAUAAAGUUUGAUAUAUGGGAUAAUAGUGUUUGAUCUCCGGAAGAGUUCCGGAAUUCACCGGAAGGGGUUCCGGAUGUUUCCCGAAAUGUUUGGGUACGAGAACACGUUAUUUGGGCCAAAGGGGAAAGACCACAAGGUUUUUGGAAAGUGCAAAAGGAAGUUUUGCGGAGUCCAGGGGCCAGACGCCAGGGUCCCUGGCGUCUGGGUCCAGACACCGGGAACCCUGGCGUCUGGCCCUGAAGUCCGAGAAGGACUCUUGCCUUUCGGGUGAAACCGACUUUGUGGAGGCUUUUACUCCAAGUUUCGACCCCAAGGCUCAACAUAUAAAUAGAGGGGCAGGGCUAGCACCAAAGACACAUCAAGAAACACCAAGCCGUGUGCCGGCAACCCCGUCCCCUCUAGUUUAUCCUCCGUCAUAGUUUCCGUAGUGCUUAGGCGAAGCCCUGCGGAGAUUGUUCUUCACCAACACCGUCACCACGCCGUCGUGCUGCCGGAACUCAUCUACUACUUCGCCCGUCUUGCUGGAUCGAGAAGGCGAGGACGUCAUCAAGCUAAACGUGUGCAGAACCCGGAGGUGCCGUGCGUUCGGUACUUGGAUCGGUCGGAUCGUGAAGACGUACAACUACAUCAACCGCGUUGAUAAACGCUUCCGCUUAGCGAUCUUCAAGGGUAUGAAGAUACACUCCUCCUCUGGUUGCUAUGCAUCACCAUGAUCUUGUGUGUGCGUAGGAAAAUUUUGAAAUUACUACGUUCCCCAACACAUUAACCUCAUGGAUAUUCAAAGUGUUCAUACUAGCAACAUUGCAAUCAUGCUCAUCAUUCAUGCAAAUCAUUUUAUUAAAUUCUUCUUCUAACAAUUGAGCACAACUUUCCGAUCCAUCAUUUUCAAGAAAGAUAUUAUAAAGAUGAUCAAUAAUAUGAUGCAACCUUAAUUCCAUUUUUCGUGUAGUUUUCUUUUAUAGACCAAACUAGUGAUAAAACAACAAACUAAAAGAUUCGAUUGCAAGAUCUAAAGAUAUACCUUCAAGCAUUCACCUCCCCAGUAACGGCGCCAGAAAAGAGCUUGAUGUCUACUACGCAACUUUAUUCUUGUAGACACAUGUUGGGCCUCCAGGCGCAGAGUUUUGUAGGACAGUAGCAAUUUUCCCACAAGUGGAUGACCUAAGGUUUAUCAAUCCGUGAGAGGUGUAGGAUGAAGAUGGUCUCUCUCAAACGAUCCUGCAACCAAAUACAAGAAAUCUCUUGUGUCCCCAACACACCCAAUACAAUGGCAAAUUGUAUAGGUGCACUAGUUCGGCGAAGCGAUGGUGAUUAAAGUGUAAUAUGGAUGGUAGAAAUAUAUUUUUAUAAUCUGAAUAAAUAAAAACAGCAAGGUAGAAAAUAGUAAACGGGCAAAAAACGGUGUUGCAAUGCUUAAAAAUGAGGCCUAGGGUGCAUACUUUCACUAGUGCAAUCUCUCAACAAAGCUAACAUAGUUGGAUCAUAUGAUUAUCCCUCAAAAUGCAACAAAGAAUCAUUCCCGAGUUCCUAUUAGCGGAGAACAAAAGAGAGAAAUUGUUUGUAGGGUACGAAACCACCUCAAAGCUAUUCUUUCCGAUCGAUCUAUCCUAGAGUUCGUACUAAAAUAAGAGCAAGCUAUUCUUUCCGAUCGAUCUAAUCAAGAGUUCGUACUAAAAUAACACCAUAUGACACAUAUCAACCAACUCUAAUGUCACCUAGAUACCCCAAUGUCACCGUGAGUACCCAUGACCUAAUUAUACGACAUGUUCAAACAAUUUUAGAUUCAUAAUGCUCAAUCCAACACAAAACUACAAGGGGACCCCAAAGUUUCUAUCAGAGAAAAGAUAAUAAAAACAUGCAUCAACCCCUAUGCAUAGAUUACCCCAAUGUCACCGCGGGAAUCCGCAAGUUGACUGCCAUAACAUAUAUCAAGUGAAUCAAUAUGAUAAUCCAUUGUCACCUCAAUUAUUCAUACGACAAGACAUACAUCAUGUGUUUUCAAAUCUGAACAUUCAAUCCGACAAGACAAAACUUCAAAGGGUAAAGACUCAAUUCAUCACAACAAAAGUAGAGAGGGGAGAAACAUCAUAUGAUCCAUUUAAACUAACAAAGCCCGCGAUACAUCAAGAUCGUGAUAUCUCAAGAUCACGAGAGAGAGAGAGAGAGAGAUUAAACACAUAGCUACUGGUACAAACCCUCAGCCCCGAGGAUGGACUACUCGCUCCUCAUCGCGGUGGCCGCCGGGAUGAUGAAGAUGGCCACCGGUGAUGAUUCCCCCCUCCGGCAGGGUGCCGCAAUGGGGUCUAGAUUGGAUCUUGUGGAUACAGAGGUCUUGCGGUGGCGGAACUUUCGAUCUAGGUUAACCCUGAUGGGUUUCAGAAUAUUUGUGAAUUUAUAGGGUAACGAGGGGUUGCGGGAGGCCACCGAAGUGGGCACAACCCACUUGGGCGUGCCAGUGGGCCCAGGCGCGCCCUGGUGGGUUGUGCCCCCCUCGGGGUACCCCCGAGAUCCUGGUUGUUCUGGUCCAUAAAACAUCUCCAAGGAGUUACGUGGUGUUUGGACUCCGUUUGAUAUUGAUUUCCUGCGAUGUAAAAAACAAGGAAAAAAUAGCAACUGGCACUGGGCAGUAGGUUAGUCCCAAAAAAUGAUAUAAAGUUGCUAUAAAAUGAUUGUAAAACACCCAAGAAUGAUAAUAUAAUGGCAUGAAUACUUCAUAAAUUAUAGAUACAUUGGAGACGUAUCAGUGAUCAUCUGCUUUCUUUAUAUCCUUAUCAAUAUGUCGAGGCGUGUUUCGACAGACAAUGCCAUUAAUAUUAAUGCCAUGUUACAUGCCUAAAAAAGUACAUAAGGGAAAGUCUAGCACAGGGUUGUAAGUGCAUCUAGUGCCCCUUAGUGAUUUUGGUGUAUUGAUGACUUAUAGGUUAAGGGACUGAUGCGUUUGUGAGUGUACAUUGGUCUAUAAGUCUAUGAGGAGUUUGAUAUUUACAAAGAAAGUCGACCCCUAAAAAUGAAGUUCUUCAACUGAAGACUUUGGAUUUCUGAAGACUUUCUGAAGACUUUGAAAUUGAAGAAAUUGGUGUAACCUUGAAGACUUGGUAAUCAUUUGAGGAACAUGAAUCAUGAAGACUUUUGUUUUUAUAGUUUCAUUUUCUCUUUAUUGAGUCAUAGGAAACACCGUACUGUUAAAGGGGGUCGAGGAAAUACUAAGGAAAAAAUUCCAUGUGAUGCUCAACUCAAAUCCUACACCUACCAAUCCCUUCGAGUGAAGCCAUUGGAAAUCUCAUACAGUUCAGUCCUAUUCUUCAGUGACAGAGACGAAGUUCUUCUGCUCUCUGAGGAAUUUGUUCUGACUGAGGAGUUAAGAAUUCGCGAGUGCGGAUUGCCUACACAGUGAGGAACAUGAUAGCCCUGAGGAUUUUGAGAGUCAAAAUUCUGACCGUUGCUGUGCUAUGCGCCAGCUGUCCCAAAAUAUCUACCCACCUAACGGUCAUAUCUGACAAGGGCAUUUAUGUCUUAUCAUGUCGGGGUGCUCCCUAGGCUACAAAAAGCCGCCCCCUACAACCACUAGCUGGUUGGCUGCUCCAAGAGAAACUGACACUUGUCAAUUGAGAGCAUCCCAUCCUCCGAGGACUUUGAGUGAAAAUCAUCAAGUGAGGAAAACCCAAACCCAACACCUACAAACCCAAAGUGAUUGAGCAUCACUGAAGAGAUUGAUCCUGCGUCGAUCUGACGCUUGUUUUCUUUGAAGACUGUGCUUCUUCCAGACGGUUAGGCAUCAAGGUCUACAGCAUCCAAGAGGAAUUGUGGAUCGCUGAGUGACCAAGUUUGUGAAGGUCCGGAAGUCACCUGAAGACUUACCACGAGUGAUUGGGCGAGGUCUGUGUGACCUUAGCUCAAGGAGAAUACGGUGAGGACUGUGUGUGAUAACCCGCAAGUAUACGGGAUAGUUGUAUCCUCUUUCGAUAAGUAAAGAGUGUCGAAUCCAACGAGGAGCUAAAGGUAGAACAAAUACUCUCUCAAGUACUAUCGGCCACUGAUACGACUCUACGCACGCUUGACGUUCGCUUUACCUAGAACAAGUAUGAAACUAGAAGUACUUUGUAGGUGUGAUAGGAUAGGUUUGCAAGAUAAUGAAGAACACGUAAACAUAAACUAGGGGCUGUUUAGAUAAAGAAGAAAUAAAGUAAAUAUAGCGAGUGUGGAAAAGUGGUGGUAGGAGUUGUGGAAUUGUCCCUAAGCAAUUGACUACGUUACUAGACCGAUAAUCACUAUUGCAAUUUUAUUUGAGGGCGAGGCAUAAGCUAACAUACUUUCUCUACUUGGAUCAUAUGCACUUAUGAUUGGAACUCUAGCAAGCAUCCGCAAAUACUAAAGAUUCAUUAAGGUAAAACCCAACCAUAGCAUUAAAGUAUCAAGUCCCCUUUAUCCCAUACGCAACAACCCCCUUACUCUGGUUUGUGUUUCAGUCACUCACGCAACCCACUAUAAGUGAAUCAUGAACGCAUUGCAACACCCUACAACGGGAAUCCCUCACGCUUGUGCGACACAGAGGGCACCAUAGGACAUCACCAAUAAUAAAACAUGCAACUCAAACCAAUCAUAGCAAUUCAUCAAUCACCGAUAGGACAACGAAAAUCUACUCAGACAUCAUAGGAUGGCAACACAUCAUUGGAUAAUAAUAUGAAGCAUAAAGCACCAUGUUCAAGUAGAGGGUACAGCGGGUUGCGGGAGAGUGGACCGCUGGAUAUAGAUGGGGGAAGAUGAUGGAGACGUUGGUGAAGAUGAUGGAGGUGUUGGUGAAGAUCGCGGUGAUGAUGAUGGCCCCCGGCGGCGUUCCGGCGCCACCGGAAGCAAGGGGGAGAGAGCCCCCCUUCUUCUUCUUAUUCUUCCUUGACCUUCUCCCUAGAUGGGAGAAGGGUUUCCCCUCUGGUCCUUGGCUCCCAUGGCGUGGGAGGGGCGAGAGCCCCUCCGAGAUUGGAUCUAUCUCUCUGUUUCUGCGUUCUGCGGUUCUGCCCCUUCACCGUUUCCUUUAUAUCUGGAGAUCCGUAACUCCGAUUGGGGUGAAUCUUUCGCCCAGAUAUUUCUCGUAAAAUUAGCUUUCUUGCGGAAAAAGAAGAGCGUCAACCGCCUUACGGGUGGCCCACGAGAGUCCAGGGCGCGCCCAGGGGGGAGGGCGCCCCCUGUCUCAUGGCCACCCCGGACAGCUUUUCGCGUUGAUUUUUCCUCCCAAAAAUCACAAAUAUUCCAAAAUAAUUCUCCGUCCGUUUCUAUCCCGUUUGGACUCCAUUUGAUAUUGGGUUUCUACGAAACAAAAAACAUGCAACAUACAGGAACUGGCACUGGGCACUGGAUCAAUAUGUUAGUCCCAAAAAUAGUAUAAAAAGUUGCCAAAAGUAUAUAAAAGUUGAAUAAUAUUAGCAUAGAACAAUCAAAAAUUAUAGACACAAUGGAGAUGUAUCAACAUCCCCAAGCUUAAUUCCUGCUCGUCCUCGAGUAGGUAAAUGAUAAAAAAGAUAAUUUUUGAUGUGGAAUGCUACCUAGCAUAAUCUUGAUCGUAUGUCUAAUCAUGGCAUGAAUAUUAAGACACGAGUGAUUCAAAGCAAUAGUCUAUCAUUUGACAUAAAAAUGACAAUACUUCGAGCGUACCAAUAAAGCAAUCAUGUCUUUUCAAAACAACAUGGCCAAAGAAAGUUAUCCCUACAAAAUCAUAUAGUCUGGCUGUUGCUCUAUCUUCAUCACACAAAGUAUUUAAUCAUGCACAACCCCGAUGACAAGCCAAGCAAUUUUUUCAUACUUUCAUAAUCUCAAAAAAUUUCAACUUUCACGCAAUACAUGAGUUGAGCCAUGGAUAUAACACUUUGGGGAAGCCCAUCAUCGGAAUAUACAAGCCAAGUUCUAUAAUGAAAAUUCCCACUAGUAUAUGAAAGUGAAAGCAUAGGAGACUCUCUCUAUGAAGAACAUGGUGCUACUUUGAAGCACAAGUGUGGUAAAAGGAUAGUAGCAUUGCCCCUUCUCUCUUUUUCUCUCAUUUUUUUUCUUUUUUUUUCUUUUUGGUGGGCUUCUUUGGCCUCCUUUUUUAUUUGGGCUUCUUUGGCCUGUUUUAUUUUUCAUAAAGUCUGGAGUCUCAUCCCGACUUGUGGGGGAAUCAUAGUCUCCAUCAUCCUUUCCUCACUGGGAUAAUGCUCUAAUAAUGAUGAUCAUCACACUUUUAUUUACUUACAACUCAAUAUCUAGAACAAAGAUAUGACUCUAUAUGAAUGCCUCCGGCGGUGUACCGGGAUGUGCAAUGAUCUAGCAUAGCAAUGACAUCAAAAAACAGAUAAGCCAUGAAAAUGUCAUGCUAGCUAUCUUACGAUCAUACCAAAACAAUAUGACAAUGAAUGCUCAAGUCAUGUAUAUGAUGAUGAUGGAAGUUGCAUGGCAAUAUAUCUCGGAAUGGCUAUGGAAAUGCCAUGAUAGGUAGGUACGGUGGCUGUUUUGAGGAAGGUAUAUGGUGGGUGUAUGGUACCGGCGAAAGGUGCGCGGCACAAGAGAGGCUAGCAAUGGUGGAAGGGUGAGAGUGCGUAUAAUCCAUGGACUCAACAUUAGUCAUAAAGAACUCAUAUACUUAUUGCAAAAAUCUACAAGCCAUUGAAAACAAAGUACUACACGUAUGCUCUUAGGGGGAUAGAUUGGUAGGAAAACGCUCGUCCCCGACCGCCACUCAUAAGGAAGACAUCAAUAAAUAAAAUUGUGCUCCAACUUCAUCACAAAGCGGUUCACCAUACGUGCAUGCUACGGGAAUCACAAACCUCAACACAAGUGCUUCUACUAAUCCACAGUCACCCACCAGCAUGACUCUAAUAUCACCACCUUUAUAUCGCAAAACUAUUGCAAGGAAUCAAACAUAUCAUAUUCAGCGAUCUACAAGUUUAUGUAGGAUUUUAUGACUAACCAUGUGAUUGACCAAUUCCUGUCAUCUCUCUAAAUAGAUAUAAGUGAAGCAAGAGAGUUUAAUUAUUUAUACAAAAUAUAUGCCCAUGCUCUAACAAAUAUAAGUGAAGCAAAAGAGCAUUGUACAAAUGGUGGUUGUCUAUAUGAAGAGAAACAGGCAAUCCAAACUUCAAAUGAUAUAAGUGAAGCACAUGAAGCAUUCUAUAAAGCAAUACUCAAAAGAUUUAAGUGAGGUGCAAUGAGCAUUAUAUAAAUCAACCAAGGACUAUCUCAUACCAGCAUGGUGCAUAAAAGAAAAAUGAAAACUAAAUGCAAAAGAUGCUCCAAGACUUGCACAUAACGCAUGAACGAAACGAAUACGAAAACAUAUUGAUACUAGUUGAAGAAAGAGGGGAUGCCUUCCGGGGAAUCCCCAAGCUUAGAUGCUUGAGUCUCCUUGAAUAUUUACUUGGGGUGCCUCGGGCAUCCCCAAGCUUAAGCUUUUGCCUCUCUCCCUUUUCCUCAUAUCGAGACCUCCUCGUUUAAACACUUCAUCCACACAAAACUUCAACAGAAAACUCGGUAAGAUCCGUUAGUAUAAUAAAGCAAAUCACCACUCUAAGCAUUGUAGCAAACCAAUUCAUAUCUUGUUUUUGCAUUGUGUCUACUGUAAUAUAACUUUUCCAUGGCUUAAUCCACUAAUAUAAAUUGAUAUAUUCAUCAAAACAAGUAAACUAUGCAUCAAAAACAGAAUCUGUCAAAAACAGAGCAGUCUGUAGUAAUCUGAACAUCCACCAUACUUCUGGUACCCCAAAAAUUCUACCAAAAUUAGGAAAAAUAAAAAAUUUGUAUAGCAAGACAGUGCAAAAAUAAUCAUAACCAAUUGACGUUCCAGUUAAAAUGUAAAAUCGCGCACUACAUCCAAAGUUUCUAUCCUGCACCGUACAAACCAACAAGCUUUGUAAACAUCCUAAAGGCAAACCUUGGCAUAUUAUUUUUAUAAUACAAUAGAGUUAUACAAGGGGAUAAUUAUUUUUGAUGAAAAUUUUCUGUAAUCAAGAUUCACAAAGUUUCCCUGAGCAUGAACAAAGUUCAAGGAGCUCUCCCACUUCAACAAUGCUUGUCUUUCUCACUUUCACUUUCCUUUUUGAAGCGUUUUUAGGUUCCCAUCUUUAUUUUUUUGUUUUUAAACCAUAUGAAAGCACUCAACAGAAAUAAACGACUCUCUAAAACUUCCGGGUUGUCUCCCUGGCAGCGCUUUCUUUAAAGCCAUUAAGCUAGGCAUACAGUGCUCAAGUAAUGGAUCCACCCGGAUCCCAAGGUAUAUCAAAGCCAAUUUUAAUUAACAAUGAUUUGUAAUUUAGUAGUGAGCACAAAGUAACAUAUAUCAUGCAACAAUGAAGUCUAACUCUUUUCCUAUGCAUCGGCAUGUCAUAAAAGAACAAUUCAUGGACACCAAGUAAAGGCCAAUGCAUAGUAUAAGUAGUUUCUUGCAAUUCUAUCAUAUUGGAAAUGUAAAGAGGCGGAGAUGUAGUUCCUCUCUCAUAAUAAUUGCAAGUAGGAGUAGCAAGCACAUGCAUAUUAUAUCUAUCAAAAUUAUCAUGUGCAACGGUAAAAGGCAACCCAUCAAUAUAAUCCUUACUAAGCACAAACUUCUCCGAUAUAGUGUAGUCGGGAGAAUGCAAAAAGAUAAUAGGACUAUCAUGCGUGGGUGCAAUAGCAACAAUUUCAUGUUUAACAUAAGGAACUAUAGCAAGUUCAUCUCCAUAAGCAUAAUUCAUAUUGGCAUCUCGGCCACAAGCAUAGCAAGCAUCAUCAAAAAGGGAUAUUUCAAACAAAUUCAAGGGAUCAUAGCAAUCAUCAUAGCAAUCAUCCUUCGGUAAGCACGAAGGGGAAUUAAAUAAUGUAUGAGUUGGAGGGUUACUCUCAUUAGAAGGUGGCACAUGUAGCUAAUCCACUCUUCCUCCUUUUGUUCUUCGCUCUCCUUAUCAUCUUUUUCAUCCAAUGAGCUCACUGUUUCAUCAAUUUCUUCUUCCAUAGCUUCCUGCAAAAUAUUAGUCUCUUCUUGGAUAGCGGAGAAGUCCUCAAUAUAUGGUUUAACAUAGGCAUUAGAAGCAUAAUUAUCAUAACAAUAUUGAAAUAUGGCAAAAAAAUUAGAUUUGUAAAGAGUAGCAUCAUACUUCUCAAUCAAAGAGGCAAUCUCAUAAGCACCUUUAAAAGCAACAAAUUCUUCAACUUGUUGAACAUCAUAGUAAUUGUAAACACCCCUAGCAUACUAAGAUAUGAUUCCAUUAUCACUAAACAAGCAUUGAUAGGGUAGGUGUUUCUUAGGGUCUUCAGAACAACAAGUAAACUCAUAUAUUUCACAUAAAUUCCAAGCAUAACAUUGCAAACGUUGAAUUUGAUCCUAUAAUAGUUUCCGUUUUUCAGAUAUACGGUGUCGCACAAGACAAGCAUGCUCAUCUAAAGAUUUGCCCUCAACUAAACUAGUUGGGGUUUCAGCACGAGCACAAAGGGAUCGAAGAUGAUCCAAGUAAAAAGCUUCAGGAGUGUGAUAGAUUUUGAGUGGUUCUUCAACCACUGGUUUAGUAGGUACAACUAAUUUUUUGGUAUUUUGCAUUUCCUACCCAUUACUAAAGAUAGAAAACAACUAAGAACAGCAAAUAAAAUAAAAAUUGCUUAGUGAUAAAGCAAACAAGCACACACUAGAAAAUUCACCCCACGCUAUGACUCCCCGACAACGGCGCCAGAAAAAGGUCUUGAUAACCCGCAAGUAUACGGGAUAGUUGUAGCCUCUUUUGAUAAGUAAGAGUGUCGAACCCAACGAGGAGCUAAAGGUAGAAUAAAUACUCUCUCAAGUCCUAUCAGCCACUGAUACGACUCUACGCACGCUUGACGUUCGCUUUACCUAGAACAAGUAUGAAACUAGAAGUACUUUGUAGGUGUGAUAGGAUAGGUUUGCAAGAUAAUAAAGAACACAUAAACAUAAACUAGGGGCUGUUUAGAUAAAGAAGCAAUAAAGUAAAUAUAGCGAGUGUGGAAAAGUGGUGGUAGGAGUUGUGGAAUUGUCCCUAAGCAAUUGACUACGUUACUAGACCGGUAAUCACUAUUGCAAUUCUAUUUGAGGGAGAGGCAUAAGCUAACAUACUUUCUCUACUGGAUCAUAUGCACUUAUGAUUGGAACUCUAGCAAGAAUCCGCAAAUACUAAAGAUUCAUUAAGGUAAAACCCAACCAUAGCAUUAAAGUAUCAAGUCCCCUUUAUCCCAUACGCAACAAUCCCCUUAUUCAGGUUUGUGUUUCAGUCACUCAUGCAACCCACUAUAAGCGAAUCAUGAACACAUUGCAACACCCUACAACGGGAAUCCCUCACGCUUGCGCGACACAGAGGGCACCAUAGGACAGCACCAAUAAUAAAACAUGCAACUCAAACCAAUCAUAGCAAUUCAUCAAUCACCGAUAGGACAAUGAAAAUCUACUCAGACAUCAUAGGAUGGCAACACAUCAUUGGAUAAUAGUAUGAAGCAUAAAGCACCAUGUUCAAGUAGAGGGUACAGCGGGUUGCGGGAGAGUGGACCGCUGGAUAUAGAUGGGGGAAGGUGAUGGAGACGUUGGUGAAGAUGAUGGAGGUGUUGGUGAAUAUCGCGGUGAUGAUGAUGGCCCCCGGCGGCGUUCCGGCACCACCAGAAGCAAGGGGGAGAGAGCCCCCCUUCUUCUUCUUCUUCCUUGACCUCCACCCUAGAUGGGAGAAGGGUUUCCCCUCUGGUCCUUGGCUCCCAUGGCAUGGUAGGGGCGAGAGCCCCUCCAAGAUUGGAUCUAUCUCUCUGUUUCUGCGUUCUGCGGUUCUGCCCCUUCACCGUUUCCUUUAUAUCUGGAGAUCCGUAACUCCGAUUGGGGUGAAUCUUUCGCCCAGAUUUUUCUCGUAAAAUUAUCUUUCUUGCGGCAAAAGAAGAGCGUCAAGCGCCUUACGGGUGGCCCACGAGAGUCCAGGGUGCACCCCCCUGUCUCGUGGCCACCCCGGACACCUUUUCGCGUUGAUUCUUCCUCCCAAAAAUCACAAAUAUUCCAAAAUAAUUCUCCGUCCAUUUUUAUCCCGUUUGGAAUCCAUUUGAUAUUGGGUUUCUGCGAAACAAAAAACAUGCAACAGACAUGAACUGGCACUGGGCACUGGAUCAAUAUGUUAGUCCCAAAAAUAGUAUAAAAAGUUGCCAAAAGUAUAUAAAAGUUGAAUAAUAUUGGCAUGGAACAAUCAAAAAUUAUAGAUACGACGGAGACGUAUCAGUGUGUCCGGGACUGGGUAUCCUCGAAUUUAAAUACUCAGCCGCUCCAACCAGAUGUACAACUGAGACAGCAGUCGGAACUGGUCUACCAAAUUAUUGUCUUCACCAAGCUUACUGGUUCUAUUUCCUCAACUCUUUCAUUUCCUCAUGUCUGUUGGUGUGUGCUUGUUCAUAUCUGUUUGAAGACUUUGACUGAAGACUUCCUCAAUUUCCUCAGUUCAAUUUCUUCAGUCUAUCCGUCUUCUUUCUUGUGUUAUCCUUUGUUUACGCUUUCUGUACUCUGUGCUUGUCUUCAUUUCAUUAUGAUGACUAUGCUUGUGUUCUGUUAUAUCUACAUUUGAGUACUUAUUCCGCUGUUAGUAGUUCUUCGUUUAGGAAUUUCCUCACCAGCAAAUUCCUCAGUGAAGAAUUCAUAAAAGUCACCUAUUCACCCCCUCUAGUCGAUAUACGCACUUUCAAUUGGUAUCAGAGCAAGGUACUCCCUUGUUCUGUGUGAUUUUGGUUUAACCGCCUGGAGUUUUAGUUAUGUCGACCGCAGGUAUGAUCAAGGUCUCCGCUGGGUGUCCUACCUUCGAUGGAACGGACUACCCCUAUUGGAAGAAUAAGAUGCGCAUGCAUCUUGAAGCAAUUGAUAACAAUCUCUGGUGUGUUGUGGAAAAUGGUGUUCCCUCAGUCACACCUUCUCUGAACGCUACUGAUGUGAAGAGAUUCAAGCAACUCGAUUCUCAAGCGAAGAAUAUCAUAUGUGGCCACCUGAGCAAAGGACGGUAUGGAAGAGUGAGUGCUUUGGAAACUGCUAAGCUUAUCUAGGAUAGGCUGUCCAAGGUGAAUGAAGGAGUCUCAACUCAACGUGACUCUCGUGUUGACGUUCUUCGCAAUCUCUUCAACCGCUUCAAAAGACUCGACAAUGAAAAUGUCCAGCAAACCUUCGAUCGCCUCACUGACAUCUCAAAUGAGCUUCAAGCGCUUGGCGCCACUGACAUCACCGACCAUGAGGUGGUGAAGAAAUUGCUGAGAUUGCUCGAUUCUUCAUUUGAUACUCUGGCACUGAUGAUCCAAGAACGUGCUAAUUACAAGUCACUUGAUCCUGCUGAUAUCCUCGAGAGGCUAAAUACUCAUGAGUUCCAGCUUGCUGAGAAGAGAGAUCUCUAUGGUUCGAGCUAUGACAGAUCACGUGCUCUGAAGGCCAAGACAGUCUCUGAGUCUGAAGAUGAGGACUCUGCUAGCAGCCUUGGUGACCUUGAAGAACCGAGCCAGGAACUAGCACUGCUCGUGAAGAAAUUUCAAAAGUUCUCAAGACGUGGUCGCUUUGGAAAAUCCUCAAGGAGCAAUGAUUCCUCAUCCAGUGACAACAAAAAGAGGCUAUGCCACAAAUGCAAGAAACCUGGUCACUACAUCCAAGAUUGUCCUUAGUGGGAUAAGGAAUCAAAGAAGAAGAAAUACAAGGAUUACAGUUCUGAUGACGCAAAGAAGAAGAAGAAAUCCUCAAAGUCUUCAUCAUCAAAAUCCUCGAAGUCUUCAUCUCACUAGAAGAGAAGCUCCAAGAAGGCUCGGGCAUUCAUUGGCAAGGAAAUGGACUCUGAGGCUGAAUCUGAGGAACAUGAGGACAAGGGGGCAUCUAAGGAGUCCGAGUCUGGUGUGGCGAGCCUAGCUCUCGCUACUACAUUCGUCAGCAAGUCUAUCUUCAACUCUGAAGAAAAUGUCUUCACCAACAAGGCUGAUGAAGGCAAUGAUGACUACGCUCCCACCUAUUGCUUCAUGGCACAGGGUGCCAAGGUAACUAAAUACGCCUCCUCUGAAUCUAGUGAGGAUGAAUCUGGUGAAAACCUCAAGCCCAGAUACUCUAAACUUGCUAAGAUUGCUGUGAAACAACUGAAGGCUUUUGAAAAGGUUCAAAACAUGCUAGAUAAAAGUGAUGAUAUGUUGGGUGAAGAAUGGAUCGCACUAAAACCUUGACUGAAAAUCUUCAGAGACUUCAGUCCAAGUUUGACAACCUUCAAGGUCAUCAUAACACUCUCUUAUCUGAUCACGAGAAGCUUUCUUAUGAAUUUCUUCAAAGAAAGCAAGAUCUAGAAAAGCUAAGAGUGGAUUAUGAAGAUCUUCAAAAGGAGUGCGAUUCAUUACUUGCUCAACAAAUCAGCGCUCCUCAGGAAGAAUUUGUUCCUCCAUGUCUAAAAUGCAUUGAACGUGAAACUGCUAAUUCUUCACCUGAAUGUUCAAAUGCUUCUAAUGCUACAAAUUCUUCAUCUGUCUCUGCUAUCAUUAAUUCCUCAUCUGAGGACAAUGCAAGUAUCACUGAUGAUGCAGGGCUGAAGGAAUUGUACAUGACAGGCAUGUACAAAAGCCUCAAAGGGCAUCAGACUCUUUGUGAUGUGCUCAAAAAGCAGAUCCUUAACAGAAACCCUAGGAAAGAGGGUAUUGCCUUUGAGAGGAAACUCAAUGCUGAUGGAACAUAUUGGAAGCUUGAGCGGUACCCCAAAACCUCAUGGGUUGCUGCAAAGGGACCUCCAGUUGAUCCAUCCAACUUAUCUGGUUUUACAUGUUAAUCUCCUCAUUCUUCUGAUGAGUCAUUUGACUCCAACUAUAAACUGUUCAAAAAUCAGAAUGGUGAAGUAUUUGCUAGAUAUGUUGGCACUAACUGCAGGAAUGGUUCCCCUAUGAAGAAAAUCUGGGUUCCCAAAAGUUGCCUUGAAAGUCUUCAGGUGAAUGUCCUCAUGACACCACCAGUGAAGAAUAGGAACUCCAGAUCAAAUUCUUCAUAUGAACCAAACUCUUCAUAUGGAUCCAAGUCCUCAUACGGACCAAAUUCCUCAAAAGGAUCAAAGUCCUCAUAUGAUCAUCAUCGUGCUAACCUUUCUGUUUCGCAGGGUUGAGCUAAAGGCUAUGAAUAUGAGCAUUAUUCUUCAAAUCAUUAUGUUCAGAAGUCCUCAAAGAAUUACUCUGCUUAUUCAUAUGCUUACCCUAACCCCUCUUAUGUGAAACGAAGUGGAUUGGCUUCUGUGCCACCUUUCUCAUAUGGUUCUCGUAGAGUGAUGAAUUCUUUGCCACCCCUUCAGAUGUGGGUGGUGAAGAAAAAGAACUAAUCUCUUAUGCAAGGUCAGGUCUCCAUACGUGCUCAAAACAUCUGAAGAAUUUGCUGGAGACCUGAACAGUGCCUGAUAGGACGCAGGCUAAUCAUGAUGAAAUGAACUUUCAUUUCACACGUCCUCAUACUAUUUAUCUGUUCUAUUGCUCGAAGAAAUUGAACUGAUGAUAUUGAUGUCAUAUUCUUCACUGAUGAAGCACAUGCCAUUUCCUCGGACGAUCUUUGGUCUGUUGGUCCUUGAAGAAACAGAACUGCAUAUCACUCUCCACUGUAGAAGCUGAGUACAUUGCUGCCGGAUCAUGCUGUGCUCAACUACUAUGGAUGAAGCAAACACUCAAGGACUAUGGCGUCAACAUGAAGAAUGUGCCUCUCUACUGCGAUAAUGAGAGUGCUAUCAAGAUUGCUCAUAACCCAGUUCAGCACUCGAAUACUAAGCACAUCCAGAUUCGUCAUCAUUUUCUUCGUGAUCAUGUGUUGAAGGGCGACAUCUCCAUCGACCACGUUAGCACUGAAGAUCAGCUGGCCGAUAUCUUCACUAAGCCCUUGGAUGAGAAGAGAUUUAGCAAGUUGUAGUGUGAGCUAAAUAUCCUAACACUUAUGAUGACUUGAUGACUUAGAUGUGCAACACAUGAAGUAAUGUUUUUCUUCAAUCAAUGAAGACUAACCCUCUAAGUGUGAAGAAAUUAAUGAAGAAAUUGAUUCUUAGAGCCCUACGACAAUUGUACGCGGUGUCUGAAAUCAGCUUUCUUAUACGGUGGGUCACGCCACCACCCAAAGUUGGAAAUCUUCAAAUUUGAGUUUUUCUUUGUUUUUGAAAUUCCUCAGUUUUUCAAAUUCUUCAACUUUGCAUUGUCUUCACUCUUUCCGGUGUUGUUCUUCAUUUGAAUACAUACAUAUGAGUUUUAUGUCCUCUACAACAUUCACUUAUUGCUAAUUCUUCAAGCUGAUUUCUUCUGCUAAGUGAAUGUGAUCGGACCCUUCCCCCUCUAUGCUAAACUCAACCCAGUCUAUUCACAAAUUCUUCAUGUGCGUUCUAUUUGAAACUCGUUCAAAGUCUUCACUGUGUCCUUGACUGCUGAAGAAAUUGCGAACAAAAACUUUAACUUAUAUGUUCUGAAUUUUCGGCUUUGCCGCUCAAACCGUUCCACAUACCACUACAAUACUUAUCUAUUCACCCAUGAUCCUACACGAUCGUCACCUCUCAGUACGUGGGUGACACAUGUCAAGCGAAUGAGAAGGGCCAGGGGCACAUUCGUCCGAUUUCCUUGGGCGUACAAUUUUCACUCUCUCUAUAAAUACCACUGCCUCUUCCUCACUUCACUUUUACCUUGCUCGCUCUCACUCCCGCUCGAGCUCCCCAAACCCUAGCGCCGCCGCUACUUCAUCGUUGCCGGUGAGGAAGAGCUUCACUGCCUCGACCUCGUCACCGUCGUACUCACGCCGGUUGUGGAUUUCUUCACUCCGCCGCCGCCGUAGCCAUCUUCCUCUGCCGAGUUAGGGCGUGGAAGAUCUGAACUGACGAACUUCACAUCUACUCUUCCCAGUUCGUCGUGUUCUUCACUUCGGGUAAUUAAAAGUUACUUUUACUGCCCUCUUUGAUUCUUAUGUUUUCGUGAAAAUCUUCAAAGGUGUUUAUUCUUCAAAUCUUCACACACAUGAACACCUCACAUGUCAUCUGCUCUUGAUUCGUUUCUCUAAGCAAUGAUUUUCUUCAAGAUUCCUCAAUUGUGUGGAUUUUCAAUCUAUACAACUCUAGAACCUAAGACAAAGAACGCUUAGUGAAAUUCCUCAAGACUCAUCUGGUCAAAUUCCUCAAACCUAUUUUUUUUAAACCUUCUGAGAACGCAUAUGACCUCUCCAAAUUCCUCGCAACUAUACUCUGUUCACAGGUACAAAUGUCCACUGCUGAAUCACUAGGUUCUCAUCAACUUAACUCAUUUGCAGCGUUCCUCGAAGAAAAGUUGCACACCUCUUCAGAAACUUCAGUUGUUCAUAUUCCUCAGCUGAAGAAAAUGGCUGAUAAGAAGCCACAAAAGGGAGGAAAGAGGCCUGAGGUCAAUACUGCGUUUGAAACCCCUGAGGACAUUUAUGCUGGAUACUGCACUCCUGAUGAGGCCAAGUUUGCCAAGGAGGACAAGAAUCAGCGCAAGGUGCGCAUACAACGGAUAGAGAGGAGAUGGGCAUGGGAAUGGAGGGAGUACAGGUAUGUUACUCCCAAGUAUAUGAAGAAAUUCACGCUCAACCCUCCAUGCUCAAGACCUCCAUUAGCACCAGGCUAAGUGGCAGAUCCCACCAGCCUCAAGCGCGGUGAGGACUAUGCUGAUGAAUGGGCAAAGCGCCAGGCCAAACUGGCCAAGCAAGCAAAGGAAGCAGUGAAGAAAUUCAAUGCAGACUCUGCUGCUGCUACUGCCGCUGCUAAGGCCUCUGCUAGCCAGCCGAAGAAGGCGAUGCACAAGAAGCCUGCUCAUAAGUCAAGCGCUUCUCCUUCAAUGCCCUCACGGCCAAGCUCCUCAGCAAUGCCCUCAAGGCCAGAUUCUUCAAAGCCCUCACGGCCAAUCCCUCAGACUGCUCCUUCAAAGUCCUCAGCUCCUCCGACAAAGUCUUCAGCUGAUCCGACCAAAUCCUCUACACCUAUGCAUCUCGCCAUGUGCCAAAGGACAACAGGCUUCUCAAUUGCCUCAGGAGCAUCUGCAAGCUCCUCAGCCGCACGAAAUUCCUCUGCUGGCCCCUCUCUGCUGAAGAAAAAGGCCACUGCUAGACGAGGCCUUCGACCAAGUCCUCACAAGAAGCGGGUCGCCUUCCAAGUUCCCUCUGAUGACGAUGAGGCUGAUGAUGAAGAACUCACCGAAAUCAUCAGAGACGGGCAAGCCAGGGCCGCUAGAGCCAAAGGCAGCAAUGUGCCACUGAUGUUGGAUCCAAAGUCGAUCCUCGAUUACAUUAACCUAUGGCACAAGGACCCUAACACGCCUUUGCUGGAGAUGAACCUCACUCCUGGUCAAAGUCAUGUUCUGACUGCCUUCAUUGAGGAAGAAAAGUGGAAAUUUGAACAAGGCAGAAGUCUGAAGAAAGAGCAGUACAAGAAACAGCGCUACCUCAAGGACAAUGUCCUCACUCUUACCCCUGAUCAGCUCAUUGCCUUGCAAGCUGAAAUCAAGCAAUUGAGUGAUGAACUCGAUCGCCACUAUGCUGAUUAGAAGGGCGCCAAGGUUCGGUUCGUCAAUCUGAUGAAGAAAUUCAGUUCUAGUGCUGCUACUCCUAUGCACGUUGAAGUUCCUCAGGCUAAAGCAUCUGCUCAGCCUACUGAAGAACAUGCCAGCACUGCUGAUGACAAUCAGGCUGCUCAAGAAAAUUAGAGUACCAGGGCUGAUGACUCCAUUUCAGCCGCUGAAGAUAUUGCCAGGGCAUUCACUAGUGGUGCGCCUGAAGAAAGUGAAGAAGUCAGGGCAACUACAUCAGUUGCGCCUGAAGAAAAUGAUCCAAAGUCCUCUGCACCUCCUGCGCCUACACCAACUCUGAUCCUUCCAUCUGCAUCAGAUGCGAAGAAGACUAAGGCUGCAGAGCAUGCAACUGUGAAGAAAAGGAAGGCAUCAACUUCAUCAAAUUCUUCAGCUCCGAAAAAGAUGAAGCCUCUGACUAGUUCAAUUGACAACCCAAUUGAUGUCGUUCCAGUCUCUUUCAUGCCAUCAAAGGACCUUGUUCCUUUUGGUGAAGAUUGUGUGAUUCCCAAUGAAUCUGAUGAAGAAACUCCUUCUGCUUCUUCGACAGAGCAGUUGGACGAAGAAAUUGAAGUGGAUGCAAUCCCUUCAACCCUAAUCAUUUCCUCACCUAUGCCUCAGUUCCCUGCUGAAGAGGCAGGUGUUGAAGAAAUGGAAGAUGAGGAUGUGGACAUCGGUUGUACCACUCCUGUGCUCAAUGAUGACUUUUGGGAAAGUCAGCACCCCAACUCUCCAAUGUUCACUUCACUCCAAGUAAUUCCUCAGUCCCCAGCUGCUACUGAAGUGCAAAUGGGAUCUAAAGAACCUCAUGCAACCCCAAGUGUUCAUGAAGAAAUUCCAGCCACUAGUGCUGAAGAAAUUGUCAAUGAAGAAUUGAAGACCCAGGCUGAAGCUGCAGACGAGCCUGAAAUUCCUCUGCCUGAGGAACCUGAGAUUGCGAUUCCUGAGGUGAUGAUGCAAUUGGCUGACACUCCUCAGCCCAAGCCAAAGGAUCCCUUCUCAAAGAAUCAAAAAUUCAAGGCUGAUGAUUUCUUCGGCGAGCAUGUGUUCUUCACUAAAUUCAACCCAUAUGACAAUGCUCAUCUUAGAAGGAAGCAUUUCUGGACUGCCAGCCAGGCCAACUUCUAUUCCUCAUUGCUUUUCAACAAGGACAAAGUCUUCGACCACGAGCACAUUCCUCACGUGGACAUGGAAUCAAUGCCUUGCUUCUCUCAAGUCCUCAGUAUGCUUCAUGAUGCAGGCUUGCUCAACUUUUGUUCAGACAUAGUUGAUUGGAAUGAAGAGCUCAUUCUUCAGUUCUACGCAAUGCUGCAUAUCACAUGUGAUGCUGCUGACGUCAACUCUUGGGUGUUGGACUGGAUGACUGAAAACACUCAUUAUAAGGCACCAGCCUCUGAAUUGCUUCGUGCCCUGCCAAUCAGUUCUCCACCUGACGGUGCUCGUUGUCUGUAUGAUGAGCCUGAACUCACUGCUCACUAUAUGCAAGUGCUCAUGAAGCCUCUGAAGCCUGGUCAAGCCCCAAGGACCAAAUUCCUCGUGAAGGAAUUGCUCUAUGUGCUAAGAACCAUCUAUCGCAUUCUGACGAAGACCGUGAGUCCUAUCAAAGGCCAUGACUCAUUCGAUGAAGAAAUUAUUGGGACGAUGAAGAAUAUGCUAUUCAACAUAAUGCAUGGCAUCCCCAUAAACUAUCAUGAUUUCUUCAUGAGGACCCUGGCGAAUGUUGCACUUUCACCAUUUGAGCUGAAGCCUUACGCACCAUGGAUCAUGAGAUUCCUCAGAACAAGGUCUUCACUCAACUACAAGGCUGACUUUCAGAAUCACCUCAGCUACUUGCCCCCGAUUGAAGUCCUCAAGUGGACAUUUUCCUCAACUGAUGAGAAGGGCAAGUCCCCAACCAUUAUCGAUGAAGGCAUUCGUCUAUUGGAUGGUCAGUUCCGCAAAGCUGCAUCUUAUUCCACCAAUGAUGACUCUGCCACACAUGAUUCUGCUGCCAAUGCUCCCAAGUCAAGUCCUCAAGCUACUGCUCCUCGUGUGAUGACUGACCGUGAACUGCUGCUAAGUCUUCACCAGAAGGUGGAUCGAAACCACAAAUGGGUUAAGCGUCAGUUUGGCUCAAUUCUUCACAACAUGACUUCUACACAUAAUGCAGUGAAGAAAAACCAUUACUACCUCCAUGAAGUUUUUGAUCGCACCUGGGCUAUUCUGUCACAUCUAUAUGGUGAAGAAGAUCUGAAGCAAAUGGGCUUCAAGGAAGAUUUUGACUGGUCUGCUCCUCCACCGAAGAAAUACAAGAAGGCCAAGGUUCCUUCCUUGGUGGCCAGUUCAUAUUCUUCAUCACGCGCCACAGACGAAUAUGAAUACUUGGACGACACUGCAGCAGGCCCUACAACGACUCAAGACACUGACAACGCUGGCGCUCCUCCAUCAUCAUGAUAUUCUUCAGGGCCGUUAGUCCUCAUUUUCAACCCUUUUGGUCAUUCGAUGACAAAGGGGGAGAUAUUUGAGUUAGUCUUCAAGCGGGUCUAUCUUAUAUGGGCGUUUUUUGCUAAGUUACAACUCUCGUUCUUCUGAUGACUUUGCUAGAUCGAGUUGUAAUCUUAAACUCUAUGGUGGCCUGAUACUUUUGUUGUGUUCUUCUGCAUGCUUAUUCCUCAUUAAUGUUAAUGCACGCAUGCUGAAUUAUAUCAGUCACCAUAUUUCAUCAUGCAUUUCAAAUUCUUCAUAUUAUAUGUCAAAUGCAUGUAUGAAUUACAGGAUAUAGGGGGAGAUCUCCAAUGAUUAUACUCUUCAAGUGUGCAUUGCUUCAAAAGCAAAUUCCUCACUAUGCACAUCUUCAGGGGGAGUUCUUCUAUAUCUUGCAAUCAAAUUACUUAAUAUUAGUAUUUACACUUCAUAUGUUUAUCCCCGUUGAAUACUUAACCUAUAUUGUCAUCAAUCACCAAAAAGGGGGAGAUUGUAAGUGCAUCUAGUGCCCCUUAGUGAUUUUGGUGUAUUGAAGGCUUAUAGGUUAAGGGACUGAUGCGUUUGUGAGCGUACAUAGGUCUAUAAGUCUAUGAGGAGUUUGAUAUUUACAGAGAAAGUCGACCCCUAAAAAUGAAGUUCUUCAACUGAAGACUUUGGAUUUCUGAGGACUUUCUGAAGACUUUGAAAGUGAAGAAAUUGGUGUAACCUUGAAGAGUUGGCAAUAAUUCGAGUGUAGCGACCCGACCUCAGAUGGUCAAGUCUCUGUGCUUCUGUGUCAUCCCUGGAUCGGUAAUGCUGACACACACAGUACUCGAAGGAUUUAUAACAGAGUAGCAAUCACACACUUAUUACAUCGAAUGUCUCAAAAGAGAACUAUUACAAUAAUAUGGCUUAAGGCCAUCUAAUGCGAUAACAGCGGAAGGCUUGGAAGAUAAAGUGAGUCCAUCAACUCCAACGGCAUAGCUGAGCUGCACGGCAACGACCUACGAACCUUACUCCUCGUCUGAAAAGUCUGCAACAUAAUACGUUGCAGCCCGAGAACGGGUCAGCACAUGGAAUAUGCGGGCAGUGUAACACAAAAGAGCAAUAACAGAAUAAUGCUACCACUACAUGCAUAUUAGGCUGGUGGAAAAGCUCUAUGGUUACAAUUUUGCGAAAAGCCAUUUUUUCCCUACAACAAAGGAAUAUAAUUUAAUUUAACUAUCAUGGUGGUUGAAACAUCAUUUGAGAAGGUAACCCCAACUCAAGAUCCCAAUUAAAAUAGUUAACAUCCCAAGCAAUAUUAAUUAAGAGUGUUGAGAUACAUGCGAAUACUCAAGUACUAGAUACUCAGAAUUGUCCAUAACCGGGGACACGGCUAACCAUGAUUAGAUUGUACACUCUGCAGAGGUUUGCGCUCUUCAACUUCCUCCACGUUAACGUGGUUCACUUGUCCUUUGUUGAAUGGAUUGGGCUUCUUCCCUGCGCUCCCAUUUCCAUUGCCAUUCUUUCCUUCAGAGCAGUCAUUGGCAUAAUGCCCUGUCUUCCCGCACUUGUAGCAAACAACUUGGCUUAAGUCCCUCUUUGCGGGUGUAGAUGGGUUAGAGCGAUUCUGAUUAUUGUUGGCUCCAUUCCCAUUCCCGUUCUUCGCACCAUUAUGGUUAUGCGAUCCUCCUCCAGCAUGGUUAUGACUUCCAUGGUUAUGAACAAGUCCUCCCGAGUUCGGGGUCAAGCGGGGCUUCUGGUAAGCUCCUGAGUUGUAUUUCCCUUGUCCAUAUUUCCUCUUACGGCUCUCAAUUUGCUGCUGCUUUCCUUCAAUCAUUAGGGCCUUAUCUACCAACUCCUGGUAGUUGUUGAAGGUUGCCACCAUCAACUGCAUACUCAUCUCAUCAUUCAGCCCUUCCAUAAACUUCUCCUGCUUCGCGGCAUCUAUGGCCACAUCAUCAGGGGCAUAACGUGAUAACUUGCUAAACUCAUCCACGUACUGGCCCAUAGUACGGUUCCCCUUGCGUAGAUUGCGGAACUCACGCUUCUUCAUCUGCAUAGCUCCAGUCGAGACAUGGGCCCUGCGAAAAGCCUGCUGAAACUGAGCCUAUGUGACAGUGUCGAUAGGAUAGGUGGCUGUGAAAUUCUCCCACCAAGCUGUUGCAGGUCCAUCCAGUUGGUGUGCGGCAAAACGCACCUUCUCAGCAUCUGUGCAUCCUGCGGUGGUUAACUCCCUUCCAAUACGAUGUAACCAAUCAUCUGUAACUAUUGGCUCAAUGCUACUAGAGAACACCGGCGGCUGUAACCUUAAGAAACGGGCGAGGUUAUCCACUGGCGGCGGGUUGUUGUUGUUGGCAUUGUUGUUAUUGGCAUUGCCCUGGUUCUGAACUAGCAAUUGCAUCAAGGCAUUCUGCUACUGGAUCAACUGGGUGAUCUCCGGAGGGAAAACAAAAUCGGGGUCUCUUCUCGGAGGCAUCUGAUGGGUUUAGAUGGAAGAGAUUAGAAUAGAAAAGGUCUAGGGGAGAAACACUACCCAUAUGCAUAUGAGGCAAACACAAGCAUUCAUUCAAUCAAUCAAGCAAGGGCAUACAAAACGGUCUAGAACUAUCGCAAAAGUGCUCACUACUACUAGUUACAUGGGGGAAUACUAUUAUCAUAUGGUGGUCAUCUAGAAGUUUUGAUCGGUGGAAGACUCCAUAAUGUCUGCUCCAGCUUCAUCUUCAUAGUCAUCAUCACUUGAAUCUGAAUCGGUGUCGUCGAUGAUGAUGUAGUUGUCUGGACGAAUGAGGUCUUCUCUUGGAACUGGUCCUCCCAUGAAAAUUCCGAUCUUCUCGACUAGGUCGUCAUUCUUCUCCAAUAGGAUCUUGAUUUCCUCCUCAUAUCCAUCGCGUGUGGACUUAAGUUCUUCCUCCAGCUCGAUGAACCUAGUUUUCUCCUUCUUCAACUCGAUCAUGUCUGUGCACAUCUAGUUUUCCUGAUAUCGAAUGUGCUGGUUUUGCUCCUGGAUAAAGGAUGCGACAGAUCUAUCCUUCCUGGUGCUGAUCAUCUCCCAUUGUUCAUCUCGAUGCCCACAUAUUUGAUAGGUGGUAUCCUCAAGUUCCUUGUUGUAGAUUUCUCCAAUGCGUCCCAUGGUGAUAUGAGCUGCCAUACUCUUGCCAAGGCUCCAAGUGGGGGCUUCGAAAGAAAACUCUAUGGGUUUAGAAUUUGGCGAGAACGUCCUUCCUGGAACUCGUACUUGAAUCAUCUAGCGCUCUUCUUCUGGUAGAGUGGCGUUGUACGUCCCAGUGAAGCUUGGUAUUCCAAUAUUCAAGUACCUAGUGACUUCCUUCAAGUGGCGCCCAAAAGGUGUGUCUUCAUCCGGUUGUGCAAACUUGUUCUUCUUAUCCUUCAUCCUAAAGAGUGGAAAAAGAAGAGGAGCCAAAAAUGAGAGUAGAAGUGUGACCUAUGGUUUAUCUUAGUGGUCGUGUCCUACACUCAGCGUGUGCUCUGAUACCAUCUUAUAGCGACCCGACCUCAGAUGGUCAAGUCUCUGUGCUUCCGUGUCAUCCCUGGAUCAGUAAUGCUGACACACACAGUACUCGAAGGAUUUAUAACAGAGUAGCAAUCACACACUUAUUACAUCGAAUGUCUCAAAAGAGAACUGUUACAAUAAUAUGGCUUAAGGCCAUCUAAUGCGAUAACAGCGGAAGGCUUGGAAGAUAAAGUGAGUCCAUCAACUCCAACGGCAUAGCUGAGCUGCACGGCAACGACCUAUAAACCUUACUCCUCGUUUGAAAAGUCUGCAACAUAAUACGUUGCAGCCCGAGAAUGGGUCAGCACAUGGAAUAUGCUGGCAAUGUAACACAAAAGAGCAAUAACAGAAUAAUGCUACCACCACAUGCAUAUUUGGCUGGUGCAAAAGCUCUAUGGUUACAAUUUUGCGAAAAGCCAAUUUUUCCCUACAACAAAGGAAUAUAAUUUUAAUUUAACUAUCAUGGUGGUUGAAACAUCAUUUGAGAAGGUAACCCCAACUCAAUGAUCCCAAUUAAAAUAGUUAACAUCCCAAGCAAUAUUAAUUAAGAGUGUUGAGAUACAUGCGAAUACUCAAGUACUAGAUACUCAGAAUUGUCCAUAACCGGGGACACAGCUAACCAUGAUUAGAUUGUACACUCUGCAGAGGUUUGCGCACUUUUCCCCGCAAGACUCGAUCACCUCCGUUUGUUUCCUCAUACUACAUGGUGUUUCAGAAACGGAUGACCGAGACACAGUCUUUCAAAAACAUUAACUCUCUACUCCGGGCAGACCAUACCAAACCUACAAAACCCACUACCUGCUGAUCCACCUCUUCAAGAGCUUCACGUAACUUACUCAACUAUGCUAGAGCCCAUAAUAGCUUGCGGCUGCACACGGAAAUUUCUAGCAUGAAUAGACUCAGUUCCCUUUGAGCCUGGGUGGCGGUCCAUAGGAGAAUCACACGGUAACCCCGGGAUUUGCAAAAAUAAAGCAGGCAAUCACUGGAUACCCCAGGUGCCUCAAUCCACCCAGAUGUGUAUUAAAGUUGCCACCUUAAGUAAACCAUUAAUUAACAAUCUCACAUCUGUCAUGGAAAUCACUCAAACCCAAUCCACGUCUAUGAGCAUAGCAUGGCAACAUAAGCAUAACGUAGAAGUAACUCCCAAGGGUUUGAUAAUAAACAGGGCAAUAGGUUCUACCUCAGCAACUACCUCCCAAUACCCACAUGUUAAAGGCAUCCUAAUCAUGCAAUGUUUGAGGAUUGAAACUAAUGCAUAAAAACUGGGUAUGUAAAGAGUAUGAUCAAUGUGUUACUUGCCUUGCUGACGAUCCGUGUAUCCUAGAGACUCGUAGUAACACGCUUCGCACUUCGGGAAUUCUAUCACAAGCAAACAAUAACAUACAUAAGCAACAAUCAAAGAUGCACAAGUAGAACUCCAAAUAAAAUAGUUUUACCGGAGAGUUCAACUUAAGAACUCCGGUUUGCAAAAAGAAUCAAAUCAAACGGAGCAACGAAACUCAAACGGCCAAAGAAACAAGAUCCGUUAACUAAUCUGAACUAGGGUCAAAUUUUACAGAGAUAAAAACUUGUUUGGGUUGAUUAUUCGGAAGGAGAGUCUCGAGAUGAAACUCCAGGCGCUUGAAUCGCCUAAUUCCGAUAAACGAGCGAAAAGAUAAACAUGUUUGAACAUCGGAUCAGAAAUCGCGAUCAGAAUAAUCGCGGAAUAAAUCCGAUAAAAAGAAAAACGGCAAACUGCUAAACGAACGAACGUUCAUUAACAGAAACUAAACAGUGAACGCAUUCGUUAGAACGAACGGACAAACAAACGUUCGCUAAGUAAAUAAACCAAAGAAAUAAAACCGAUCUAUAUAAAAAAUCGAUCUAGGUUUUUCAAAAAAACCGAAGGGUUUUCUAAAAAACCGGCGGCGGGGCGGGUACCUCCGACGAGGUCGUCCGGCGAGGCGGGCGGCUCCGGCGGGGCUCGGCGAGGGGCGGCGGGGCUUUGGGGAGGGCGCGGGGUGGCGGUGUGAGGCGGCGGCGGCGCUAGGGCGGCGGCGGCGACUCGGCNNNNNNNNNNNNNNNNNNNNNNNNNNNNNNNNNNNNNNNNNNNNNNNNNNNNNNNNNNNNNNNNNNNNNNNNNNNNNNNNNNNNNNNNNNNNNNNNNNNNNNNNNNNNNNNNNNNNNNNNNNNNNNNNNNNNNNNNNNNNNNNNNNNNNNNNNNNNNNNNNNNNNNNNNNNNNNNNNNNNNNNNNNNNNNNNNNNNNNNNNNNNNNNNNNNNNNNNNNNNNNNNNNNNNNNNNNNNNNNNNNNNNNNNNNNNNNNNNNNNNNNNNNNNNNNNNNNNNNNNNNNNNNNNNNNNGCUCCGGGCUCCGGGAGGCGGCGGCGGCUCGGGUGGUGGCGGGGGUGGUGGCGAGGUGGCGGGGCGGCGGUAUUUAAGGAGGGGGGCUGCUCCGGCUUGGGGAAGGGGGCGCCCGGGGUGGAGUCCGGCUCGGACUCCCCUCGGCGUCCGUGCGGCGCACGACGGCGCGCGCGGGGAGGCGGCGGCGGUGGUGGCUGGGCCGGCCUGCUCGGCUGGGCCUUUGGCCCAGUCGGGCGCGAGGGUUUUUUUAAAACAUUCCGCCGAAAGAAAAAUUCCUAGAAAAAUAAAUAAAAAUCUAAAAAUUCCAAAACAAGUUUUCUCCGUCUAAAUAAAAUAUUUAGAACAGGAUGAACUUUUCUUGGCCCCUAAAAUGCAAUUUUUAAAACGUGCAAAUUUUUCUAGGGCAAAUAAAAUCCAAAAAUGAUUUUAACAUUUUUCCUCCGAUAUUUCAGUUGUUUUGGAGAAGUCAUAUUAUCUCCCCUCAUUUAUUAUUUUAAAAUGAAAUAUUUUCCAGAGAGAAAAUAAUUAAAAUCAAAAUCCUCGUCUUCUCUAUUUGAUAAAAAUUUUAAAUAUGAAAAUUGGAAAAUCCCCAACUCUCUCCGAGGGUCCUUGAGUUGCUUAGGAUUUCAAGGAUUGCAACCGGAAAAACCAUAAAAUAUGAUAUGCAUGAAUGACCUAUGUAUAACAUGCCAAAUUGGAAAUUUGGGAUGUUACAAACCUACCCCCCUUAAGAUGAAUCUCGCCCUCGAGAUUCGGGUUGGCUAGAAGAUAGGUGCGGAUGGUCCUUGCGAAUAUCCUCUUCUCGCUCCCAGGUGGCUUCCUCCUCAGUAUGAUGACUCCACUGAACUUUGCAGAACUUGAUCACCUUGUUGCGAGUGACUCGACUAUCAAACUCAAGAAUCUUUACUGGCUUCUCCUCAUAGGUCAGGUUAUUAUCCAGCUGAAUCGCUUCCAAAGGUACUGUAUCCUGCAAAGGUAUAUCGGCUAUCUCAGCGUGGCACUUCUUCAGCUGAGAUACGUGAAACACAUCGUGAACUCCUGACAAUCCUUUAGGUAACUCCAGCUUGUAAGCAACUUCUCCCAUCCGUACCAAAAUACAAUAUGGUCCUACAAACCUCGGGGCUAACUUUCCCUUAACUCCAAAACGUUUUACUCCCCUCAAGGGUGAUACUCGUAGAUAAGCUCUGUCUCCAAUCCCAUAGGUUACUUCCUUGCGUUUUGAAUCUGCAUAACUCUUCUGUCUGGAAUGAGCAAUCUUUAGUCUAUCUCUGACCAGUUUAACUUUCUCCUCUGAUUCCUUGAUCAAAUCUGGUCCAAACAACUGACGAUCUCCUACCUCAUCCCACAUUAAGGGCAUUCUACAUCUGCAUCCAUACAGAGCUUCGAACGGUGCCAUCUUCAAACUGGCCUGAUAGCUGCUGUUAUAAGAGAACUCUGCGUACGGUAAAUUGUCAUCCCAACUAGAUCCAUAAUCUAGCGUACAGGCUCUUAACAUGUCUUCCAGAAUCUGGUUGACUCUUUCUGUCUAUCCAUCGGUCUGAGGGUGAAAAGCGGUGCUGAAUUCCAAACGGGUACCCAAAGUCUGGUGUAGCUGAUGCCAAAACUUUGAAGUAAACUGGGUUCCUCUAUCUGAUAUGAUGCUCCUCGGAACUCCAUGUAAACAUAUGAUCCUGGUCAUAUAUAUCUUGGCCAACUUUGCACUUGUAUACGUUCUUUUCACCGGAAUGAAGUGAGCUACUUUAGUCAAUCGAUCCACAACUACCCACAUAGAAUCAUAUCCUGCAUUGGUUUUGGGUAAUCCGGUAAUAAAGUCCAUACCAAGUUUGUCCCACUUCCAUUCCGGUAUUGGCAUAGGCUGUAACAGUCCUGCUGGCUUCUGAUGCUCUACCUUCACUCUCUGACAUACACCACAUACGGCUACAUACUCGGCAAUAUCCUUCUUCAUUCCAGUCCACCAGAAACGUUCCUUCAAGUCCAGAUACAUCUUGGUGUUUCCGGGGUGAAUCGAGUAUGGUGAGUCAUGGGCCUCUUGAAGUAUCAAAUUCCUGAUCUCCGAAUUGUUGGGCACAUAAAUCCGAUCCUCAAACCACAAGGUAUCGUGCUCAUCCUCGCGAAAACCUUUGGCUUUACCUUCGCCCAUCCUCUCUCUUAUCUCAGCAAUCUCAUUGUCCUCCUUCUGAGCUUCUCGAAUCUUGUCCAACAAUGUCGACUGAACCUCCAUUGCUGCAAGAAAGCCUUUCGGUACAAUCUCCAACCAAAGUUCCAUGAUUUCUGCAGCUAACUCCUUUGGCAUUCCCUUGCUCACAAGAACAUUAGCAUAACUCUUCUGGCUCAAUGCGUUUGCUACGACAUUGGCUUUUCCCGUAUGAUAAUGUAGCUUCAUAUCGUAAUCCUUUAUAAGUUCCAACCAUCUCCUCAGCCUGAGGUUCAACUCCUUCUGUGUGAAAAUGUACUUCAAGCUCUUAUGAUCCGUGUACACAUCACACCAGUUUCCAAUAAGAUAAUGUCUCCAGGUCUUUAGCGCAUGCACUACGGCUGCUAACUCCAAAUCAUGCGUGGCAUAGUUCAACUCAUGUGGCUUCAGUUGUCGUGAGGCAUACGAAACAACUUUUCCUUCCUGCAUAAGCACACAUCCAAGUCCCAUGCGAGAGGCGUCACAAUACACUUGAAACUCCUUAUGUAUAUCUGGCAAGGUUAGUACUGGGUCCGUAGUCAAUCGCUUCUUCAGCUCUUGAAAACUUGUCUCGCACUCCUCCGUCCAUUUGAACUUAGUAUCCUUCUUUAACAAUUCAGUCAUUGGUUUAGCAAUCUUGGAAAAAUUCUCAAUGAAUCUCCGAUAAUAUCCUGCCAGUCCAAGGAAACUGCGGAUCUCGCCAACUGAAGUGGGUGCCAACCAUUCAGUGACUGACUGAACCUUACUAGGAUCCACUGCUAUACCCUUUCCGGAUAUAACAUGCCCAAGAAAUCCAACUUCUUGCAACCAAAACUCGCACUUGCUGAAUUUGGCGUAUAACUGGUGUUCCCUGAGUUUCUCGAGAACCAAACGCAAGUGUUCUGCGUGCUCCUCUUCGUUCUUCGAGUAUAUCAUAAUAUCAUCAAUGAAUACCACAAUGAACUUGUCCAAAUACUCCAUGAACACCUUGUUCAUCAUACUCAUGAAAUAAGCAGGGGCGUUAGUCAGUCCAAAUGACAUGACCGUAUACUCAUAUAAUCCAUACCGCGUGGUAAAUGUUGUCUUGGGUAUAUCCUUCUCUCGGAUCUUCAACUGAUGGUAUCCCGAUCGUAGAUCAAUCUUUGAAAACACCCUAGCUCCUUGUAACUGAUCAAACAGAUCAUUAAUCAUCGGUAAGGGAUACUUGUUCUUUAUCGUUACUUCAUUAAGAGCUCGGUAAUCAACAACCAUCCUCAGGGAUUUAUCCUUCUUCUCCACCAAAAGUACUGGGGCUCCCCAAGGUGAUGAGCUUCUACGAAUGUAGCCUUUCUCCAACAACUCUUUGAUCUGCUUCUUAAUUUCCUCCAAAUCAUUUGCGGGCAUCCGAUAGGGUCUCUUGGAUAUCGGUCAUGUACCUGGCAAUAGCUCUAUCAAGAACUCGAUAUCUCUAUCCGGUGGCAUGCCUGGUAAUUCUUCGGGAAAAACAUCCGGAAAAUCCUUUACUACAGGCACUUCCUCCUGUACAACUCCCGUGAGGGUGUUUACUUGUCUCCCCUUAGGCGCAUGCCUAGAUAUGUACUUAAUCCUUUUUCCCUCUGGGGUGGUGAGAUAAAUUGACUUACUAGCACAGUCAAUACUUCCUCCAUACUUCGACAUCCAGUCCAUACCUAAUAUCACAUCCAAUCCUUGUGACUCCAAGAUAAUUAGGUCAGACGGAAAUACAUGGGUGCCAAUGAUUAGGGGUAUCUGGGUGCACCAUCUGCUAGCCAUGUACUCUGCUCCCGGUGAGCUUACUAAAAGGGGUGUCCUAAGGGUUUGGGUUGGUAACUUAAACUUUUCCACAAAUCCCCUUGAUAUGUAUGAAUGCGAUGCACCAGUAUCGAAAAGAACAAUUGUGGUAAAUGACUGAACCAAAACUUUACCUAUUACCGCGUCUGGCUGCUCUUCAACUUCCUCCACGUUAACGUGGUUCACUUGUCCUUUGUUGAAUGGAUUGGGCUUCUUCCCUGUGCUCCCAUUUCCAUUGCCAUUCUUUCCUUCAGAGCAGUCAUUGGCAUAAUGCCCUGUCUUCCCACACUUGUAGCAAACAACUUGGCUUAAGUCCCUCUUUGCGGGUGUAGAUGGGUUAGAGCGAUUCUGAUUAUUGUUGGCUCCAUUCCCAUUCCCGUUCUUCGCGCCAUUAUGGUUAUGCAAUCCUCCUCUAGCAUGGUUAUGACUUCCAUGGUUAUGAACAAGUCCUCCCGAGUUCGGGGUCAAGCGGGGCUUCUGGUAAGCUCCUGAGUUGUAUUUCCCUUGUCCAUAUUUCCUCUUACGGCUCUCAAUUUACUGCUGCUUCCUUCAAUCAUUAGGGCCUAAUCUACCAACUCCUGGUAGUUAUUGAAGGUUGCCACCAUCAACUGCAUACUCAUCUCAUCAUUCAGCCCUUCCAUAAACUUCUCCUGCUUCGCGGCAUCUGUGGCCACAUCAUCAGGGGCAUAACGUGAUAACUUGCUAAACUCAUCCACGUACUGGCCCACAGUAUGGUUCCCCUGGCGUAGAUUGCGGAACUCACGCUUCUUCAUCUGCAUAGCUCCAGUCGAGACUUGGGCCGUGCGAAAAGCCUGCUGAAACUGAUCCCAUGUGACAGUGUCGAUAGGAUAGGUGGCUGUGAAAUUCUCCCACCAAGCUGCUGCAGGUCCAUCCAGUUGGUGUGCGGCAAAACGCACCUUCUCAGCAUCUAUGCAUCCUGCGGUGGUUAACUCCCUUCCAAUACGACGUAACCAAUCAUCUGCAACUAUUGGCUCGAUGCUACUGGAGAACACCGGCGGCUGUAACCUUAAGAAACGGGCGAGGUUAUCCACUGGCGGCGGGUUGUUGUUGUUGGCAUUGUUGUUAUUGGCAUUGCCCUGGUUCUGAACUAGCAAUUGCAUCAAGGCAUUCUGCUGCUAGAUCAACUGGGUGAUCUCCGGAGGGAAAAAAUCGGGGUCUCUUCUCGGAGGCAUCUGAUGGGUUUAGAUGGAAGAGAUUAGAAUAGAAAAGGUCUAGGGAGAAACACUACCCAUAUGCAUAUGAGGCAAACACAAGCAUUCAUUCAAUCAAUCAAGCAAGGGCAUACAAAACGGUCUAGAACUAUCGCAAAAGUGCUCACUACUACUAGUUACAUGGGGCAAUACUAUUAUCAUAUGGUGGUCAUCUAGAAGUUUUGAUCGAUGGAAGACUCCAUAAUGUCUGCUCCAGCUUCAUCUUCAUAGUCAUCAUCACUUGAAUCUGAAUCGGUGUCGUCGAUGAUGAUGUAGUUGUCUGGACGAAUGAGGUCUUCUCUUGGAACUGGUCCUCCCAUGAAAAUUCCAAUCUUCUCGACUAGGUCGUCAUUCUUCUCCAAUAGGAUCUUGAUUUCCUCCUCAUAUCCAUCGCGUGUGGACUUAAGUUCUUCCUCUAGCUCGAUGAUCCUAGUUUUCGCGUUCUUCAACUCAAUCAUGUAUGCGCACAUCUGGUUUUCCUGACGUCGAAUGUGCUGGUUUUGCUCCUGGAUAAAGGCUGCGACAGAUCUAUCCUUCCUGGUGCUGAUCAUCUCCCAUUGUUCAUCUCGGCGCCCACAUAUUUGAUAGGUGGUAUCCUCAAGUUCCUUGUUGUAGAUUUCUCCAAUGCGUCCCAUGGUGAUAUGAGCUGCUAUACUCUUGCCAAGGCUCCAAGUGGGGGCUUCGAAAGAAAACUCUAUGGGUUUAGAAUUUGGCGAGAACGUCCUUCCUGGAACUUGUACUUGAAUCAUCCAGCGCUCUUCUUCUGGUAGAGUGGCGUUGUACGUCCCGGUGAAGCUUGGUAUUCCAAUAUUCAAGUACCUAGUGACUUCCUUCAAGUGGCGCCCAAAAGGUGUGACUUCAUCCGGUUGUGCAAACUUGUUCUUCUUAUCCUUCAUCCUAAAGAGUGGAAAAAGAAGAGGAGUCAGAAAUGAGAGGAGAAGUGUGACCUAUGGUUUAUCUUAGUGGUCGUGUCCUACACUCAGCGUGUGCUCUGAUACCAUCUUGUAGCGACCCGACCUCAGAUGGUCAAGUCUCUAUGCUUCCGUGUCAUCCCUGGAUCGGUAAUGCUGACACACACAGUACUCGAAGGAUUUAUAACAGAGUAGCAAUAACACACUUAUUACAUCGAAUGUCUCAAAAGAGAACUAUUACAAUAAUAUGGCUUAAGGCCAUCUAAUGCGAUAACAGCGGAAGGCUUGGAAGAUAAAGUGAGUCCAUCAACUCCAACGGCAUAGCUGAGCUGCACGGCAACGACCUACGAACCUUACUCCUCGUCUGAAAAGUCUGCAACAUAAUAUGUUGCAGCCCGAGAACGGGUCAGCACAUGGAAUAUGCUGGCAAUGUAACACAAAAGAGCAAUAACAGAAUAAUGCUACCACCACAUGCAUAUUUGGCUGGUGGAAAAGCUCUAUGGUUACAAUUUUGCGAAAAGCCAAUUUUUCCCUACAACAAAGGAAUAUAAUUUUAAUUUAACUAUCAUGGUGGUUGAAACAUCAUUCGAGAAGGUAACCCCAACUCAAUGAUCCCAAUUAAAAUAGUUAACAUCCCAAGCAAUAUUAAUUAAGAGUGUUGAGAUACAUGCGAAUACUCAAGUACUAGAUACUCAGAAUUGUCCAUAACCGGGGACACGGCUAACCAUGAUUAGAUUGUACACUCUGCAGAGGUUUGCGCACUUUUCCCCGCAAGACUCGAUCGCUUCCGUUUGUUUCCUCGUACUACAUGGUGUUUGAGAAACGGAUGACCGAGACACAGUCUUUCAAAAACAUUAACUCUCUACUCCGGGCAGACCAUACCAAACCUACAAAACCCACUACCUGCUGAUCCACCUCUUCAAGAGCUUCACGUAACUUACUCAACUAUGCUAGAGCCCAUAAUAGCUUGCGGCUGCACACGGAAAUUUCUAGCAUGAAUAGACUCAGUUCCCUUUGAGCCUGGGUGGCGGUCCAUAGGAGAAUCACACGGUAACCCCGGGAUUUGCAAAAAUAAAACAAGCAAUCACUGGAUACCCCAGGUGCCUCAAUCCACCCAGAUGUGUAUUAAAGUUGCCACCUUAAGUAAACCAUUAAUUAAAAAUCUCACAUCUGUCAUGGAAAUCACUCAAACCCAAUCCACGUCUACGAGCAUAGCAUGGCAAUAUAAGCAUAACGUAGAAGUAACUCCCAAGGGUUUGAUAAUAAACAGGGCAAUAGGUUCUACCUCAGCAACUACCUCCCAAUACCCACAUGUUAAAGGCAUCCUAAUCAUGCAAUGUUUGAGGAUUGAAACUAAUGCAUAAAAACUGGGUAUGUAAAGAGUAUGAUCAAUGUGUUACUUGCCUUGCUGACGAUCCGUGUAUCCUAGAGACUCGUAGUAACACGCUUCGCACUCUGGGAAGUCUAUCACAAGAAAACAAUAACAUACAUAAGCAACAAUCAAAGAUGCAUAAGUAGAACUCCAAAUAAAAUAGUUUGACCGGAGAGUUCAACUUAAGAACUCCGGUUUGCAAAAAGAAUCAAAUCAAACGGAGCAACGAAACUCAAACGGCAAAAGAAACAAGAUCCGUUAACUAAUCUGAACUAGGGUGAAAUUUUACAGAGAUAAAAACUUGUUUGGGUUGAUUAUUCGGAAGGAGAGUCUCGAGAUGAAACUCCAGGCGCUUGAAUCGCCUAAUUCCGAUAAACGAGCGAAAAGAUAAACAUGUUUGAACAUCGGAUCAGAAAUCGCGAUCAGAAUAAUCGCGGAAUAAAUCCGAUAAAAAGAAAAACGGCGAACUGCUAAACAAACGAACGUUCGUUAACAGAAACUAAACAGUGAACGCGUUCGUUAGAACGAACGGACGAACAAACGUUCGCUAAGUAAAUAAACCGAAGAAAUAAAACCGAUCUAUAUAAAAAAAAUCGAUCUAGGGUUUUCAAAAAAACCCGAAGGGUUUUCUAAAAAAACGGCGGCGGGGCGGGUACCUCCGACGAGGUCGUCCGGCGAGGCGGGCGGCUCCGACGGGGCUCGGCGAGGGGCGGCGGGGCUUUGGGGAGGGCGCGGGGUGGCGGUGUUAGGCGGCAGCGGUGCUAGGGCGGCGGCGNNNNNNNNNNNNNNNNNNNNNNNNNNNNNNNNNNNNNNNNNNNNNNNNNNNNNNNNNNNNNNNNNNNNNNNNNNNNNNNNNNNNNNNNNNNNNNNNNNNNNNNNNNNNNNNNNNNNNNNNNNNNNNNNNNNNNNNNNNNNNNNNNNNNNNNNNNNNNNNNNNNNNNNNNNNNNNNNNNNNNNNNNNNNNNNNNNNNNNNNNNNNNNNNNNNNNNNNNNNNNNNNNNNNNNNNNNNNNNNNNNNNNNNNNNNNNNNNNNNNNNNNNNNNNNNNNNNNNNNNNNNNNNNNNNNNNNNNNNNNNNNNNNNNNNNNNNNNNNNNNNNNNNNNNNNNNNNNNNNNNNNNNNNNNNNNNNNNNNNNNNNNNNNNNNNNNNNNNNNNNNNNNNNNNNNNNNNNNNNNNNNNNNNNNNNNNNNNNNNNNNNNNNNNNACUCGGCGGCGGCGACUCGGGGCUCGGCUCCGGGCUCCGGGAGGCGGCGGUGGCUCGGGUGGUGGCGGGGGUGGUGGCGAGGUGGUGGGGCGACGGUAUUUAAGGAGGGGGGCUGCUCCGGCUUGGGGAAGGGGGCGCCCGGGGUGGAGUCCGGCUUGGACUCCCCUCGGCGUCCGUGCGGCGCACGGCGGCGCGCGCGGGGAGGCGGCGGCGGUGGCGGCUGGGCCGACCUGCUCGGCUGGGCCUUUGGCCCAGUCGGGCGCGAGGGUUUUUUUUAAAACAUUCCGCCGAAAGAAAAAUUCCUAGAAAAAUAAAUAAAAAUCUAAAAAUUCCAAAACAAGUUUUCUCCGUCUAAAUAAAAUAUUUAGAACAGGAUGAACUUUUCUUGGCCCCUAAAAUGCAAUUUUUAAAACGUGCAAAUUUUUCUUGGGCAAAUAAAAUCAUGAAUAAACUCAAAUAAAAUCCAAAAAUGAUUUUAACAUUUUUCCUCCGAUAUUUCAGUUGUUUUGGAGAAGUCAUAUUAUCUCCCCUCAUUUAUUAUUUUAAAAUGAAAUAUUUUCCAGAGAGAAAAUAAUUAAAAUCAAAAUCCUCGUCUUCUCUAUUUGAUAAAAUUUUCAAAUAUGAAAAUUGGAAAAUCCCCAACUCUCUCCGAGGGUUCUUGAGUUGCUUAGGAUUUCGAGGAUUGCAACCGGAAAAACCAUAAAAUAUGAUAUGCAUGAAUGACCUAUGUAUAACAUGCCAAAUUGGAAAUUUGGGAUGUUACAUCGAGGAACAUGAAGCGUGAAGACUUUUGUUUUUAUAGUUUCAUUUUCUCUUUCUUGAGUCAUAGGAAACACCGUACUGUUAAAGGGGGUCAAGAAAAUACUAAGGAAAAAUUUCCAAGUGAUGCUCAACUCAAAUCCUACACCUACCAAUCCCUUCGAGUGAAGCCAUUGGAAAUCUCAUACAGUUCAAUCCUAUUCUUCAGUGAUAGAGACGAAGUUCUUCUGGUCUCUGAGGAACUUGUUCUGAUUGAGGAGUUAGGAAUUCGCGAGUGCGGAUUGCCUACACAGUGAGGAACAUGAUAGCCCUGAGGAUUUUGAGAGUCAAAAUUCCGACCGUUGUUGUGCUAUGCGCCAGCUGUCCCAAAAUAUCUACCCACAUAACGGUCAUAUCUGACAAGGGCAUUUAUGUCUUAUCAUGUCGGGCUGCUCCCUAGGCUAUAAAUAGCCGCCCCCUACAACCACUAGCUGGUUGGUUGCUCCGAGAGAAACUGACACUUGUCAAUUGAGAGCAUCCCAUCCUCCGAGGACUUUGAGCGAAAAUCAUCAAGUGAGGAAAACCCAAACCCAACACCUACAAACCCAAAGUGAUUGAGCAUCACUGAAGAGAUUGAUCCUGCGUGGAUCCGACGGUUGUUUCCUUUGAAGACUGUGCUUUUUCCAGACGGUUAGGCGUCAAGGUCUAGAGCAUCCAAGAGGAAUUGUGGAUCGCCGAGUGACCAAGUUUGUGAAGGUCCGGAAGUCACCUGAAGACUUACCACGAGUGAUUGGGCGAGGUCUGUGUGACCUUAGCUCAAGGAGAAUACGGUGAGGAUUGUGUGUCCUCGAGUUUAAAUACUCAGCCGCUCCAACCAGAUGUACAACUAAGACAGCAGUUGGAACUGGUCUACCAAGUCAUUGUCUUCACCAAGCUUACCGGUUCUAUUUCCUCAACUCCUUCAUUUCAUCAUGUCUAUUGUUGUGUGCUUGUUCAUAUCUGUUUGAAGACUUUGACUGAAGACUUCCUCAAUUUCCUCAGUUCAAUUUCUUCAAUCUGUUCGUCUUCUUUCUUGUGUUAUCCUGUGUUUACGCUUUCUGUACUCUGUGCUUGUCUUCAUUUCAUUAUGAUGACUAUGCUUGUGUUCUGUUAUGUCUACAUUUGAGUACUUAUUCCGCUGCUAGUAGUUCUUCAUUUAGGAAUUUCCUCACCAGCAAAUUCCUCAGUGAAUAAUUCAUAAAAACUGCCUAUUCACCCCCCCCCUCUAGUCGAUAUAACGCACUUUGAAGGGCCUAAAAGUAAUGGUUCGAAGGCUCCAGUGAUGCCCUGCUGCACGUCUGCGCCAUUUCUCCUUAGUAACAAAUCCUUUGAUAGGAGUAUUUGAUGGUUGGACGUAAAGGUGGGAAACGCUAGCCUUGAAAGGAUCAAUGAUGCAACCAUAGAACAAAUAGGGAUUUUUAAUGAACCUGCAGCGAAAAAUAUGUAUGCGGUACGAAUAGGGUCAAGCUGUACUAUGGACUUUUUCCCUAGUAUGCCUCCGGCACUGCCCAAGUUAUUUUGAGUGCGUAGUUAUGUACGCGUGGUACAUAAGCCGCAACUUUAUGGGACAGUCGGCGGAGGCCGAACUGCUAAUCAAGGUCCGCAUCCGUCGAGUUAUUGCAGUGACGCGCGAACCGGACUCAUUUAGAGAUGUUGUUGGCUUUAAUGUCUGAAGAAUUAUUUGGCUUGAUAAGGCCGCCAUACACCUCGGCUGCAAGGGCCACAGUGUGCUCUUUAGUAUGGAGGGAGCGCUCCAUAUUUCCAUUGACUAUGGUAAUGCCAUGUGGUCCGGGCAUCUUAAGCUUCAAAUAAGCAUAAUGCGAAACUGCAUUAAAGCGGGAGAAAGCAGUUCGUCCGAGCAGUGCGUGAUAACCACAGCGGAAGGGGACGAUGUCGAAGAUUAAUUCUUCACUACAAAAGUUGUCUGGGGAGCCGAAUACUACCUCCAGUGUCAGUGAGACCGUACAACGAGCCUCCACCCCGGGUAUCACACCUUUAAAGGUAGUGUUACUGGGCUUGAUUCUUGAUGGGUCAAUGCCCAUUUUGCGGAUAGUGUCUUGAUAAAUCAAGUUGAGACUGCUGCCGCCGUCCAUAAGGACUCGUGUGAGGUGGUAUCCGUCAAUGAUUGGAUCAAGUACCAGGGCGGCCGAACCGCCAUGACCGAUACUGGUUGGGUGAUCCCUGCGAUCAAAAGUGAUCAGACAGGCUGACCAUGGGUUGAAUUUUGGGGUGACAGGCUCUACGGCGUAGACAUCCCUUAGUGCACACUUGCGCUCCCUUUUGGGAAUGUGAGUGACAUAGAUCAUGUUCACUGUUUUCACCUCGGGGGGAAACUACUUUUGGCCCCCGGUGUUCGGCUGAUGGGGCACAUCAUCGUCCUCACUUGGAGGUCCUUUUCCCUUGUGUUCGGUAUUUAUCAUACCGGCCUGUUUAAAAACCCAACAGUUCCUAUUGGUAUGGUUAGCAGGCUUAUCGGGUGUGCCAUGAAUCUAACAGGGCCUCUCAAGGAUUUUGUCCAAACUGGAUGGACCGUCCCUGUUGGCUUUGAAAGAUUUCUUCCGCUGACCGGAUUUAGAACCACUGAAUCCGGCAUUGACGGUCCUAUCAUCUGCGUUGUCAUUGUUGCUCUGGUGAUUGUUUUUAUUGCGGCGUGGUUUACCAUUGCCAUCCCUGGCCUCAAAAGUGCCGAGGUCGCCCGAGCUGUUGCUUCUACGAGCCAACCAGCUAUCUUCACCCGCACAGAAACGGGUCAUAAGUGCAGUUAAGGCUGUCAUGGUCUUCGGCUUCUCCUGCCCGAGGUGUCGGGCGAGCCAUUUGUCCCGGACGUUGUGUUUGAAUGCUGCUAAGGCUUCGGCGUCCGAACAAUCCAUGAUUUGAUUCUUCUUAAUUAGGAACCGAUUCCAAAGCUUGCGAGCCGAUUCACCUGGUUGUUGGAUUAUGUGACUCAAGUCAUCUGCAUCCGGUGGCCAGACAUAAGUGCCCUGAAAGUUGGCCCGAAAAGCAUCUUCCAAAUCUUGCCAGGUUCCAAUGGAGUUCUCUGGGAGGCUGUUUAGCCAGUGUCAUGGUGGUCCUUUCAGCUUUAGAGGAAGAUAUUUAAUGGCAUGGAGGUUAUCUCCAUGAGCCAUGUGAAUAUGGAGAAGAAAAUCUUCAAUCCAGACGGCCGGAUCCGUCGUUCCAUCGUACUGCAUGAUUUUCACAGGUUUAAACCCUUCCGGAAACUGUGUUGCAUUACCUCAUCGAUGAAACACAUAGGGUGUGAGGCACCCCUGUAUCAUGCGACAUCACGGCGGAGAUUGGAUGACAUCUAAGUUUGAUGCUGAUCCUGAAUAUUGUAAUGUUCAUCACACCGGACUUCAUAGCCGUUAUCUCAUGCCGGGCAAUGGCUUCUUGAUCCAUAGAUCGGUCUGGUCUGACCGGCUUUAUUGGCCAGGUCCCGUUGCAAGUCAUAUAUGUAGCCCGCAACUCCUGUCUCCUUGCCUCUCUGGUGAGGGGGUGCGGGCUGGUGUUCGGCUUGAUAAGCCGCUUUAUCCCGUCCACGUGGUGGUCGGUCUGGUUGAUCUUCCUGAUUGUAUUUCGAUGGUAUUGGCUCAAGAGCUUUGUCGUCGAAUUGUGGCAGCAGCCUGCGCUUGGGGUAACUUUUGGUAGGUCGCUCAUGGCCAUACUCCUUGGCGGCUAGGACCUUGGUCCACCUUUCAUUGAGCGUAUCGUGUUCAGCUUUGAGCUACUGCUGUUUAUUUUUCAGGCUCCGUGUUGUGGCAAUGAGCUGUCGCUUGAAGCGUUCUUGCUCGAGGGGUUCCUCUAGGACGAUAAAAUCUUCGCCACCGAGGCUAACAUCCUCUUCGGAGACUGGCAUAUAAUUGUUGUCUUCGGAAUCUCAUGAUCAGCAUAUUUGGGGACAUACUGACCCUCCUCCCUCUCAUCUUCUUCGGAUGUGGGCUCGACAGGGUGUUCGGGAUCUUCGGCACUAUCCAGGAUUUCAUUAUCUCCGGUGCCAAUAUUACUAUCCUUCACCCGACGUGAUCGUGAGCGGCGCCACUGACGUCGGCACUUUGGUGGUUUAUCGACGGGCUUGUCCUCAUCGGGAUUCAGAUUAUCCUUGUUGUCCUUUUUAUCAGGAGUGUCCACCACGUAUACUUCAUAGGUUGAAGUGGUCGUCCAGCGCCCUAUGAUGGGUGGGACUCGGCCUGAUUCGGCGUCGGCAUCAUCAUCCAUACUUUGAUGUCUUCGGACGCGUAGUCAAGCAUGUCGGUUAAAUCCUCGACAGUGGCUAUUAAGUGGGUGGUGGGCGGGUCGUAAAAUUCCCCACUCUCAGCCCAAGCCCAUGCUGGGUGCAGUUUGGAGGCAAGGCUUCCGUAACGGUGAGAGAUCGCAUUAAGCCCAGUGCUUUGUCUAAGGGUGAAGGCCGGGCAUGAGUCUGCGGAUCUACAGGGCUGAGUUUGGCGACAGACACCUGAUCGAGCCCGAUCGACGCAGACUUCGACAGUUCGGAGUUGUCGUCCAGAGGCGAGUCCAAAAUCACAUCUGGGUCUCCGAUCGAAAGUUCCAUGAUGGAAAAGGGUCUGGCGGGGUUGAUCCUCCCGUCUUCGGAUGAUACGGCCUGCUCCGGAUCUAAGGCCAAGGCGGGCGUGAGUGUUGACCCCUAAACGGGAUCUAAGAGCGAAUCUGAAGAGCUUCCUUCACGGGGGAAAGGAGCGGCAACCGAGGCCGCGAACCCCUCGUAGAACAGAUCUCCUCGGAUAUCGGUGAUGUAAUUCAGGUUUCCGAACCAGAUCUGGUGUCCGGGGCAUAACUGUCGACCUGCUCAAGGUGGCUAGUCGAGUUGGCACGAAGCACGAAGCCUCCAAACACAAAGACUUGUCUAGGAAGAAAGGUUUUCCUAGACGCAGCGUCAUCGUUGAUGAAGAGGCGAGCCAUCAAUCCUUCUGUCGGCGAUACAGCGGAGCUCUCAAUGAAAGCACCAAUGUCGGUGUCAAAAUGGGCAAAUCUCGUGUAGGGGGGCCCAAGCUGUAUGUUUGAGGAUCGAUGGUAACAAUGAUCAAAGGGACACAGUGUUUACCCAGGUUCGGGCCCUCUUAAUGGAGGUAAAACCCUACUCCUGCUUGGUUAUAUUCGAUGGUAUAGGGGUUACAAGAGUUGAUCUACCUCGAGAUCGUAAUGGCUAAACCCUAGCUUGGCUAGCCUAUCAAUGUUAUGAUCCUGCCUUUGGUCUAAACCCUCCGAUUUAUAUAGAGACCAGAGGGGCUUAGGGUUGUACAAAGUCGGUUUAACAGAAAGGAAAUAGUAUAUCCGGACACCUAAGCUUGCCAUCCAUGUAUACAGGAGUCCCCACCGGACACGAGAGGUGGUCUUCUUCCUUGUAUCUUGACGGAACAUUAGUCCGGCCCAUGUCCAAUAGACCGGACACCUGAGGACCCCUUAGUCCAGGACUCCCUCAGGUAGUACGAGGGUUGACUGGUUCGGCUGCGGUGUGAGGCUGCCGUCGCCGUGGAAUAACAGGGGGUGUGGGUGAGUGGAGGGAUGGCCUGGCCAGCAGUGGGAGUAGUAGGAGUGGUGAGGCCUCCACGACAGCACAGCCGGCCAUGGGAGGCAAGAGCACGCGGUGGUUUGGACGGCUGGAGCAAGAAAAUCAGAGGUUGAAGAAGUGGGAGGACCGUUGGAUGUUAACAAUCCAAUGGUCACUGGUGAUAGAAUCGUUUGUUGACUAAGUUGACAAAGCCCUCCGUACACGUCAACUUAGUAGGGCCAUAAGUCAGCCUCCGAAUCUGGUGGGCCCCAGCUGUCAUGGGGAGCACUCAUUAUUUUCUCUUAAUAAGGAGGCACUUCCUUCCAUGCAAAGAUAUAGCUAGUGGGACCCAGCUGUCAUUGGGAGGUACUUGCUUGCAUGUGGCCAUGGACCAUGUGGGUCCUAAUUGUUAGCCUCUCCAUGUACAUCCCUCUUCCGAUGUUGUCAUUUGUUGACAAUUUUGACCACGCCAUGCCGAGAACACCAGCGAGAUGGACGACGGCGAGACCCAGGAAGGCAAUGACCCAGAGGUGGUGAAGCCACAACAGUGGAGGGAUGUGGGUGAGUAGAGGGAUGGCCUGGCCGGCGGUGGGAGUAGUAGGGGGCGGUGAGGCCUGCGCUGCAGCACAGCCAGCCACGGGAGGCGGGAGCAGGCGGUCCCGUCGGCGCUGGAUUUGGCGGCUGGAGCAAGAAGAUCAGAGAUUGGAGAAGCACGACGACCGUUGCAUUGACAUCUAACGGUCAUGUCUGUUGACAUAUAGAAUAAGUAAAAAAAUCUUGCAUACAUGUCAACUUAAUAGGUCCACAAGUCAGACAAUUUUCUAUAUUUUUUAAUAAUUUACAGCUCAUUGUAACUUCUUAUACAAUUUAUUGCAGUCCUUUUUUUGUUGGCCAGAGCCAGGGUUAAAAAUUUAAACAAAAUUUCGCAUAUUCCGGUGGGGUCCAAACUAUUUUUAAUACCGAAAUUUCGAGCCAGAUUUAAAGUACUUUAAAGAUAUAUUUAAAUUAGGUUAAAACCCAGUGAAAUUGGAACUGAAAAUGUGAAAAAAAAAUCCGGAAAUUAUUAAGUAAUUGCCAAUUUGUCGUCUGUUUUUUAUAUUUACAGCCCAUGUCAUAUUACUUUCAAGAUUUGCAGCCGCCUUGAAAGAGUUGCAGCCCAUCAGGGCGUAGAAAAAUAAGUAGGCCUGGAUUGAGUAUUCUUUAGAAAAAAUAAAUUGGGCUCAUCUAUUUAUAUAUAAAAAGUGCUUUACGGGGUAACCAGAAAAAAGAGAAUUACCUAGAAAAUCCCAUAAUAAUUAGAAACAUCUGGCCGUCAAUUGAAACCGAUUAGACGAGCACAACCAAUGGAUUGAAAAAAUGAAAAUUACCCACCAAUGCCCUUGAUAAGUUAUCUCGCCCACGUAAAAAAAACAAAGUAAUUAAGUUAGAAAAUCUCACAAAAAUUAGAAACAUCUGCCCUUAAUUUAUUAGGAGAGAUAACCACAAUCGUUAGAUCUUAGAAACAACUUAGUAACACCUAGAAAUUACCCACUAUGCCCUCAGCUUUUCUCCACGCCUCUUGUAUCUCACAAAGGUACCCAAAAAAACACGGAUCAGAAAAAGGGAUCAAUCAGGGGACGUGGCUCUCCAUCCCUCUCACCGCCACCGUGAACGCAUCGUUCCUUUGCCAUGUCGAUCAUGCAUCGUCGCCAUGGGAUGAGUGGAAAGUUUCCACUGUUCCAUCAAUUCCAUUGCCAGGUAUGUUUUCCCACAAAUGUCUACGUCUCCAUGUAUGAUUAGUUGACAUUGAUUCCGUGAAUCCAUACUACUGCUUCUGUAGGCGUCUUCCCUUUUAAAUCCAUCUUCAAUUUUCAUCACCUGGCCUCGAUCCUUGCCUGCAUAUCAGAAAAUGUGGAGUUUGGGAUUGCAAAGGUGCUUAAAUAAUCAUGAUGGUUGCUGCAUACAUUGAUUUAGGAUUUUUCUUUGCUCCAUGCUUCAAAUAUUUGUUUCUCCUUUUUGCUGUGUGAUGCUAAGAAUUAACAAUGAAAUUUUGCACGAGCAAGAAAUUAACACAGGGAUGAAGGACAAUAUUAUACUGUAUCUAACAAGCAAUGGACAUAGAGAACACAUAAUAAUUAGUGCCAAUCAAUAGAUACUUAAUGUUUCAUCCAAUCAAAAGUCUAUGCAGAGAACCGAAAAGACAACCUAUUGUAGGAUAUGUCUAUAGUGCAGUCCAUACUAAUAUACAUGCUCUGAGAAGUUAACAACUUGACAUGUAUAUUGCUUCCUCAUGAUUCAUGAUAUGUAGCUCGAACUAGAAUGAGAGCAGCAGGAGUCAGCAACCCGGUGCCAGUGGCUUGCCUCGGACAUUCCUGCUCGGAGAGCACCCCAUUGUGUCUCCUACAUGAGGAUGUAUGCUCUAGACUGGACAAACGAGUACCAGCAGCAGGUGCGCCGUACCAUAACAAAUGCCACUUUAUGUCUUAGGUGAUUAAGUUAAUCUGUUUACUACAAUGUCCUACAAGAAGUAGAAUGAAGCUAAGUUCAGCGCUCCUGGGCAGCAAGUCAAUUAAUCCCGGCAACAUCCAAACUCUUCAGGAUAUUUAGUGUCAAAUGGUGAGACCAAUUAACUGCCUAAUAGUUGCUGCUUCAUACGAUUUUCUUGACACUACAUAAUCUAACUUUUCUUGGUCAACCAUCAUAGGUUUAUUCACAAAUUGAUGUAAACAAACGGUCGCUUAAAGAAGUCGUUGCGUCUUGAGGAUGUCUUAAACGGCUAUCACAAGGAUAUGAUUACUCGGCCUAGAAUUUUCAAGCAUCAUGAUUGGGCAUAGUCUUAAUCAUCCGGUCGCAAUGCCAAUGAAGCAAGAAAAUAACGAGAAGGAAGACUCAUUUAAGUGCAUGUGUCAACAUAAUUUCCGCUUCUUCCUAUAUUCAUUCUUUUCUUCUCAUUAUGUUGCCAGUUUCCUACUCUGUAGGAUGUAAAAUAUGAAAUACAUUUUUUGAUAGUUUCAUCUGUUUGUUCAAAGCAUUGGAAACAUGCAUCAACAUUUGAUGGAAAUAGCUCAAUAAUAUCAAUUAGUAUCAACAAUCUAUAUUAUGUGAUACCUGAUAUUUGAAUCUUAUUAUACAGUACAGGCCAAUAGUGAGUGCCCAUGCAUCAUUAUGUUUUAUAUGUAUAAUGCAACCAGAUCAAUUUUCCUAUUCAGUUAUUACAAAUCUCAGUUUAUCUUUGGGAAUUGUUAAAACUAUAGUGAAGCCCAAAGAAAAUAACUACUUCCUCCGUUCCUAAAUAAGUCUUUGUAGAAAUUCCACUAUUGAUUAGAUACGGAGCAAAAUGAGUGAAUCUACACUCUAAAUGCAUCUAUAUACAUCUGUAUGUGGUUCAUAGUGUAAUCUCUACAAAGACUUAUAUUUAGGAACGGAUGGAGUAUUUCUUAAGUAUGUUGAAUAUUAAUGGGAGUAGGGGGGCUAACGCCGAUGCAGGUCACAAGCCCGAAAAAAAAGUGGAGGGACAUAAACAAAUUAGGAAGUCUUGCAGUUGAUUGUCUCUGAUGCUACUAUUGUAGCAACUUAAUAAAGAGGAGGUUUAUGUGUCAAAAAAAAACAUUAUGCCCUUAGUUAUGUUUGGCAUGUAUAACUUACAAUGAUCAUGUAGUUGAUGGACCAGAAGUCAAUCUGAUGAAAAUCAACAUCAGACAAUAUGUAGGAGCACAAAAUACAUAAAUGGUGCAGAUUAUACUGGUGCAAUCGCACAAAAAAUCAGAAAAGGGGAAGGGAGAAGGAGGGACCUGCAGGUGGAAGAAUGCAACCUUUCAAAUUUUAUAGGCACAAUUCCUACCUUUUGGUAUUUCAAACCUUAACACAUAAACAAUAAAUGCAUUGUUGAUACUGGUCACAAGAAAAUCAAUUGAAAAUACAUUUUUUACAACCUACUGCAUGGCAAAGCCCCACAGUCUUUUAUUACCACCCAGAAACCAAGUUCAACUGUACAGAAAAGCAACUAAAAGCAGAAAAUAAAAAAACAUUUGAAAAUGUUGCUGUGAUGGUCCACAUAAAUAUGUAGUUAAUGUGGCUUUGAAUUGAGAUUUAUGAUAUCUGAAGUUUUAGUUUUGUACAUGGUGCAUAAUAUCAAGCAUUGAUUUUCUCUCUUGUGGAUUUGGAUUUUAUAGAAGAAGCUUAGAUCUCAUAAAUAUUUCAACAAAAAUGACCAUAGUCACCAGUGUAACACGAACUUCUAAUUGGCAUCACAAGGUUAGGAACAUGUAUACAACCAAAUUUCAUGACCCCUUAUUCUCUUGACUAAACAUGUCUUAAAUCAAUGAAGUGUGGACAAAACUAUGUUCUCAUCACAUUAGUCCCCAAUUUUUCUUUAGAUAAACCAAAUAAUAUGUUCUCAAUAUUAAACUUUCUAAAGUUCUAGCCCGCGCAUCGAGCGGGCCACUUUGCUAGUUUUCAGAAAGGAAAAAUAGCUGGGCUAAUCUUGUGGUGAACGUGAAACAUAAGACUGGGCUAGACGGGCCACAACCCAGUUGAAACCCUGCUCUGUCUCAACAAUAACAAAAAAAUACUGCUCGAGCAGCUAUGUCCAAGGUGCCAGCCGAUGUUGUGAUGUUCUCUUGCCUAUUGACUAUGUACAUUGACAAUAUCGUGGGUCCCAGAUGUCAGGAAACCACCAGGAGGAAGCAUUUUCUUUUUCUAGACGCUAACAGUGGAGAAUAUAAAAAAUGAGUAACUUCCUUGCGUACGACAAUGGACAUGAUGGGUCCCUACUGUCAUCCUCUCCACGUACAAUCCUCUCCCGAUUUAUCUUGUUUGUUGACCAUGUUGACAACGCGAGAGGGCAGCGCAGUGGCGUGUGCACGAAAGCGCGCGGAUGGCGACGGCGAGGCCUCGGAUGCCGGCGUUAACGAUUUAGGAGACGGUGGGGCAGUGAUGCGUGCGCUGAGGUGCAGCCAGCCGUGGGAGGCGGAAGCAGGCGGCCGCACCGGCGCUGGUUUGGUUUUGGCGGCUGGAAGAAGAUGAGACUGAAGAAACACAACGGACUGUAAAAGUAGCAGGAGUACUUAACAACCUUAACUGAAACCUCAUGGUCGGUGAACAGAAGAUGUUCCUCAGUCAGAACAAAUUCCUCAGAGAACAGAAGAUCUUCGUCUUUGUCACUGAAGAAAUUGAUUGGACUGAAUGAGAUUUCCAAUGGCUUCACUCGAAAGGAUUGGUAUGUGUAGGCUUUGAGAUGAGCAUCACUUGGAAAGUGUUUCCUUAGUUUUACCUCGACCCCCUUUAACAGUACGGUGUUUCCUAUGACCCAAGAAAGAGAAAUUGAAACUACGAAAACAAAAGUCUUCACGCUUCAUAGUCCUCGCAUUAAUAUCAAAGUCCUCAAGGUCACACCAAUUUCCUCAUUUUCAAAGUCUUCAAGAAAACCAAAGUCUUCAACUGACGACAUUCAUUUUUAGGGGUUGACUUUCAUCAUAAAUAUCAAACUCCUCAUAGACGUAUAGAACAUGUGUACACUCACAAACACAUUAGUCCCUUAACGUAUAAGUCUUCGAUACACCAAAAUCACUAUGGGGCACUAGAUGCACUUACAACCCUCCCCCCCCCCACCCCAUAUUGGUUGCUUGAUUCAUAUGGUUACAAUCCAUAAGCAUUUCUCCUUUGGAUUCAUCUGUACUAUUUUUCUUAGGGAAUUUUUCAUCCAAUCCAACGUCUUGUGAAGAAGGCUACAUUUUUUAGAUUGUAAUCAAAUGCCCAUGUUAAUAAUGUCAGAUCGAAGAUGGCACAUUGGUGCAUUUUACAAAUCCUGCAAACCAAGCGUGUAGUAGUGUUCAAAACUGCAUGUAGGCACUAACACGUUCUCUUCUUUUGCAGAUAAUAAUAAGCCCAGAGGUGGAUAAUGUUUAUAACAACAGUCACAUCGAGUGCAUGGUUCUGCAUCCCUCAAAUAUUACUUAGAACUCCUACCGAGGGACCUUGUCGGAGAUUACAUUCGCCAGGUUCUUUCUUUCCAGAGCAAGGGUGCUGAGGGUACUAAGGUUGAACACACUUAUAAUUAGGAAUUGUUUGUUGAUCAGAGCUGGCAGCUACUGCAGAAUGGAAGAGGCUCCAAAAAAGCUAAACUUCGUAUUGGAAGAGUAUAUGACAGAGUAAUUGGAAGUCAUUGUGUCAAACCCAUACAUGACUUGCCAGCGGCUGAUCCCUUUGCAGAAAUGACGAGGUUUGCAAUGUUUGAAUUUGGGCAUUGUAAUCUUUGAAUUUGAACCUUGCAAUGUUUAUGGUAUUUGUUAUAUAACGUAAUUGGAUGUUUAAUUUGGUCUUGCAAUCAUGUCCUAUUACAAGUAUAUAUAUGUUGUUCUUCUGUACACAGAGCAUAGAUGUUCUGCAGGCAGAGCAUAUCACAUCGCACACGGACCACACUAGGUAACCCGUCGGCGAUGAAUUCACCAAUCGCAAAUGGUUAUAUAUCGGCAAGCGUUUACCCACAACACACACGGCUUAUUCCAUCACAAACAUCUUGGAUGGAUCAAUUGUAUGCCACGUAUCACACACGCAACUCUAAUCUGAUUUGUGCUUGAUGUCUCCGACAUCGCUCGCACAGUUUGUCUUAUUUCCCACGUAUCACUAUGUCGGCCUCUGCUCGUGUCCCUCCGCAAGCUCUGCUCACUGUUAGGCGCCGCAGCAUGCUGUGCUCGCCGUUAGAUGUCGCGGCGUGCUCUGCUCGCGUCCGUAGGCAAGCUCGGCUUAUGGACAACUUUUCCUUGCGUGUUCAACUGCUAUAUGCAUAUAUAUGGUUGCUCGUCAUUGAGGCGACCGCGGAGCUCUCUGCUCACGUCCUCAGUGCGCGCUCUGCCCGUGGUUGGGCCUGCGCACGAUCACGUCGGGGGGGCCCAUAUGCAUGCGGUUGCACACCGCACGUCACCACACGAUGCAGUUAUGUGCGGCACAAUGGAGCUACGUGAUACGUCUCCAACGUAUCUAUAAUUUUUUAUAUAUUCAUGCCAUGUUUAUAAUAUUUCUACAUGCUUUUGUUAUGAUUUGGUUAGAACUAACCCGGACCGACGCUGUUUUCAGCAGAAUUGUCGUGGUGUUGUUUUUGUGCAGAAAUAAAAGUUCUUGGAAUGCACUAAAAAUCAACGGAGAUUUUUUCUGGAAGAUAUAAAAAAUACUGGAAUAAAGAGUUACUAGAGAGGAGGCUCAUGGGGCCCACGAGGGUGGUGGGCGCGCCCACCCCCCUGGGGCGCGCCCCCUGCCUUGUAGACACCCCGUGGGUCCUCCUGACUUUUUCUCCACGCCAAACCCUCCUAUAAAUACAGAAACGCCUAAAACAUAACCUAGAUCGGGAGUUCAGCCGCCGCAAGCCUCUGUAGCCACCCAAAACCAAUCGGGACCCUGUUCCGGCACCCUGCCGAAGGGGGGAUCCAUCACCAGUGGCCAUAUUCAUCAUCUCGGUGAUAUCCAUGACGAGGAGGGAGUAGUUCACCCCUCGGGGCUAAGGCUUGAUAACCCACAAGUGUAGGGGAUCGCAACAGCUUUCGAGGGUAAAGUAUUCAACCCAAAUUUAUUGAUUCGACACAAGGGGAGUCAAAGAAUAUUCUUGAGUAUUAGCAGUUGAGUUGUCAAUUCAACCACACCUGGAUAACUUAGUAUCUCCAGCAAAGUAUUAGCACAUAGUGAAUACAUGAACUCCUCAAACUACGGUCAUCACCGAGAAGUAUCCCGAUUAUUGUCACUUCGGGGUUGUCGGAUCAUAACACAUAAUAGGUGACUAUAGACUUGCAAGAUAGGAUCAAGAACACACAUAUAUUCAUGAAAACAUAAUAGGUUCAGAUCUGAAAUCAUGGCACUUGGGCCCUAGUGACAAGCAUUAAGCAUAGCAAAGUCAUAGCAACAUCAAUCUCAGAACAUAGUGGAUACUAGGGAUCAAACCCUAACAAAACUAACUUGAUUACAUGGUAAAUCUCAUCCAACCCAUCACCGUCCAGCAAGCCUACGAUGGAAUUAGUCACGCACGGCGGUGAGCAUCAUGAAAUUGGUGAUGGAGGAUGGUUGAUGAUGACGACGACGACGAAUCCCCCUCUUCGGAGCCCCGAACGGACUCCAGAUCAGCCCUCCCGAGAGAGAUUAGGGCUUGGCGGCGGCUCCGUAUCGUAAAACGCGAUGAAACUUUCUCCUUGAUUUUUUUCUCCCCGAACAUGAAUAUAUGGAGUUGGAGUUGAGGUCGGUGGAGGUCCAGGGGGCCCACGAGAUAGGAGGGCGCGCCCUAGGGGGGGGCGCCCCCUGUCUCGUGGACAGCCUGUGGGCCCCCUAGUCUUGAUUCUUUCACCAAAAGUUCUUAUUAAUUCCAAAAAGUGCCUCCGUGGAUUUUCAGGACAUUCCGAAAACUUUUCUUUUCUACACAUAAAACAACAUCAUGGCAGUUCUACUGAAAACAGCGUCAGUCCGGGUUAGUUUCAUUCAAAUCAUGCAAGUUAGAGUCCAAAACAAGGGCAAAAGUGUUUGGAAAAGUAGAUACGUUGGAGACGUAUCAACUCCCCCAAGCUUAAACCUUUGCUUGUCCUCAAGCAAUUCAGUUGAUAAACUGAAAGUGAAAAAUAAAAACUUUUACAAACUCAGUUUGCUCUUGUUGUAAACAUGAAAAGCCAGCAUUCAAGUUUCAGCAAAUAUUAUGAACUAACCAUACUCACAAUAACACCUAGGUCUCACAAUUACUCAUAUCAAUAGCAUAAUCAGCUAGCGAGCCAUAAUAAUAAAACUCGGAUGACAACACUUUCUCAAAAUAAUCAUAACAUGAUAUAACAAAAUGGUAUCUCGCUAUCCCUUUCUGAGACCGCAAAACAUAAAUGCAGAGCACCUUUAAAGAUCAAGGACUGACUAAACAUUGCAAUUCAUGGUAAAAGAGAUCCAGUCAAGUCAUACCCAAUAUAAACCAAUAAUAAUGAAUGCAAAUGACAGUGUGCUCUCCAGCGGGUGCUUUUAAUAAGAAGGGUGAUGACUCAACAUAAAAGUAAAUAGAUAGGCCCUUCGCAGAGGGAAGCAGGGAUUUGUAGAGGUGCCAAAGCUCGAUUUUAAAAUAGAGAUUGAAUAACAAUUUGAACGGCAUACUUUCGCUGUUAACACAACAACUAUGAGAUGGCUGUAUCUUCCAUACUACAUGCAUUAUAGGCAGUUCCCAAACAGAAUGGUAAAGAUUUAUACUUCCCCAACCACCAACAAGCAUCAAUCCAUGGCUUGCUCGAAACAACGAGUGCCUCCAACAUACAACAGCCCUGGGGAGUUUUGUUUAAUUAUUUUGAUUUUCUUUGAUCUUUUUGGAUCAUGGGACUGGGCAUCCCGGUUACCGGCCCUUUCUCGUGAAUGAGGAGCGGAGUCCACUCCUCGUGAGAAUAACCCACCUAGCAUGGAAGGUAUAGGCAGCCCUAGUUUUAACAUGAGCUGCUCGAGCAUACAAAACAGAAUUUCAUUUGAAGGUUUGGAGUUUGGCACAUACAAAUUUACUUGGAAUGGCAGGUAAAUGCCGCAUAUAGGAAGGUAUAGUGGACUCAUAUGGAACAACUUUGGGGUUUAAGGAGUUUGGAUGCACAAGCAGUAUUCCCGCUUAGUACAGGUGAAGGCUAGCAAAAGACUGGGAAGCGACCAACUGAGAGAGCGACAACAGUCGUAAACAUUCAUUAAAAUUAAUUCACAUCGAGUACAAGCAUGAGUAGGAUAUAAUCCACCAUGAACAUAAAUAUCAUGAAGGCUAUGUUGAUUUGAUUCAACUACAUGCGUGAACAUGUGCCAAGUCGAGUCACUCAAUUUAUUCAAAGGAGGAUACCAUCCCAUCAUAUCACAUCAUAAUAAUUCUAAUAGCAAUGUUGGCACGCAAGGUAAACCAUUAUAACUCAUAGCUAAUCAAGCAUGGCACAAGCAACUAUAAUCUCUAAAUGUCAUUGCAAAUAUGUUUACUUCAUAAUAGCUGACUCAGAAACAAUGAACUCAUCAUAUUUACAAAAACAAGAGAGGUCGAGUUCAUACCAGCUUUUCUCAUCCCAAUAAGUCCAUCAUAUAUCGUCAUUAUUACCUUUCACUUGCACGACCGAACGAUGUGUAUAAUAAUAAGAGUGCACGUGCAUUGGACUAAGCUGGAAUCUGCAAGCAUUCAACUCAAGAGAGAAGACAAGUAAUAUGGGCUCUAAGUUAAAUAAACAAUCAUGCAUAUGAGAGCCACUAAACAAUUUCAAUAUGGUCUUCUCGACCCCCAAAGGAAAGAAAAGAAAAUAAAACUAUUUACACGGGAAAGCUCCCAACAAGUAAGAAGAAGAACUACAAAUCUUUUUGGGUUUUCAUUUUAAUUCUACUACAAGCAUGGAAAUUAAACUAACUAUUUUUUUGGUUUUUCUUAAGGUUUAUCAAGCACACAAAGAGAAAACAAGAAAAAGAAAUUUAAACUAGCAUGGAUAAUACAAUGAAAGAGUAUGAGCACCGACGACUAGUGUGUGAACAUGAAUGUAAAGUCGGUGAGAAAUACGUACUCCCCCAAGCUUAGGCUUUUGGCCUAAGUUGGUCUAGUACCAAGGAUCGCCGCUACUCUCCCUGGUGUAAUGGGAGGUGUAAUCAGGAUACCACUGGCUGGUCAUCUACGGAUCCCACUGGACAGAUGAUGCAUGAUAAGGGUCCAGUUCAGGUUCCGGCUCAGGUUCAGGUUCUGGAGUAAAAGCUUGAGCUCGAUGGUUGUUCACCGCUUCCGACGUAACAAGAAAAUUUUCUGCAAGCAAAUCUAACAAUAGAGGCGCAGGCAAAAUAAUAAUCUCAAAGUGUUUCUUAUUAAAUCUAAGUUUAUACAAGAGCAUCUUCUCUUCAUUGUCAACAAUAAACUUGUGUGCUACCAUGCUCUUGUAAUCUAAGAUGUGAGGAGGCAAUUUUAUCUCCUCCUCCUCAUGGUGCCUAAUGGGUAUCUGAAAAUGUUUAGCAAGACGUGCAGCAUAGAUACUCCAAAUAUGGGGCCUUUUAUACGAUUCAGGGCUAGCCGUUUAGCAACGACAGCACCCAUACUAAAAGUAUUGUCUCCAAGCAAGGCAUGUUGAAGAAUGAUAAUAUCAGGAACACUCAAGUUUCCACUAUUUCCGCGACCAAUCAAGCAUCUACUACCAAAUAUGGCAAAGUAGCGUAAAACAGGAAAGUGUAUGCUAGAGGCUUUUCCCUCAGAGCCCUUCUUUGGCUCCUCUACAACAAUAGUAUUAAAAAAACACCCACAUCUUCACAAUGGGGUUCCUCUAAUUCUCCCUCAUAAGGUAUCCUACAUACCGCACAAAAAUGACGUAAAGACAUUUCUUUGAACUCGUCAUAUAAAUGAAAUGAUAAUGCAGGCGGUGACUUCUUAGGAUAAUAAUAAAAAUUUUGCACGAAAGUAUUGGUGAGUAAGAGAUACUGAUCGAUUCGGUCGUUGAUGAAACCGGUGACGCUUGCAGUCUCGAUUAAAGCAUAAAAGUCUUCAUGAAUUCCAGCUUCUUUCAAGAAAUCCUCGCAUGGCCAUUCACACGACCGUACUUCCGCUAAGCGAGGAAGAUUAUACUUGGCUUUUUCCUUCUCUUUGGCUUGUUUUUCCUGAGAGCUUUGGCUAGAAGAGCCCCUCAAAAGUUUCCUCAACAUUUUCUCAAAAUUUCUAAAAUUUUACUAACUUCAAAAUAAAAGUGAAUAAAACUAAACAAGAUUGAUAGCAACUACUCCUACAAGUUCCUAGAGACUAUAUCAUGCAUUGGAAUUGCUUGGGACCUCAAAAAUUUAACAUGCAAGCUCAAGAACAUGGUCACCUAUGCAACAAAAAUUUGCAAUGAAUAAAGCACUAGAACAAAAACUAAUUGGACCAUUGGAGGAGUCACAUACCAAGCAACAAUCUCCCAAAGCAGUUUUGUGAAAGGAACUUUGAGCAAGGAGAUCGAAAAUCGCAGCAAAACGAGCUAGAACUCGUGCUUGAGCUGGAUGGGGAUUUUUUUGGGUAGAAGAUGAAGUGUGUGGGUGCUAGCAUAAGUGGAGGGGGCCACCAGGGGCCAACGAGAUAGGGGGCGUGCCCUAUAAGGGGGGGGGGAUCCACUCUCGUGGCCUGGUGCUUGCCCCUCCUGCAGUGAUUUCAGUGCCUAAAAUCCUCAAAUAUUCCAAAAAAAAUCAUACUAAAUUUGCAAGGCAUUUGGAGCACUUUUACUUUCGGACUAUUUUUUAUUGCACGGAUAAUUCAGAAAACAGACGGAUAAUACUACUUUUGCUAUAUUUAUUCUAAAUAACAGAAAGUAAAAAGUGGGUACAGAAGGUUGUGCCUUCUAGUUUCAUCCAUCUCAUGGUCAUCAAAACGAAUCCACUAACAAGGUUGAUCAAGUCUUGUUAACAAACUCAUUCCGAAUAACACGGAACCGGACAAAUUUCGAAUAACACUAAGUUACCUCAAUGGGGAUAUGAAAAUCUCCAACAACAAGAAUAUCAUACUUUUUCUUGAUAGUAGGGAGAGGAAAUUCAAAACCUCCAAAAAUGAUAGUUGGAACUUUUUCAAUAGAAUUGAUGCUAUGCACUUGAGAUUGUUUCCUCGGGAAGUAUACCAUAUGCUCAUUACCAUUAACAUGAAAAGUGACAUUGCCUUUGUUGCAAUCAAUAACAGCCCUUGCAGUAUUAAGAAAAGGUCUACCAAGGAUAAUAGACAUACUAUCGUCCUCGGGAAUAUCAAGAAUAACAAAGUCCAUUAAGAUAGUGACAUUUGCAACCACAACAGGCACAUCCUCACAAAUACCGACAGGUAUAGCAGUUGAUUUACCAGCCAUUUGCAAAGAUAUUUCAGUAGGUGUCAACUUAUUCAAUUCAAGUCUAUGAUAUAAAGAGAGAGGCAUAACACUAACACCGGCUCCAAGAUCACAUAAAGCAGUUCUAACAUAAUUUCUUUUAAUGGAGCAUGGUAUAGUUGGUACACCCGGAUCUCCGAGUUUCUUUGGUAUUCCACCCUUAAAAGUGUAAUUAGCAAGCAUGGUGGAAAUUUCAGCUUCCGGUAUCUUUCUUUUAUUUGUAAUGAUAUCCUUCAUAUACUUAGCAUAAGGAUUCACUUUCAGCAUAUCAGUUAAGCGCAUACGUAAGAAAAUAGGUCUAAUCAUUUCAGCAAAGCGCUCAAAAUCCUCAUCAUCCUUUGACUUGGAUGGUUUAGGAGAAGGGCAUGGGUUUUUGAACCCAUGGUUCUCUUUCUUUACCGUGCUUCCUAGCAACAUAAUCUCUCUUAUCAUAACGCUGAUUCUUUGAUUGUGGGUUAUCAAGAUCAACAGCGGGUUCAAUCUCUACAUCAUUGUUUUUGCUACGUUGAGCAUCGACAUGAACAUUAUCAUUAACAAUAUCACUAGGUUCAUGUUCAUCACCUGAUUGUGUUUCAACAUCAGAAAUAGAAAUAUCAUUGGGAUUCUCAGGUGUGUCUACAGUAGGUUCACUAGAAGCAUGCAAAGUUCUAUCGUUUUUCUUCUUCUUCUUUUUAGAAGAACUAGGUGCCUCUAAAUUAUUUCUCUGAGAAUCUUGUUCGAUUCUCUUAGGGUGGCCUUCAGGAUACAAAGGUUCCUGAGUCAUUCUACCAGUUCUAGUAGCCACUAACAGCAAAGUCAUUUUUAUUAUUUAAUUCGACAAGCAAAUCAUUUUUAGCUUUAAGUACUUGCUCAGCUUGUGUAGCAACCAUAGAAGCAUAUUUGCUAACGAGGUGAAGUUCAUCUUUAACUCUAGCCAGAUUAUCGCUUACACGUCCUAUCUCGAAAGCAUUAUUCUUCAACUCUCUACCAACAUAAGCAUUAAAACUUUCUUGUCUAUCCAUAAAGUCAUCAAAUUCAUCUAAGCAUGGGCUAUGAAAUUUAGUAGAGGGAAUUUCAACUUUAUCAUAUCUAUAGAGAGAAUUUACCUUUACUACCUGUGUCUGGUUAUCAAGACAAUGUGGUUCUUCAAGCGGUAUAUUAAGACCAUGUAUUUCUUCAAUAGGAGGUAAAUUCUUAACAUCUUCAGCUUUAAUACCUUUUUCUUUCAUUGAUUUCUUUGCCUCUUGCAUAUCUUCAGGACUGAGAAAUAAAACACCUCUCUUCUUCGGAGUGGGUUUAGGAAUAGGCUCAGGAGUUGGCUCAAUUGGUUCAGGAAUUACUUCAGGAACUAGCUCAGGAAGAGUCCAAUUAUUUUCAUUAGUCAACAUAUUAUUCAAUAAUAUUUUAGCUUCGUCGACCGUUCUUUCCCUGAAAACACAACCAGCACAACUAUCCAAUUAGUCCAUGGAAGCAUUGUUAGUCCAUUAUAAAAGAUAUCAAGUAUUUCAUUUUUCUUAAGAGAAUGAUCAGGCAAAGCAUUAAGUAACCGGAGAAGCCUCCCCCAAGCUUGUGGGAGACUCUCUUCUUUGAUUUGCACAAAAUUAUAUAUUUCCCGCAAGGCAGCUUGUUUCUUAUGAGCAGGAAAAUAUUUAGCAGAGAAGUAAUAAAUCAUAUCCUGGGGACUACGCACAGAACCAGGAGGAAGAGAAUUAUACCAAGUCUUAGCAUCACCCUUUAAUGAGAAUGGAAAUAUUUGAAGGAUAUAAAAAUAGCAAGACUUCUCAUCAUUAGUAAAUAGGGUGGCUAUAUCAUUCAACUUGGUAAGAUGUGCCACAACAGUUUCAGAUUCAAGGCCAUAAAAAGGAUUAGAUUCGACUAAAGUAAUUAUUUCAAGAUCGACAGAGAAUUCAUAAUCCUUAUCAGUAACACAGAUAGGUGAAGUAGCAAAAGCAGGGUUAGGUUUCAUUCUAGCAUUAUGAGACUGCUGCUUCCAUUUAGCUAAUAAUUUCUUAAGAUCAUAUCUAUCAUUGCAAGCAAAGAUUUCCCUAGCAGCUUCUUCAUUCAUAACAUAACCCUUAGGAACAACAGGUAAUACAUAAUCAUUGGGAGAACCUUCAUCAUCACUAUCAUCAGUAAUAGGAUCUUCAGUAAUUUCAUUCCCCCUAACUCUAGCAAGUUGUUCAUCAAGAAAUUCACCUAAUGGCAAAGUAGUAUCACGCACAGAAGUAGUUUCAUCAUGCAUAGCAAAAGUGGCAUCAUCAAUAACAUGCGACAUAUCAGAAUUCAUAGCAGUAGCAGGUUUAGGUGUCGCAAGCCUACUAAUAAUGGAAGGAGAAUCUAGUGUAGAGCUAGAUGGCAGUUCCUUACCUCCCCUCAUAGUUGAGGGCAAAAUAGUAGUUCGGUCGUCUUUCAAGUUCUUCAUAGUGAUCAACAGAUAUAAAUCCCAAGUGACUUAGCGAAUAGAGCUAUGCUCCCUGGCACCGGCGCCAUAAAUUAGUCUUGAUAUCCACAAGUGUAGGGGAUCGCAACAGCUUUCGAGGGUAAAGUAUUCAACCCAAAUUUAUUGAUUCGACACAAGGGGAGCCAAAGAAUAUUCUUGAGUAUUAGCAGUUGAGUUGUCAAUUCAACCACACCUAGAUAACGUAGUAUCUGCAACAAAGUAUUUAGUAGCAAAAGUGGUAUGAUAAUAAAGCUAACGGUAGCAAAAGUAAAGAUAAAUGUUUUUGGGUUUUUGUAGUAGUUGUAACAGUAGCAACGGAAAAGUAAAUAAGCGAAGAACAAUAUAUGAAAAGCUCGUAGGCAAUGGAUCAGUGAUGGAUAAUUAUGCCGGAUGCGAUUCCUCAUGUAAUAGCUACAGCAUAGGGUGACACAGAACUAGGUCCAAUUCAUCAAUGUAAUGUAGGCAUGUAUUCAGUAAAUAGUCAUACGUGCUUAUGGAAAAGAACUUGCAUGACAUCUUUUGUCCUACCCUCCCGUGGAAGUGGGGUCCUAGCGAAAACUAAGGGAUAUUAAGGCCUCCUUUUGAUAGAGAACCUGAACAAAGCAUUAGCACAUAGUGAAUACAUGAACUCCUCAAACUACGGUCAUCACCGAGAAGUAUCCCGAUUAUUAUCACUUCCGGGUUGUCGGAUCAUAACACAUAAUAGGUGACUAUAGACUUGCAUGAUAGGAUCAAGAACACACAUAUAUUCAUGAAAACAUAAUAGGUUCAGAUAUGAAAUCAUGGCACUCGGGCCCUAGUGACAAGCAUUAAGCAUAGCAAAGUCAUAGCAACAUCAAUCUCAGAACAUAGUGGAUACUAGGGAUCAAACCCUAACAAAACUAACUUGAUUACAUGGUAAAUCUCAUCCAACCCAUCACCGUCCAGCAAGCCUACGAUGGAAUUAGUCACGCACGGCGGUGAGCAUCAUGAAAUUGGUGAUGGAGGAUGGUUGAUGAUGACGACGGCGGCGAAUCCCCCUCUCCGGAGCCCCGAACGGACUCCAGAUCAGCCCUCCCGAGAGAGAUUAGGGCUUGGCGGUGGCUCCGUGUCGUAAAACACGAUGAAACUUUCUCCCUGAUUUAUUUCUCCCUGAACGUGAAUAUAUGGAGUUGGAGUUGAGGUCAGUGGAGGUCCAGGGGGCCCACAAGAUAGGAGGGUGCGCCCUAAGGGGGGCGCCCCCCCCCCCCUUGUCUCGUGGACAGUCUGUGGGCCCCCUGGUCUUGAUUCUUUCGCCAAAAAUUCUUAUUAAUUCCAAAAAGUGCCUCCAUGGAUUUUCAGGACAUUCCGAGAACUUUUCUUUUCUACACAUAAAACAACAUCAUGGCAGUUCUGCUGAAAACAGCGUCAGUCCGGGUUAGUUUCAUUCAAAUCAUGCAAGUUAGAGUCUAAAACAAGGGCAAAAGUGUGUAAAAGUAGAUACGUUGGAGACGUAUCAAUGCUAUGUACCAGUAGCUAUGUGUUUGAUCUCUCUCUCUCGUGUUCUUGAUUUGGCACGAUCUUGAUGUAUCGCGAGCUUUGCUAUUAUAGCUGGAUCUUGUGAUGUUUCUCCCCCUCUACUCUCUUGUAAUGGAUUGAGUUUUCCCUUUGAAGUUAUCUUAUCGUAUUGAGUCUUUAAGGAUUUGAGAACACUUGAUGUAUGUCUUGCAUGUGCUUAUCUGUGGCGACAAUGGGAUAUCCACGUGAUCUACUUGAUGUACGUUUUGGUGAUCAACUUGCGGGUUCAGUGACCUUGUGAACUUAUGCAUAGGGGUUGGCACACGUUUACGUUUUAACUCUCCGGUAUAAACUUUGGGGCACUCUUUGAAGUACUUUGUGUUGGUUGAAUAGAUGAAUCUGAGAUUGUGUGAUGCAUAUCGUAUAAUCAUGCCCACGGAUACUUGAGGUAACAUUGGAGUAUCUAGGUGACAUUAGGGUUUUGGUUGAUUUGUGUCUUAAGGUGUUAUUCUAGUACGAACUCUAUGAUACAUCGAACGGAAAGAAUAGCUUCGUGUUAUUUUACUACAGACUCGGAUAGAUCGAUCAGAAAGGAUAACUUUGAGGUGGUUUCGUACCCUACAAUAAUCUCUUUGUUUGUGCUCUGCUAUAAGUGACUUUGGAGUGACUCUUUGUUGCAUGUCGAGGGAUAUUUAUAUGAUCCAGUUAUGUCAUUAUUGUUGAGAGAACUUGCACUAGUGAAAGUAUGAACCCUAGGCCUUGUUUCCGAGCAUUGCAAUACCGUUUACGCUCACUUUUGCUAUUAGUUACCUUGCUGUUUUUAUAUUUUCAGAUUACAAAUACUCAUAUCUACCAUCCAUAUUGCACUUGUAUCACCAUCUCUUCGUUGAACUAGUGCACCUAUACAAUUUAACAUUGUAUUGGGUGUGUUGGGGACACAAGAGACUCUUUGUUAUUUGGUUGCAGGGUUUGUUUGAGAGAGACCAUCUUCAUACUAUGCCUUCCACGGAUUGAUAAACCUUAGGUCAUCCACUUCAGGGAAAUUUGCUACUGUCCUACAAACCUCUGCACUUGGAGUCCCAACAACGUCUACAAGAAGAAGGUCGUGUAGUAGACAUCAAGCUAUUUUCUAGCACCGUUGCUGGGGAGGUGAGUGCUUGAAGGUAUAUCUUUAGAUCUUGCAAUCGAAUCUUUUAGUUUCUUGUUUUAUCACUAGUUUAGUUUAUAAAAUAAAACUACAAAAAAUGGAAUUAAGGUUGCCUCAUAUGCUUCAUCUUUUUAAUUUCUGUCGUGAAAAUGAUGGGAAGGAAAAUUGUGCUCAACUACUAGAAGAAGAAUUACAUAGAAUGCUUGGAAUAAAAUAUGUGAAUGAUGAGCAUGAUUGCAAUGUUGUUAGUAUGAAUUCUUUGAAUACCCAUGAUGCUAAUGAUAUGCAAAGCCACAAGCUUGGGGAUGCUAUGUUUGAUGAAGAUGAUAUGUUUAGUCCCCCAAGUUUUGAUGAGAAUAUUUAUUAUGAUGAAACCAUGCCUCCUAUUUACGAUGAUUAUAUUGAUGAAAGUGGGUUUGGAAGAGUGUCAACUUUAGGAAGUAAUGAUCCCACUAUUUUGGAGGAUGUUGAAUAUUAUUGUGAUAAUUAUGAAAGUGGAUUUGGAGAGGUCAUGACUUUAUUUAGUGAUGAAUCCACUAUUUUGGAAGAGGUUCCAAUUGAUUAUGAGAACAAAGUUGCUAUCUAUGAUGAGUAUUGUGAUGACUUGUAUGCUAUUAAGAAUAAUGAUAACCAUGAAACUUGUCAUCAUUAUUUUAGUUUUCAAUUGGAUUAUGCCUCACAUGAUAACUAUUUUGUUGAGUUUGCUCCCACUACUAUUUAUGAGAAGAAGUUUGCUUAUGUGGAGAGUAGUACAAUUUAUAUGCUUGUGCAUCAUGAAAAUAAUGCUUUAUGUGAUGGUUAUAUUGUUGAAUUCAUUCAUGAUGGUACUGAAAAUUAUUAUGAGGGAGGAACAUAUGCUUGUAGGAAUUGCAAUAAUAUCAAGUUUCCUCUCUAUGUGUUGAAAAUCUUGAAGCUAUGCUUGUUUUACCUUCCUAUGCUAGUUGAGUCUUGUUCCCAUAAGUUGUUUGCUCACAAAAUCCCUAUGCAUAGUAAGUGGGUUAGGCUCAAAUGUGCUAGUAAUAUGCUUCAUGAUGCUCCUGUUAUGUUUCAUUUCUUAUCUUUUAUGUGAGCAUCAUUGUCAUCAUCAUGCCUAGCUAGAAAGACAUUGAAGAAAAACGCUUGUUGGGAGACAACCCAAUAUUUACCCUUACUAUUUUUGUGUGUACACAUGAUUAUGCUACUGUAGUAAUCAUGUUUUAUAGCUUUUGUUUCAAUAAAGUGCCAAGUAAGACCUUUAGGAUAGCUUAAGGUGAUAGUUGUGUUGAUCCUGCUGAAAAUCAGAAACUUUUGAACCCAGUAAAUUAGUUUUGAUAAUUCGCGGAAACAUGAUUUUGAUCUGAUUCUUUUUUAUCUGGAUUUGUACACAAAUUUCUCAGGUUUUCAAUAUUUGGUAGAAUUUUUGGAGUUACAAAAGUAUUCGAAUGAUACAGAUUACUACAGACUGUUCUGUUUUUGACAGAUUCUGUUUUCUAUGUGUUGUUAGCUUAUUUUGAUGAAUCUAUGAGUAGUAUCGGAGGGUAUGAACCAUAGAGAAGUUGGAAUACAGUACAUAUUACACCAAUAUGAAUUUAGAAUGAGUUCACAACAGUACCUAAGUGGUGGUUUUAUUUUCUUAUACUAACGGAGCUUACGAGUUUUCUGUUGAGUUUUGUGUUGUGAAGUUUACAAGUUUUGGGUAAAGAUUCGAUGGACUAUGGAAUAAGGAGUGGCAAGAGCCUAAGCCCGGGGAUGCCCAAGGCACCCCAAGGUAAAAUUCAAGGACAACGAAAAGCCUAAGCUUGGGGAUGCCCCGGAAGGCAUCCCCUCUUUCAUCUUCGUUCGUCGGUAACUUCAAUUGGAGCUAUAUUUUUAUUCACCACAUGAUAUGUGUUUUGCUUGGAGCGUCAUUUUGUUUAGCUUGCUGCUUGAAUAAAAUACAUUAGAUCUGAAAUUCUUAAAUGGGAAAGUCUUCACAUAGUUGCACAAUUAUUUGACUACUCAAUGAUCUUCACUUAUAUCUUUCGGAGUAGUUUGUCGUUUGCUCUAGUGCUUCACUUAUAUUUUUUAGAGCACGACGAUGGUUUUAUUUUGAAGAAAUAGAUGAACUCUCAUGCUUCACUUAUAUUAUUUUGAGAGUCUUUUAGAACAGCAUGGUAAUUUUCCUUGGUUAUGAAUUUAGUCCUAAUAUGAUAGGCAUCCAAGAGGGAUACAAUAAAAACUUUCAUAUGGAGUGCAUUAAACGCUAUGAUAAAUUUGAUACUUGAGAAUUGUUUUGAGAUAUAAAGGUGGUAAUGUUAGAGUCAUGCUAGUUGGGUAAUUAUGAAAUUGAGAAAUACUUGUGUUAAAGUUGGCACGUCCCGUAGCAUGCAUGUAUGGUGAACAUUGUGUAACAAAUUUGAAGCAUGGGGUGUUCUUUGAUUGCCUUCCUUAUGAGUGGAGGUCGGGAUCGCGCCAUGGUUAACUCCUACCAACCCUUCCUCUAGAAGCAUGCAUAGUAGUACUUUGCUUUGAGGGCUAAUAAACUUUUUCAAUAAGUAUAUGAGUUCUUUAUGACUAAUGUGAGUCCAUGGAUUAUAUGCACUCUUACCCUUCCGCAAUUUGCUAGCCUCUACGGUACCGUGCAUUACCCUUUCUCACCUUGAGAGUUGGUGCAAAUUUCGCUGGUGCAUCCAAACCCCGUGAUAUGAUAUGCUCUAUCACACAUAAACCUCCAUAUAUCUUCCUCAAAACAGCCACCAUACCUACAUAUUAUAGCAUUUCCAUAGCCAUUCCGAGAUAUAUUGCCAUGCAACUUUCCACCAUUCUGUUUAUCAUGACACGCUCCAUAAUUAUCAUAUUGCUUUGCAUGAUCAUGUAGUUGACAUCAUAUUUGUGGCAAAGCCACCUUUAUAUUUCUUUCAUACAUGUCGCUCUUGAUUCAUUGCAUAUCCCGGUACACCGCCAGAGGCAUUCACAUAGAGUCAUAUUUUGUCCUAAGUAUUGAGUUGUAAUUCUUGAGUUGUAAAUAAGUAGAAGUGUGAUGAUUUCCAUUAUUAGAGCAUUAUCCCAUGUGAGGAAAGGAUGAUGGAGACUAUGAUUCCCCCACAAGUCGGGACGAGGCUCCAGACGAAAUAAAAAAAGAGAAUUUUUAAAAAAAAAGAGGCCAAAGAAGCCCAAAUAAAAAAAUGAGAGAAAAAGAGAGAAGGGACAAUGUUACUAUCCUUUUUCCACACUUGUGCUUCAAAAUAGCACCAUGAUCUUCAUGAUAGAGAGUUUCUUAUUUUGUCACUUUCAUAUACUAGUGGGAAUUUUUCAUUAUAGAACUUGGCUUGUAUAUUCCAAUGAUGGGCUUCCUCAAAAUGCCCUAGUUCUUCGUGAGCAGACAAGUUGGAUGCACACCCACUUAGUUUCUUUUUGAUGAGCUUUAAUACAUUUAUAGCUCUAGUGCAUCCAUUGCAUCGCAAUCCCUACUCCUCGUAUUGACAUCAAUUGAUGGGCAUCUCCAUAGCCCAUUGAUUAGCCGCGUCAAUGUGAGACUUUCUCCUUUUUUGUUUUCUCACAUAAUCCCUAUCAUCAUACUCUACUCCACCCAUAGUGCUAUGUCCAUGGCUUACGCUCAUGUAUUGCGUGAGGGUUGAAAAGGCUGAAGCACGUUAAAAAGUAUGAACCAAUUGCUUGGCUGAAACCGGGGUUGUGCAUGAUGGGAGCAUUUUGUGUGAAGAAAAUGAAGCAUGGCCAAACUAUAUGAUUUUGUAGGGAUAAGCUUUCUUUGGCUAUGUUAUUUUGAUAAGACAUAAACUGCUUGGUUAGCAUGCUUGAAGUAUUAUUAUUUUUAUGUCAAUAUUAAACUUUUGUUUUGAAUCUUAUGGAUCUGAAUAUUCUUGCCACAAUAAAGAGAAUUCCAUGGAUAAAUAUGUUAGGUAGCAUUCCACAUCAAAAAUUCUGUUUUUAUCAUUUACCUACUCGAGGACGAGCAAGAAUUAAGCUUGGGGAUGCUUGAUACGUCUCCAACGUAUCUAUAAUUUUUGAUGUAUUCAUGCCAUGUUUAUAAUAUUUCUACAUGCUUUUGGUAUGAUUUGGUUAGAACUAACCCGGACGGACGCUGUUUUCAGCAGAACUACCGUGGUGUUGUUUUUGUGCAGAAAUAAAAGUUCUCGGAAUGCGCUGAAAAUCAACAGAGAUUUUUUCUAGAAAAUAUACAAAAUACUGGAAUAAAGAGUUACCGGAGAGGAGGAUCAUGGGGCCCAUGAGGGUGGAGGGCACGCCCACCCCCCCUGGGGCGCGCUCCCUUGUCUCGUGGACACCCCGUGGGUCCUCCUGACUUGUUCUCGACGCUAAACCCUCCUAUAAAUACAGAAAUCCCCGAAACAUAACCUAGAUCGGGAGUUUCGCCGCCGCAAGCCUCUGUAGCCACCAAAAACCAAUUGGGACCCUGUUUCGGCAGCCUGCCGGAGGGGGGAUCCAUCAUCGAUGGCCAUCUUCAUCAUCUCGGCGCUCUCCAUGACGAGGAGGGAGUAGUUCACCCUCAGGGCUGAGGGUAUGUACCAGUAGCUAUGUGUUUGACCUCUCUCUCUCUCUCGUGUUCUUGAUUUGGCACGAUCUUGAUGUAUCACGAGCUUUGCUAUUAUAGUUGGAUCUUAUGAUGUUUCUCCCCAUCUACUCUCUUGUAAUGGAUUGAGUUUCCCUUUGAAGUUAUCUUAUCGGAUUGAGUCUUUAAGGAUUUGAUAACACUUGAUGUAUGUCUUGCAUGUGCUUAUCUAUGGCGCAAUGGGAUAUUCACAUGAUCUACUUGAUGUAUGUUUUGGUGAUCAACUUGCGGGUUCAGUGACCUUGUGAGCUUAUGCAUAGGGGUUGCACACGUUUUCGUCUUGACUCUUCGGUAGAAACUUUGGGGCACUCUUUGAAGUACUUUGUGUUGGUUGAAUAGAUGAAUCUGAGAUUGUGUGAUGCAUAUUGUAUAAUCAUACCCACGGAUACUUGAGGUGACAUUGGAGUAUCUAGGUGACAUUAGGGUUUUGGUUGAUUUGUGUCUUAACGUGUUAUUCUAGUACAAACGCUAUGAUAGAUCGAACGGAAAGAACAGCUUCAUGUUAUUUUACUACGGACUCUUGAAUAGAUCGAUCCGAAAAUAUAAGUUUGAGGUGGUUUUGUACCCUACAAUAAUCUCUUCAUUUGUUCUCCGCUAUUAUUGACUUUGGCGGGACUCUUUGUUGCAUGUUGAGGGAUAGUUAUAUGAUCCAGUUGUGUUAUUAUUGUUGAGAGAACUUGCACUAGUGAAAGUAUGAACCCUAGGCCUUGUUUCCUAGCAUUGCAAUACCGUUUAUGCUCACUUUUGCUAUUAGUUACCUUGCUGUUUUUAUAUUUUCAGAUUACAAAUACUCAUAUCUACCAUCCAUAUUGCACUUGUAUCACCAUCUCUUCGCCGAACUAGUGCACCUAUACAAUUUACCAUUUAUUGGGUGUGUUUGGGACACAAGAGACUCUUUGUUAUUUGGUUGUAGGGUUGUUUGAGAGAGACCAUCUUCAUCCUACGCCUCCCACGGAUUGAUAAACCUUAGGUCAUCCACUUUAGGGAAAUUUGCUACUGUCCUACAAACCUCUGCACUUGGAGGCCCAACAACGUCUACAAGAAGAAGGUUGUGUAGUAGACAUCAUUACGCGCUGCAAAUUAGAACUGCCAUCCGGGCGUGCCGAUAUUCCAGGCCGUCCGGCUUCCCCUUUAAUUCCUGCAGCCAUUAUAACCUUAGUCUCUUCAACCUUUCGAUCGCGCCCCACAACACAACAAGCACACCCACGACGACACAUAGAGAGGGGAUGACUAGCAGCCCUCCAAUGGAGUUUGGUGAGCAUAAAGUAGAGACCCACGCGAGGGAGACAGAUCUCUUGGUGGUGUACAUCAUUGGCCCGACCAUGGUGGACAACUUGAUCAACAUUGUUGAGCAGUUGCUUGCUCGAGACAAGUACAAGGUGGUCGGCAUCAACCUCUAGCACACCGGCGGUCGUCCCAACAUAGAUCAGAAGGUUGCCGCUGCCCAAUUGUGUGUGCGCCAUCUUGUCCUCAUCUACCACUACUGCAUGGCAUAGAGCCUUGCGACCGUUUCACCAAGUUUGUCAAUUGCACUGACUAAAAGUUCGCUAUGGUGGAAAUCACCGACGAUGUAAAAGCGCUCAGGGUUACGGGCUUGGCCUGCAAGAACCUUGUCGAAAUCCAUGAGCACUACAGGGUCUGGGCAGCACGAAGAAGGAAUCCCUGGUUGAACUCACCUCGGCCAUCAUCGACCCAUACUACAAAAAUAUGAAGCAAGAUGCCAACAGAACACGUCUCGUAUCCUGGCACAGGGCCUGGAUGAGGCAACUGGAUGAACCUCACCUCAGGUUGAUGACCAAGAACGUGUACAGAUGCUACGAGAUGCACAGGCGGAUCGUUGACAUGAGGAAGUGCCUCGUUACCGAGAUCGACGAGGCUGGAUCGAGCCACAAGAAGAGCAGUAGCGGCAAGCGUCCCAAAAAGUAGAUGAUGAUCAGAUGAUCAUUUAUCCUACUUAAUUAUGCAUGUAAUAUAUAGUUCACUUUGGUGUGUGGAAAUGUCAUGUGUGUAGUAGCCACCUAUGUAUAUAUGCAUGUAAUAGUUUACUUUGGUGUGUGCAAAUGUCAUCUGUGGAGUAGCCACCUAUGUAAUUGGAUGUUUAAUUUGAUUAUGCAACCAUGUCCUUAAAAGUGUGUGUGUGUGUGUGUGUGUGUGUAUGUAUGUUGUUGUUCUGUAUGCAAUCCCAACACACAACACACAUGCCUAGCAGCAAUCGUCUGUGUUAUUAUCGGUCUUCACACACAUUUCUGAUUACAGACCUGUUUGUCACGUAUCACACACAUCUUGUUAUAUUAAACCGUUUAUGUUAUCUUGGCUCAACGUAAAUAGUUCAUCCGAGUGAACUGUUUGCCCUCUGUCGCACACACCUUGAUCUGGUUGGCCAUUUCUUUUGUUCCGCCUAAUCACAAGCAGUUCAUCCGAGUGAACUGUAUGCUGUAUAUCACACACACAUUCAUGUGGCUGCCUGUUCUUCUGCCUCAUCGCAAACAGCUCAUUGAACUGAACUGUAUGCCCUGCAUCGCACACGCAACUAAACUCUAAACUAUGUUUGAUGCAUCUGGCAUCGCAAAUGUUUUGCAUCUUUUUUUAUGGUUCUUUUACAUCACUGUUUGUGAUUAUUGCAUCGCACACAGUUUCGUCGAAGGUUCUCUGAUCGUAGUGUCGAGUUAGCAGCAUCCUGCAGUACUGAUAUCUCUAGUCCAUACCAUGCCAUUCAUUGAACUUCCUGAAAUAUUUAUCUUCAAUGGAUAUUAGUUCAAUGAGUUAUAUGGUGUUAUGAAUUACCAAAACCACCCGGGGAUUAGUUGCACUUUCAAUCGAGAAAUUUCAUUAGUGGAGUAAUCCCAAUAGAUUUAUGCAACAUGAUAUCAUUAGAAGUGAUUGACCUAUCUGAGAACAAACUUUCCAAAGAGCUUCCCGAUUGUUAUCAUGCCUACACAUGUACCUGAGCUUUCGUUUAGUGAAUUCAUAUUGGUUUUGCUUGAAAUGGUAGUGAUGUCUAGUUGCGAAGAGUAGACACGUCUCAAGUAAAUAGUUUACCAGACGAAUAAUUCAUAUUGCAAUAGAGUGAUGGAGUUGUUGAUGGUAGGAGUGAAUUCUUCGAAACGUGGUUACAUUUGGCGAGUGGGGAAUGGACAGAAUAUCAAAUAUCUAGGAAGAUGCUUAGAUUCCUGAUAUUGUGCCACUAGGAAAGUCGUUACAUCUAGGGGGCAUAUUCUAUCUAAAGUGGUCGAUUUGAUUGAUCCUGCUUCAAAUAAUUGGGAUGAAGACCUGAUUAGACAAACUAUGUGGCCCAUUGAUGUCCAAUGGAUACUUGCAGUCCCACUGCCGCAACAUGAUAUACCAGACUUUGUUGCAUGGAGUUAUACGAAAAAUGGUAUAUUUUUGGUUCAGUCUGCUUAUUUUGUGGAAUGGGACCAUCAGCAUGGAUGUAAAUUGAGACAUUCUGAUGGAAUGGGACGAACCACAGUUAACCCUAUUUGGACUGAGGUACGAAAAUUAUCUUUCCUGACAAAAGUCAAAAAAAUUAUCUAGCGUACCCUACAUUGCACACUUUCAUGUCGUGUUACACUCACAAACAGACAUAUGAAAAUCUCGCCCACUUGUCCUACUUGCUCCAAAGGUUUAGAAGAUAUGAAGCACAUUCUACCUCUGUAAUAAAGCAAGGAGGUUUGGAGAAGGUUGGGAUGGAUGAUAUUAUUGAUAAACCCUGUGAGGUUGAUCGUGCUAGAGAGGCAGUGCUUGAAUACUUACUUCUUCUACUAGACCAAGAAUUGUGGAUUAUGAGUCAUUAGAAUGUGCAUGAAAUGAUUGUUAUAAUCUCAGCCUGGUACCUAUUGUGGGAUUGGGAAAGACGUAAAUUAGUGCACGAGAAGACAACUUAGAAUGUGUAUCAGAUCCCUAGGGGAAUAUUAGCUCUUACGGCAGACUUUGUAACUGCUUCUUCUCCAAAGGCCUCUGUGAAAAGGGGGGCUGGUUUUUCCCUCCAGUGGAUUUUUUGAAACUUAAUGUUGAUGCUUCUUUUGACCAUGACCAUCUCAAGGGCACGAUGGGGGUUAUCCUUAGAAUGACAAAGGAAAAUUUAUUGCUGGAGGAAUGGGAAGAUAGACUACUACGCGGAUGACUUGACCACUGAAGCCUUGGCUCUCGAAUUCGGACUAUCGUUGGUGCCUGGCGCAAUGAUCAGGAUGUAAUCGCCUUAUUAUUAACUCGGACAAUCUGCACGUGAUUGAUACAAUGAAGGAUUGAGGAUAGUUGGCGGGUGCAGCGGCAGCUAUUUUCGAUGAUUGUUUUCAUUAUUCUUGUGAUUUUAUUGUUACUAGGUUACAAUACCGUAACAGAGAAUCAAAUAAAAUUGCUCACGAGCUCGCUAGAUUAGCUAAAUUUUCUUUGACUUCUGAUUGGUUUGAGGAGCCCUUCAAUGAAAUUGUAACAACCCUCAUAAACAAUGUAUUGGUUAUUUCUAAUGAAUAAAUUUCUGGGUUUAUUAAAACAGUUUGUCUAAUUCACGUCUAGAUGUUUUCCAAGAAUGUCACAUCUAAGCUCCCACAAAUAGCGCAGAAACAAGGAACAAAAAAAAGCUUGAUCAAAAAAAUAGAUCACAAACAUAGUGGACAUCAGGUUAGAUGUGACAUAACUAUGUCACAUCUAGAUGUGUCCUAGACAGACCCUUACUAAAAAAAGUCCGACAAGAACAACUACCUUUUGUAAAUUUCUUCAAGUCUGAAGAUAAAACAAAUUAUAGUUGUAAGUAGUUUAUCGAUGGUAUCUGCACAAAAUAUCUAUUUCCACGUAGUAAAAAUAUAGGACAUGUAGGUAUAUACAAGCAGAUUUAGGAAUAUAAUAUUUCUUCUUGCCAAAGAAAUUUAUUUUACUAAGAUUCUCCCUUCUGACUAAAAAUGAAGGAUUUUAUUCAAAUACUCACUCAUUGGUAGCUUGGAGGCAUAGACAGUCACCAUCCCAUAAAAAGUCAUAACAUAGUAGAAACAUAUAGGAAUUGAAAGGUUGAUUUGACCAUAAUACCAUUUACGAUUGUAACUUUGGGAUGAUAACAAUCUACCUUGAUAUAGUACAUAGAAAUUUCUUGUGCUAUCUUAUAUGAAGUUAGAGACCUGGUUUCUUCGUUGACAAUAUUUGUUUCUACCUGAGACCAGAAAAUCCCUUAGCAAAAUUAUCCAUAGAUUAAUUCAAUGGUCCACAUAUUUGUAAGUAAUUGGUUAGAUCAUGUCAGAUUUCUCUUAAAUACCAUUUUUUGCUACUUAAAUACCGUAUGAAUCGAGCAGGUACCAGUCCAGCUAUCAGUAUAUAUGGUACUUUAUGCAAAAAGAAUCACCAAGAAUUGAAGUAUUGAACCCUUGAGCCAUAGACCAUUAAUGGUGGAACAUGUUAAGUUAUCUAGUACUGGAGAACAAAUUAAUGUUCUUUACAUUUAAUCCAUAACUAGAAGGGUCAGGCGCGCUUUGCUACACCGUCGCUGUUGUUGGGUUUCUUAAAAAAAUACUCACUCUGUUUCAAAUUAUAAGGUGUAUUACUCUUUUGAAAUGUCAACCAUUUGAAGUCUGAUCAAAUUUGUAGAGAAAUAUAUAAAAAAAAUAUAAUAUCAAAUUGGUAUGAUUAGAUUCAUCAUGAAAUAAUGUUUCAUACUUUUUUUGUUUAAUAUUGUGGAUGCCGAUAUUUUCUCGCUCUAAACUUGGUCGAAUUUGGAGAAAUAUGAACUUCCAAAGAACUAAUACCCCUUAUAUUUUGAAACUAAUGGAAUAUUUAGUUUGGUGGGUGGAGGAGAUGAAAAAGUGUGCUUUACUUUUAUUCAUAAUGUGGUGAUUUGAUGGGUCUUUCGUGGUGUGGUUAUGUGUUAUCCGCUAACCAACGUAUAUUUAUGAGGGGAAAUUUAUGUGUCGGAGAUUGCAUGUACUAUAUUGGUGUUACAGUAUCACAUGGUGCUGCUUUUUUCUGUAUGGAGGACGGGUGCAUGGGAUUGAUAUGUUUUUGUAGGCCGAUUGUUGCUGAUUGAUUUGAAUAAUUGUUGGCUACAUUUGAAAACCAAAUCCAAAAUUAAACACCUUAAUUGAAUGAAAAAGCUUCAAAAUUAAGGAACAUAGAAAAUUAGAAGAAUUGAAUGGAAAUAACUCUUUGAGAAUAAGACGAAUUGAAUGACCCAAUUCUAAAUUCUUAAUCAAUUGUGAGGCCUUAAAACGGUCAAGUCUCUGUGCAUCAGUGUCAUCCCUGGAUCGGUAAUGCUGACACGCACAGUACUCAAGGAAUUAUAACAGAGUUUCAAUCACACACUUAUUACAUCAAGUCCUCAUAAAGAGUAUUAUUACACAAAUAAAUCAUGGUUGAAGGCCAUCUACACUAGAUAACAGCGGAAGGCUUCGAUGGUAAAUGAGUCCAUCAACUCCAACAGCAUAGAUGAGUGAAAAACAACGACCUAUCGCACCUUAUUUGCCGUCUGAGUAGUCUGCAACAUAAGAUGUUGCAGCCCGAAACGGGUCAGCACAUGGAAUAUGCUGGCAUAGUUACACUGUAAAGCAAUGAUAAUGCAAAGACUAUAUCUACAUGCAAUAUUUGGCUGGUGGAGGCUGUAAGUUUCAUGGUUUUGCAUAAAGCUAGUUUUUCUCUACAACAAAGGCAUAAAUUUAUUUAACUACUCCCAUGUUGCCCAUUAUUUGAGAAUGUUCCUCCAACUCAAAUCCCAUUUAAAAGUAUCAUCAUUAACCCAACAACAAAAUUAAUUAGAGUAACAUAUUGAGAUCACAUCAAUAGAUUCAAGUACUAGAUACUCAAGAUGUCCAUAACCGGGGACACGGCUAACCAUGAUUAGUUUAUACACCAUGUAGAGGUUUGCGCACUUUUCCCCACAAGACUCGGCCGCAUCCAUGAUCGGAUGAUCGAGACAUAGCCUUUCUGAAGCAUUAACUCUCUACUCCGGGUAGACAGUACCACCUACAACCCUCAACAUCUGCUCGUCUACCUCUUCAAGAGCCCACGCAACUUACUCAACUAUGUCAGAGCCCAUAAUGGCUUGUGGUUGCACACAGAAGUUUCUAGCAUGAAUAAUUUUAUGAUCCCUUUGAGCCUGAGUGGCAUUCCAUAGGAUAAUCACAUGUGUACUCCGAGAUUUCCAAAACAGACAACACUGGGUACUCCAGGUGCCUCAACCAAUCCACCCAGAUUUGUAUUAAAGUUGCCACCUUAAUGUUAUCCAAUUAAAAUAACUCUCAAACUUCCAUGUGUGAAUCACGAUACAAUCCCCGUCUACAAGCAUGGCUAAGCAAUAAUAAGCAUAACAUAUAUUCCCGGGGUGAUCAAAAGGUAUUGGGUUCCUACCUCAAGCACUACAACCAAAACUACAUGUUCCCAAUCCUACCAAUGCAAGUGUUUGUGGGGCAGAACUAAUGCAUAGUAAAGCUGGGUAUAAAAGAGUAUGGUCAAAGUGUAACUUGCCUUGCUGAAGAUCUGCAAACUCUAGGGAUUCGUAGUAACAAGCUUCGCACUCCGAGUAAUCUAGCAUAGACAAACAAUAGAAUACAUAAGCAAUCACUCAAACGAAACACGAGAAAACUCAAGAAAAGAUCCAAAUCGAACAUGAAACAAGCAACAACUUAAACUAACAAGAGUCAAAACCUAACAGCAUUAUUAACAUUUGAAUUAGAUCUUAACGGAAAGUACAUGUGAUUAGCUACGAUUUGCAAAAAGAUUCAACUCAAGCGGAGCAACGAAACUCAAAAAAAUACGAACGAAACAAGAUCGUUUACUAAUCUGGACUAAAGUCAAAUUUUACAGUAUCAAAAUCAUGUUCAAGUUGAUUAACUGGAAAGUGGGCUUCGAGGCGAAGAUUUAGGCGCUGGUUUCAUCUAAGUUGGAUAAACGAGUAAAAAGUUAUACUAGUUUAAAGAUCAGGGGCUGAAUCGCGAUAAAAAUAAUCGUAGAUAAAUCCCUGCAAAAAUAAAUGAAAAGAAAAGACUAACAAACGAACGUUUGUUGUCUGAACCUAACCGGCGAACAACGUUCGUUAAAACGAACGAAUGGAAGAACGUCCGCUAAAUAAAUAAACCAACAAAAAACCGAUCUGAUAAAAUUAAACCGAAAACUAAAAAAGUCGGGGUUAACCAAAAAAACCGACCGGUCAACGGCGGCGGCUCCGGCUAGAUCCGCGGCGGCAGCGGCGUUCAGCAACGGCGNNNNNNNNNNNNNNNNNNNNNNNNNNNNNNNNNNNNNNNNNNNNNNNNNNNNNNNNNNNNNNNNNNNNNNNNNNNNNNNNNNNNNNNNNNNNNNNNNNNNNNNNNNNNNNNNNNNNNNNNNNNNNNNNNNNNNNNNNNNNNNNNNNNNNNNNNNNNNNNNNNNNNNNNNNNNNNNNNNNNNNNNNNNNNNNNNNNNNNNNNNNNNNNNNNNNNNNNNNNNNNNNNNNNNNNNNNNNNNNNNNNNNNNNNNNNNNNNNNNNNNNNNNNNNNNNNNNNNNNNNNNNNNNNNNNNNNNNNNNNNNNNNNNNNNNNNNNNNNNNNNNNNNNNNNNNNNNNNNNNNNNNNNNNNNNNNNNNNNNNNNNNNNNNNNNNNNNNNNNNNNNNNNNNNNNNNNNNNNNNNNNNNNNNNNNNNNNNNNNNNNNNNNNNNNNNNNNNNNNNNNNNNNNNNNNNNNNNNNNNNNNNNNNNNNNNNNNNNNNNNNNNNNNNNNNNNNNNNNNNNNNNNNNNNNNNNNNNNNNNNNNNNNNNNNNNNNNNNNNNNNNNNNACGAAGGAGUGGCGCGGCGGCGGCGCUGCUCAGCUGUUGUUGGUGCUGGGGCGGGGUGGGCGGGGCGGCGGCGGCUUUUAAGGAGGAGGGGGAGGGGUGCCUUGGCGGAGGGGCAAGGCGGCGGCGGCGGAGUCCGAGCCGUACUCCACCUGGAGUCUGCCGGUGGCACGACGCACGGGCGGUGGCGCGAACGGGCCUGCUGGGCCAAUGGCCCAGUUCGGUCCGGGAACAUUUUCUAUUUUUUUAAAUAUUUUCGCCCGAACAGAAAAAUCCUAAUAAAAUAUUAAAGAAAUCUAAAAAUACAAAAAAACAUUUUUCACCGUCUAAAUGAAAUAUUUAGAACAAAGUGAACAUUUUUCUGGCCUAAAAAUGCAAUUUUAAAAAAAUGCAUAUUUUUCUAAUUCAAAUAAAAUAGAAAUAAAAUACCAGAAAAAUCAUAAAUGGAUUUUAAAAUUCUUUCUCCAAUAUUUCUCUAAAUUUGAAGAAGUCAUAUUAUCUUCUCUCAUUUAUUUUUUUUAACAAUGGAAAUAUUUGGAGAGAAAAAUAAUAAAACCAAACUGAUCCUUUUCUUCAAAUUUGAGUAAACUCAAAUAUGAAUUUUGUGAAACCUCCAACUCUCUCCAUGGGUCCUUGAGUUGCUUAAGAUUUCUAUGAUCACAACCAAAAUUCAAGAAUAAAUAUGAUAUGCAUAUGAUGAUCUAUGUAUAACAUCCAAAUUAAAAAUUGGGAUGUUACAAUAGUAUAAAGAAUUGAAUGAAAGAGCUUUAAGAAAUUGUUGACCGGGUUAAAAUCGGGUUACCAAGUUGCAAUUGGAGACCUCAGUUGAAUGUGGACUCUUUAAAACUAGGGAGCAUAGUUAUAGAAGAUAUGCAAAAGAAAGAGUCAAACAAAGAGUUAAAUUAACAAGGGUGUUAAGGUUUGGUUUUAUCUAGGUGUUCAUAUUGCUAACAAUGUCAGCUCGCAUGUGAAAAAAAGAAGAGAGCAUAUAAUUACAAAUUUUGAGAUAGCAGUUACCACUGAUGCGUAUGGAUGCAUCCAUUCAUGACUGGGAAAUGAAGGGACAGUGCCAACCUAUACAUAGGAAGUGUAGGUAUGUUUGGUUCCAAAUCGUCAUUGUCUGCUAUAAUUAGUUCUGGCAUGUAACUUUGCCACUUGUAAAACUAAUUUUAAUCUUCUUCCGCCACAUAUCAAGAGAGUUGCAAAGACAUUUUUUAUGGCGACUGGUCUGCAUUGUUAUUUUUAAAUGCAUCUUUCUUUGGUCAUCAGAAACGUUGUCUCUAACUGCAGAUUUGCAUAAGGGGGCAACUUAGGGCGUGUUUGGUUGCCCGCAUUAGGCCCAGCCUGGCCCGGGCGGGAAGAAUUUGGCCCGUUUGGUUUCCUGCAUUCACUGUGCGGCCCGCAUUGCACGAAACUUAAAGCACGUCCAGGCCAGGCCUUGGGGAAACGCACGAAUCGGCAGUAGCUCACGAGUCUGGCUCAGGCGAGGCAGGGGAAGGCGACGCGCUUCUCCCCUCGUGCGAGCAGGGGAGAUGGCGCGAGCUCGCCUGCGUCGCUGAAAAAUCGGCGGGGGGAUUUCGGCUCACCUCCCGUUGCUCCACCCCUAUUUAGCCCCUCCCUCACCGCCCCAACACCUGCCACCAUUGUUCCUUCGUUCGCGCUUUCCCACCGACGCCCAUCGACACCAACGAGCAGGUAAGCGGCGCAUCUUCAUCGGUCGGCGGUCCACGGCGUCGGAGCUCCUUCACCGGCCGGCGUUCAUCUUCCACGACCGUCCACCCUCGUCCUCAAGCUGCAGCCAUGGCAUCUGUUAGUUCAAUCCCCCUUUCUCUUUGUUCCUUCUAGCUAGAUCUGAGCUACAGCUAGGGUUUGAUCUAGAUGCAUGGUUGAUUAGUGGUCUGAUCUGUGAGCUGAUAUGGUUGGUUGCUAUGCUGCGAUUGCAAUUUAUGGUAGGGCUAGACGUUCAAGCAUGUGGUAGGCUAGAUUAGUAGUAGAGUUUGAAGUUGAACCUUGUGCUUGUGUUGAAUCAUGCUUAGAUCUGUGAUUUGUAGCUAUUGGUGGUCCAUUUGUAGCAUGAUGUUUGUUGUAGAUGUAUGUUCCUGCUCAUAGAUUGUCUGGUAUGCUUAGUAUGAUAGUGAUGAAGCAUGUGCUUGCUAUGAUAGUGAUGAACCAUGUACAUGUAUGCUCCUGCUUUCAUGGGGUCCAGUAUGUUGUGUGCUAUGCUCACUGUCAAUGCGUGUUACGGUUGUAGGGCAUGACAACGCAGACACAAGAUCUUAGUCAGGCCCUUGUCGUGUCUGACAGCCAGUUUGCUCCAUCGUUUGUCGAGGACUCGCAUCCUAUGUCCGAGAUGGCACCUGAUUCAAAGGUGUUCGAGUCUGAUUCCCUCUAUGUGCCAGUAGUGCUCGUUGAGCCAACUCCUGCUGCCGCUGCAAUCAAGCUAGCAGCAGCAAAGGCAAAGAAGGAUGGUAGGCCAAACAACAUGAAGUGGCAGCCAUUCAUGUCCACGUUCGUGCUGAACAAGAUGUGUGAGCUCAUCUCUAGUGGAAUUAGUACUGACAAGGGCUUCAAGGAGGUGCACUUGAACACCGUUGUGAAGCAGGUGUUCGAGUUCUGUGGGCAAGAGGUGUCUACCACCCAGGUGUACAACCACCUGAGGAAGUGGAGAAGUCGAUGGAUCCAAGUGUCCAAGCUGAGAGACUGUAGCGGCGCCUCAUGGGAUGAGAACACUUGCUCCAUAGUUCUGGAGGCAGAGCACAAUGCCGGCCAUGUCGCGGUUAGCUCAUAGCCCUCUUCCUUUUCAUAUUGUCCACCAUUGCCUGCUCCUAAUCGCAACUAACAACACUUGUGUUUCAUUCUUAGGACCACCCAAGGGACGUUGAGUUCCUCAACACACCCAUCCAGAACUACAACCAGAUGCAGCACAUCUUCUCCUUCGGGCUCCUGUCGGUGUACUAGAAUAGGGGUACCCCAGUACCCCGAACUUCUGCACGGGCAGUUGCAGCGCCCCGCGGCAAGGGCUUGCCGGGUGACCGCCAAGAUACUCCGUGGCUCCUUUGGAGCCAUUCAAGAACAAAGUAUUCAAGUCAAGAAGACAAGGCUCCGGCAAGAGGAGCUUGCCGGGAAGGCCAACCGAGGCUUCUCGAGGAACUUGCCGCGACGCACCACGCGUCCCGGCAAGGCCCGGCUAGCGACAAGCUUCCGGGCGCGACAAGACCACGACCGCGGCAAGGCACUUGCCGUGGCAAGCGGCCACUCUGUGCCCACGCUCCAGCGCAUCCACCAACGUGUCGCCCUGGGGGCCUCUCCAGGCGCGCGUGGCGGAGGGCUGUGCAGCCAGCGGUGCGCGGAGGCAUGCGACGCUGACAAGAUCACCGUUGUGGCGAACGGUGGCGCCCCUAACGGUCCUUUUCUGCACUGUUUGGGCGACACGGACUGGCAUUUAAUGCCCUUGUCCCCUGCCGUCAGGGUUAGGUAGAGUACACUGUGCAAGUAGCUGUACCAACUACCUCUCUUUUUACGUUUUUACCCUUCUCUGCGUUGCCACCUGUCGGUGACCCCUGGUGCAUAUAAAAGGAGGCCCAUGCGCAACGUAGAGGGGGUUCGCAAGUUCAGCUGGCUCGAAUCAUUUCGAAGCUAGGAGAACACUUAGCUCUCUAAAGCAAGAACAGAAUACAAUCAGACAAGCAGCAGUAGGAGUAUUAUCUCUCCGGAGAGCUCCGAAGCUGGGUAAACUGCUCGUGUGCUUCGCCUCGAUCUGCUCUUCGUGCGACCUCCGCCCCCCGCCGAUCCGAAAGGGGCUCGGUCCGCCGGUCCCAUAGGUGUUCGUGGAUCAGUUUCCCCGACAGGCUGGCAACUGGGAAGCAUGCCAUGAGCUCGGGUGAGCCUCUUGAUUCUCCCAUGCCAGACUUCCCUGGGACACGGGACGUCGAGGUCCUUGAUGGCCCUGACAAGCCCGCUGCGAAGCCCUUCGACAAGCCAUUUGACCCCGUCCAUGAUAGGAAGAGGAAGAGUGGAGGCCUGAUGGAGGAGGAGAUCAAUGUCUUUUGCAGCACGACUGAGGCGGUGGAGGUGGCAAUAGCCAUCAGGGAGUGCAAGCCCCUCGACGUCCAACCUGACCUGUAUGGCGCUGUCAUGACCCAGGGUGGAUUCAGCGACGAGGCUCUCAUGGUAGCUCUCAGCCACCUUCUUGACAACAAGGCCCAGGGUGUUGGGUUCGUUGCCAUGCCCGACGCUCACAGGGUGAUGUGGCUCAGGAGCUGGCUGGGCAAGCACUACUACUAGAGUAGUGCUGCCUGUGAGUGUGCAUGAUCCCUGACGGCGAUGGCGGUGGCGGUGACGACGACGAUGACGAUGACGACGUACAUUUUGUGUAGCUAGGCUCAAAAACUAUUUGAUGGUCUGUAUAUUUUGGUGAGGUGGUAUAUACUAACCCCUCACGCUGAUGGUUAACUUGCGGUGAUAGGAUGACACCCUCUUUUGGAUGUGGUGGUAGGCAGUGGCGGAGCUAGCAUUUGACACCAGGGUGGUCCACCUUUAGUUAUUUUUUACAACAACUAUGACUUGCAAAUAUUUCAACUAAUUGCAAAUACCAUAGAAAUAGAUAAACACACACUAAAAUUCUCAUUCAAGUCUCAGUUUUGAAUAAAAGAAGCCUACAUAGUACAGUACAUACCUUGAGAAGUUAAUCGUGAAAAUAUCAAUUAUAUCAUCUUCAUUCACCACAGAGAAAACAUCCAACUCAAUAUAUGUGACUAUGCAAUCAUCCAAAAGAUUAUCACCCAUCUUAUUUUUCAACUUGUUCUUGACUGAACAUGGUGGUGAAAAAGUUUUGCAAUAUCUCCGGUUCUCUUCAUUCAUUAAUAAUUCUAUAAUAAGAAUUUACUUUCUAUCAAUCAUAAAUUUAUAAUGACAAAACUAAACAAAAAUAAUAUGCUUAAUUAUGUGUGUUGUUCAUCAGAUCAUGUUCAUCAGUCCAUGUAUUGUACUGUCUAGUCCGCAAUACAAAAAAUAGCAAGCAAACCCUAAAUCAAAAAUUGAAAAAUUGGGGAAUGGAUGAAUCAUACCUCAAAUCAGGUAGAACCGGGUGCUGGAAUGCGAACUGGGCGGCUGCCGCUGGCUUGCAGGCUUGCAGCGGCGCCAGGCGGAUGACUGGGACAGGGGAGGGUCGCGGCUUGGGAUGAUGGUGCGGCUGGUGCCCAGCGCCGGGCAGGCUGAGGGCGCAGCGGGGAGGUAGGAGCAGAGGAGCAUCCUGGGGGGCCGAGAGCCGGCGCCAGCGAGGCAGGCGGAAGCGGGGAUAGGCCGAUGGCGACGAGGCAGCCGGCGGCUGCGUGUCGGGAAGAGGUCUCCCGCAGUCGUGCUUGGUGUCGGGCUGCAAGCGAGAGGUGCUGGUUGUUUUGCGUCAAAGUGUUAUUGGGCCAUUUUUUUCGUUCCCAAGCCCAUCUCUAUGCGCCCGGGUAAAAAUUCCAGGGUGGUCCGCGACCCACCCUGGCCACCCUGUAGCUCCGCCCCUGGUGGUAGGUUAACACCAGGUAGUGCUAGGUUGAACUUGCUAUGUCGUAUGAUCAUGCAUGCUUUACUUCUCUUCUGCUCCAUUGUUGUUUGUGUGCUACUUGUGCUCCAUUGAUUUGCUGCUUCAACUCUUGCUCUUGUGCAUUGCUAGGGCAAGUGGUAUGUCGUGUUCAUCGGUGAGGUUCCAAGGGUUUAUAGUUCCAUGGGAAGAAGCCAAUGCACAAGUGCUAUUGUAUAGCAACAGCAACUAUAGAGGGUUCAAAACUAGGCAGGCAGCAGAACAAGCUUACUCCGCCUGGGUGCGAAAGCACGGAGGCAGCAGUGUUGACCGUGCUUGGAGCUAUCAAAGUGGAAGCUGCUAAGGUGGAUCGUCAGUUCGUCCUGAAGCCGAAGAACUUCAUCAUCUUCUCUCAGUUCGUCAGCAUUGUUGUGUAGUGGCGUUGGUGUGCUAGGUGUGAUCAUUGUGGGUAAGCUCGCCAACUAGGGUACAAGGUAAGUACAACAUGUACGCCGUAUGCAACCAAACGCCAUGUUCAUGUGCCGCUAGGGCCAAUGCAGCCAACCAAACAAAGUGCACUUGCGUAUUACCUAAUGCAGGGGCUAGGAAUGCAGGCAACCAAACAAGUUUCAUAUGGCAUAUUAGGGCCUGUUUUCCUUCCAAACUGGAACCAAAACACGCCCUUAGUUUCCACUAAACACAUGACGAAUUUGGCACACGCCAAUCUAACUAUCCAGAUACCUUAGAUACCUUAGACUUGUGAAGAACAAAUUAGCCUCAUCUGCACAUAAGCAGUGCAGAAAAUUCAAGCAGACGGAAACAACAAACUUGUGGAGAACAAAUGAGACUUUGCAUAUAACUAAGUUCGGAAAAUUCUGAGCAACAGUAACCAUAGGAGGGGGGGACUGGCAGAAACAAACAAUUAUCAUAUCACAAUGAACCUCCAACAUAGCUCGCUCACCUGUCUGCCAAAUUUCUAAUAAAAUCUUCACUACCACCCAAGUGUAGUUUCGGGUCAAGCAUAACGAGAGACGUGGUUACUCAAAGAAGCUACGAUGCCAACAAAAGAAAGCAGCAAGCAGUCAAAACAAAGGGUAGUACAACUGAUAUAAUAUAGUUCAUAUUAUCUUGUUGAUAAAUAAAGCGACAAGAGUCGGUGUUGAGGCAAUAUAGACGAGAUGGAUACAUAUUAAUAAAAAAGGUCUAGAAACAGACAAACGAAGGAUAGUCCUGAGACACCCUCCAUCAAUGCACAUGCAUUAUUUUCAGGUCAUAUACUCCAGUUCAGCUCACAUGCAAACUCCUUCCACUUGUUAAUCACCAUGGCGUCAUCUCCGGUCACUGCUCAGCUUCUUGCACGCCUUUCCCUGGCAUAUCAAAUUUAGCAUGUCUUCAGUAAUACUAGUUCGGAAGAAAAAAAAGCUGAUCCAUACCCAACUUUGAUUCACGGCCC
RNAcentral lists this long non-coding RNA (106675 nucleotides) under Triticum aestivum (bread wheat). RNAcentral describes it as "long non-coding RNA (TAES_LNC022164)". Lineage: Eukaryota; Viridiplantae; Streptophyta; Magnoliopsida; Poales; Poaceae. The record is from RNAcentral.